UUCAGGCAGGUUUUGCAUAUAACACAGGGACAUUUAGAAAAACCCCUAAAUUUGGCCAGUUGAUGCACCAUAUUUUGCUAAUCUUUGGGGCUGGUUUAUCUUGAUUAUUUACUUCAUAUAUAAAUUCAUGGAUUAAUCUGAGCUCCAGUCAUAAUAACCUGGGAUGGAAGUUUAGAACUUGCUUUAGAAGAAACUUCUAAAAAUAUAGCUGUGACUUUUGAAAUAUUUUUGUCAGAUCAUUAAUUAUAUGUAAUUUCAUCUGAUAGAGGGUUGGUCGCAUCAGCGAGAGGUAUGAUCCAUGCACAGAGCAGCACUCAGUUGUAUACUACAACCUACCUGAGGUUCAACAGGCACUUCAUGUUUAUACUGAUAAUGCACCAUCUAAAUGGGCAACCUGCAGGUAAAGCUUUUUUUUGGAGAAAUACUCAGAAACCGUUAAGAAUAUUGCCCCCCUAGAUUGCAAGAUAACUUGAAAUGAAAAAAACCUAGUAGCUCAAAGGGUCUUUUUGGCUGGAUGGAAAUCCAUUCUGAUCAAGGAUAACAUGUGGACAUGCCAGAAUACAUUAGUAAAGUGACAGGUUUGACCCCAUUAAUGUGAACUUUGACAGUGAAAGACACAGUGAUUUAGAAGGUGUAGAAUACAGUGAGAGGGGAGGAAGAUAAUCCAGCCAUCUAGGUUGGGACUUAGUAAAAUAUGUACAAGCAAGAAUUUUGUGUUAAAACUACCUUUGAUAAGUGUUCGUGUUAAACUUUUUCAACCUGCAAGUGAAUUAGAUUAGGUUAUUGUUUAAAAUUGUGUGGGGAGGAUAUCCUUAUCUGGUUUUUUACUUGCCCUGGAAACAAAAAAAAAAAAAAAGAAAAACACUCUUUACAUCUUCAAUUAACAUAUGAUGUUAGUAUCAAUCUAAUCUAUGUAAAAACUUCUACUAGGGAGAAUUGCUUAGAAGCUUUUGUUGUUUGAUGAGUCAAUUCCAGAAUGAUAAUUUUCAUGGGCAGCCCAUGAUUAGCUCAACUAGUCGAUGCUCUCUUUCUCACAUGAGAGGUCUCAGGUUUGAAUCCCAGGCUUUCUUGAUACACAGUUCUAGGGGGAGGGUCAUGUAUUUGUGGGUUUCCCCACCCCUUUGUAAGCAGGCUAGUGGGGUUUGGCACCAAAAAAUGUGACAAGAACUACAUCUUGUACUUAUUGUAUUGAACUUGUGAUAUCUUUUCCAGCCGUUCUCUAGAUUAUAUGAUAUUUUUAAGAUUUUAUAUUCUCGCUAAGCAGUUUAGGAUAUGGUUUUUAAUAUUCUAUAAAUUUUAUUGCUAGUGUACCAGAUGUGACAAGUACUGGAUCUUGUACUUCAUUGAACUUACCAUAUAUUUUUCAGUCUUCUUACUAAUAAAAAAAAAAAGAAAAUUUUUCAGUCUUCUGAAUAACAUAAUAUUUGCUUGAUUUAUAGCUUUGGGUAAGUGACUUAGUAAUAUGUUUGUUAACAUCUUGUUGCUGUUGCUAUUAUCAGUGAUGAGGUUUCUGCUACUUGGAAAGAUUCUCCCAAGACAGUACUUGACGUUUAUCGUGAACUUAUACAUGCAGGACUCCGUAUUUGGAUAUUCAGGUUUCUCUAAACAUUUGACAUCAUUUCCCUUAAAAUCUGCUGCAUACUUGCUAGCUUUGCAUGUGAUGUGCAGCUACACUUCACUUAUUCUAAUAUUGGUUGCAUGCAUGUGCUUGCUUGCAUUAUAAAUUGAAAUGAGGAAGUAGUUGACCAUAUUGUUAGGAUUAUGUUUUGUGUUGAUUUGAUUUAGUGGUUUGCUCUUAUGGAUUUCCCUGAAUUUUUUUCUGUGUUUUGGAAUAUUAUAUCAUAGAGUUGGGUGUUUCCUAAGCUCACAUGUGAGACUUGGACAACUCAAGCCACUUAACGUUGCCAAGUCAACCUUUCCCCAAACUUAGCUUUCUAUGCUAAGCAACCCGACUUGGCUUGGAAGUUUUGAACGAACAAAGGAAGCACACUUGAAGAACCCUUGAAGAAUGAAAGCUUUUAUUGCUCAAAGACACUUUACAAUGCUUUAGGAAGCUCAAGUGCUUGGUGUCUUUGCCAAAUGAGGCCACCACCUAUUUAUAGACACCAAAAAAACUCUUUGGAACCCUCAAGGGUUCCCUACUAUAAAAUUUUCUAGAAAGUCCUACACAAAUGCUAUGUACAAGAGCUUUCAAGAAUUCUCUAGAAGAGUCUACACUGCUCUAUCUUUUCCCAUCCAUGUGUGAAUGUCUCCAGAGUCUUUUAAAAGCUUCUUGCUCCCUUAUAUAAGCUCAUGUUAGGGAUCAUUUUGAGCAGGUUGUGACAAUUAGCUACAUAAAAAGGGGCAGCUGCAUGAAUUAAUUACAUCGGACAGUUAAAAAGAGAGUAGUUUCAAUUAUUAUGUUGAUAUGAAGAUAUUAAGAUGUAUACAUAGCGAAAGAAUAAAGUCAUAAACAUAGUUGUGAAAGGCGCGCCUAGGCUUGGGGCGGCGUGACGCCACCCUCCGACGCCUCGCCUGAAGGCAGGCGAUGCCCCUUCACGAAGGCGCCGCGUAGGCGCGCAAGGCGUGACACGGUCGCCUGACUCGCCUCCGGCCAGGUACGUGCUCCUUCUUCUCCUUCUCCUUCUUCUUCUUCUCCUUCUCUACUUCAGUCGCCGUCAAGUUGCAGAGGGCUGGGGCUGAGAAGCCCUAAUUUUUUUUUGAUUUUUUGGGUCCAAAACGACGUUGUUUUGGAGCCUGUUCCUUUAAAAAAAAACAGGCCAAAACGACGCCGUUUUGGCCUUGUUUUCCCUUCCAACCCCCCUUUUCUUGUAUUUUUGAAUCCGACACCACUCCCAAUCAUGCGCCGUGUAGUGGAGAAGUGAAGAAGAAGAAGAAGAUGAGGAAAAAUAGAGGAAAAAUAGUCACGUACCUUCCAAGACCCCAUCAUGUUGAUUAAAUUGAAGUUUUGGAUGAUAUUUGAUGAUUUAUGUGUUUAAGACAAAUAAAUGAUUGUUAAAUUUGAUUAUAUUAUAUAAAAAUAUAUAUGUAAAUUAGGGUGCACUUCACUUCACUAAAGCUUGCGCCUUAGGUGCACCUUGCGCUUCAGGCUCCAGUGCUACUUUGCGCCUUGGUGCUCCUUGAGCCUUUUAAAACUAUGGUCAUAAAAUUGUCUAGAGUAGCCCUGUAGUAAGCACAAACACUUUUAAAGAUUCGCCUUGUUCCUGUUGGACAACACUUCUAGAUGCUUCUUAGACAUGUCUUGAGACACUUGGAUAUAUUGUUAUGAUUUUCUUUCUUAAACUUGCAAACAAUGAGCUGAAACUCAGCUAAUACAUGCUGGAUUAUGUAAAGGAAAAAUUGUUGUGGUCAAUAUGCAAAUUAUGAAAAAGUUUGACCAUUUUGAGAAAAUCAAACAGAACAAUGGUUGCAAUCUCUAGGAGCAGUUGCAAUUGUAAAUAAUAUAUUCUUGUGUCCUCCCCAUGUUCACAGCCUUUGGGUUUGCUCCUUUGUUCUUGUUUACAAUUAUAGAGUGCUUUGAAAUAUGAAGGCUCUAAAGUGGGUGAGCUGGUGGAGACAUGAAUGAGAGCAAUCCUACAGGCUGCAACGCAUGAUAUGCAAAUGGAUUGAUGUGCAAAAUUGGGCAUGAUUCAAUAUGGGAAAACAUUAUAGAAUUUGAAAGCAAAUGACUAAUAGUUUCAGUAUGGUUAAGAUUGUGUUAUCAUAGUAGAGUUUAUGCUUAUACAUGUUGCCUAAACAAUAUAGCUUCGUAUAGAGUCUCAUAGAAACAUUGCAGAUGUAAAGCCCACAGGUCUAGUUGAGUGUAGGGCAAAUCCACUUAUUAUGAAAAACAAGUUUACAGAUGUACUUCGACCCUAAUGCUAUCUUCUCUGAAGGGACUUUUUUGGCCAGCCCCUACACGUUGCUUCAUAUUCAUGACAGUUUCUUAGUGGACACCUCAACUCUUUGCUGAAGGUGGAUGCAAUAUUCUCUACCCUAGUAGAUUAGGUCACACCAAUAUACAUGAAAAGACAUUGAGUGUCAUGAUUUUUAAAGUAAAUGAAAAAAGCAAAAUCCUUACAGAGCGCUUGAGGGCUCUCAAGGGGCACUUGAGCGCUGCAUGUAUUUUUUUGUUUUCUUACAGAUGUUUCAAAAACUGAAAUUUGUAUGCCCAUGUGAACAUUUUGCAUUAUAAUUACACUUACCUAAAUGUCAUACCACAUACUUGCAAAUGAACCUUUGAAGCUGAAAAGUCCUAUGGAAGUAUGUAGAUCUAGAACAGUGGUAUUAGGAACAAAAUUGUCAACCUAUAUCUAGCUAAUCUAGCUCACUGACAUUAUUUGCACAAGUAUGCCGUAGGGAAAGUGGGCACUCUCCAUAUCCAUUUUAUCUUGACCUUUAUCAUUAAAAGUUUUGUAUAUUUUUCUAAAUUAAAAUUAAAUACACUUUGAAUAGGUUGUCAUAUAACUCAUUGUUUUCUUUUAUGUGAGAACAUUGGUGGAUAUGAUAUUGCAUGUCUUUUUAUAAGAAUAUUGCAUGUUGUUAUUUGUUAUGGUUAAUUUCUUGGAGUUUGUUUUAAAUGUCUUAGGAAGGACCGAUAAAUUUAUGAGACAUUUGCAGAAGGAUUAAUUUGAAAUUGUGUUAAGGGUAUAUCAUUAUCAUCAUCAUCUUCUUCUUCUUGUUUUUGUUCCUCAAUUGAUGAGUUUGAAACCAUCUGGUCAUCCAACCACUUUAGAUAGUAUCCACCUAACAUGCGUAGGUCAGUCACAUUGUCUUAGUGACAUGAAUGGAGCUGGAAAAUGCUUCAAGCCUUCAUGUUCCAGUGUUUUCAAACAGAUUCAUAAGCGAAUGUCUUACAUUUCAUUUUGCCUUUAUGACAGUGGUGAUACAGAUGCCAUAAUCCCAGUUACAUCCACCCGGUACAGUGUAGAUGCUCUCAAGCUUCCAACAGUGGGCCCAUGGCGUGCUUGGUAUGACGAUGGACAGGUAAUUUCUUAAUUGAAUGAACUGUUUCCCCCAGUUUUCAUAUUAUAUAUUGCAGGCCAGGAAUUAAUACAAUGGUGUUAAACAUGCAGGUGGGAGGAUGGAGCCAAGAGUAUGCGGGGCUUACUUUUGUUACAGUGAGGGGAGCAGGGCAUGAAGUUCCUCUGCAUAAACCCAAACAAGCUCUCACACUUAUCAAUGCCUUCUUAAAAGGAACCUCAAUGCCCUCCUUGGAGCAACUGGCUGAUUCUUGAAUUUUUGAAGCAAAGCUUUGUAUUGGAAGAAAGAAAAGCUGCCAUGGACAUGAAGAAGUGGAUUUAAAUCAGGAGAUUCAAAGCCUGCAACAGUCUUAAAAACAUCUUAUGUGGCUCCUGCUUUCUAUUUUUAACUCACUUUUUUAGGGAUUUGUAAAAAACAAACUUGUCACAAACGUUGUGGGUUUUUACAGGGAUGUUCAAAAUUCCAAAAACAGCUUCUUAGUUUCCGCCAUCCACCAUCUGCUUGGAAAAUUAUCUUUAGACCUCAAGCAUGUUUUCCUUGAAAAUAUUCACCUAAUAUAAACAACUUGUGAUUGAAAAUAAAUAUUACUCUGUUGUAAUAAGCUCGCUUCUAUAUUUCUAAUGUUGGAUAUCAUCCCUUUAUAAACCAAUAUAUAUAUAUAUAUAUAUAUAUAUAUAUAUAUAUAUAUAUAUAUAUGUAGUCAUGAAUUUUUUCUAAUGUGGGAUAUCAUCCCACUAUAAACCAACUAAAUUGACUAUAGAUUGACUUGUUCUCAAUUGUAUGUAUAUUGUCUGAUUUAAACUAACUAAAUUAAUUAUAGAUUGAUUUGUUCCCAAGUGUACGGAUACUGUUUGUUUUACGUCCAAUGGAUUUUCGUGGCUUUAAAACAUGUUUAUAUUGUUAAGGAAAGUAUAUAUAUAUAUAUAGUGUCAUGAACUUUUUGUUGCGGGAUAUCAUUCGUCUCUAAACCAACUAGAGUGACUUUAGGCUAAAACUCAUAGGAAUUCAUAAAUUAAUCAUCUAGUAUUUAUGCUCCGUUUGGAACUGUUGAAGACUCCUUUAAUCUUAUUGACCCCAAAACAAUCAGUAUUUUAGGUUUUAAGAACUCCAUCCAAAUAUAAUCAGAGAGGUAAUAUUAUGAUUGAUACCUCAUUAAAAAAGGAGAAGAAAACACCGAAUAGGUAACCAUAAAUAUUUAGCAUUAGAAAUAUUGUUAAACAGACCAAAUGGAUGGACAAGUGGUAUGCCCAUGCCCAGGCCCAGGCCCAGGUUUAGGCUCUAAGCCAUCCAUGAAUAACGCCUCAAACCCCAUGUCUUAAUUUUCUGAACGAGAGAGAGAGUCCCACGUAAAAUCCAGAGCAAAGUCAGUGAAAUCAACGGUUAUAGGCGGCAGUGGUGAGUGUGAGCAGUUAGUUGAUUGUAGAGAAUCUGAGAAAGAAGGGCAACAAUGGUGGUGGUCUCUGCUACUACUUUUAACAAGGAGAUUGCUAUCAGAAGAAGAAUCUCCAGCAUGUACUCUCCCCCUCUCCCUCCCUAAAAACUUCCUUAAGAUUUAUUUGUCUUUUGUUUUGAUUUUUCCAUCUUAUCAAAUGAAUUUCGAAUUCAAUCUGGAGAUCUUUUUUUUUGUUUUUCUUUAAUGCAUUCAAUAUUUGUUUUUGGCAUGCGGCUGCCACAUAGUCAUUAGGGCUGAAUGUGAUUUUGGCAUUGGGUUAACAUGUAAUUCAGCUGAAAAUCAAGGGUCAAGAUUCAUAAAAUUUAUCAAUCCAAUCAAAUUGCAUAGGGCAUUGGUUACAGUUUCUUUAAGUGGUAACUCUGUUUGGUUGCUGCGAAAAUACUAUCAGGAGCAAAGAAACCAAUAUUUGUUUUGUUUUUUCUUUCUUCUCUUUUUAAGUUUUGGGUUUUAGGAUGUUUAUUUUUUGUAACAAAAUUUCAGGGCUCUUUUUUACUUUGCUUUUCAUGCAUUUUCUCAACAAUCCAAAGGGGGAAACAGGAAAAAGAGUGAUUUUAUUGUUGCCUAUUGCAAGUUUGUCAUGGAUGUUUGAAUCUUGUGUUUAUAAGAAAUGUUGUAUGAAAAGGAAAAUUAGAGGAUUUGGAAUCUCCUGUAGGGUUCAUAUUGCCCAUAUAUCGUAAUGUCUUAAUUUAAAGCACUUAUUUAUCUUGUUUGGUUUCAAAUUCUUGAAGAAGAAACAUUUGGCAUUAUUUUGCAUUCAGCAUUAUGUGCAAUAGCAAUGGAAAGAUGCAAAUCUCAGAUAUGAUUAUUUUUGAUAUAUUAUUUUACAAUGUUUUGCUUGUGCUUGUGGAUGUGAAUAGUAUGGAGAUAUGCUCAUCCACUUUAACCCAUUUUUUUCCCUUUCUUAUAAUCCUUUCUUUUUUUCCUUCCCAUUUGUCUUGCGCCUUACUUUGUUGGUCAUGUAUAUGGAUAGGGGAUUGUUGAAACAAGCGGAACUGUUUGAAAAUUAACAUAUUAUCUGCAUCUUUUGAGUGUGCUGGAUAACUUGUGGUAUUCAAAUGUGCCAUAUAUGUGUAAAAUAUGCAUAUAUGAAUGUGUAUAUGUACAUGCAGUGGCGAAGCCACCUUGAGCCCUGGUGAUAUUCGGUACUUGGUGAGGAUUUGAACCUAUUCACACCUUCUUUUAAAGGUUUGAGUGCUUACCAUUGGGCUAGACUAAGGAAAUGUGUAUUUUUUUUUGCCUCCUCUGAAAUAAAUAUUAAAAUCUUAGCCCCCUAAACCCGAUUUUCUGGCUCCAUCACUGUGUAUAUGUGUAGUGUAUGUGAAUAUAGACACCUCGACACAUUAUUAGGAAAGUCAAUAUGUGUGUGGCUUGUGUGUAUGUUCAUGUAUAUAUGGAGGUGUGUUUGUAAGUAUGUAUACAUAUAUCUACAUGUUUAUUUUGACAUUUAUUUUGUUAACUAAUAGUUUCAUCAUUUCACAAUUAUGAAGAUUCAAUAAAAGGGAAGAUGAUUUUCCUUCCUUGAGAGAAUACAAUGAUUACUUGGAGGAAGUAGAGGACAUGAGUAAGUAUCUCAAAUUUGUAUAUUUCUGAGAAUUUUGUCAACUUUAUUUUAUCAUUCCAAUUGUAAGGGUGCAAUAUUGACAGAAGUGCUUUUGUUAAAGCUACAAAUUUGAUUGAAGGAAUAGAUGUCCCUGCUAUCGAAGUGAAAAUUGCAAAGUAUCAGGAAGAAAAUGCUGAACAGAUAAUGAUUAAUCGAGCUCGAAAGGUACUUCAGAAAAAAAAAAAAUCUAUGUUUCCCUCUGAAAAAUCUACCAAUUGUUUUCCUGAAAAGUGAGAACAGUAUUUGUUUGCUUCUCAAGGUCACACAAUAAAAUUUUACAAUAUGAGUACCUCAUGCUAGCAUUAGUAAAUUUCACAGAAUUCACCAAGGUUUUUUCUCUCUUCCUUUUUGCUUGCCUGUUGGUGCUAUUUGUAUGUACUUUGUGUACUUUCUUGUGCCUUUUUCAGGUGCAUUUAAUAUAUUCUCUUAAUUUGCCUAUUAAGGAAAAAAGCAAUAGUGAAUUUUGUUAUGUGUCAUACAGAAGUGACUGAGAGGUUUUAAAUCUUGGCAAUGUUCAAAUAGGCUGAAGAAUUAGCAGCAGCUAUGGCAGCAAGCAAGGGACAACCUGUACAGACAGAUACUGAUGGGGUGAGAUGAUCUUAUGGAUUAUCAUUCCUUGAGUUACUGAAUGUCUUCUUAAUACCUUUUUUGGUGGCAUUGCAAAUACUUUCUUUUCUUGGAUUCAUUUAUAAUUUCAAAUCAAGAUUUGAGGUUGUUUAGAGUUAAUCGAUCAACUUCCAGGGCUGGGACAUGGCUGUCCAAAUGUUAGAAAAUUUUUGAUUUUCAGCCUGCAAGCACCAAAUUGGUAGUGGAAUUUGAUGAUCUUGACAAAUUUCACGAUUUCAUGAGUGGAGACUUGUGACUAUUUUCCUUGACUCUAAAGGUGGUGCACCAUCUAAUCCACCAGCCAACUGUGCUAAAAUGGUCAAUAAAAGUUUAUAUGUAAUUUUAAAAUUUGUAUUCCUUCAAGAAAGCUCACAAAGUAUACAAGGUUCUGGUAUUUGGUACUAAUCUUGGGCUCUGUCCAGCUGGAAAUCAAUAUAUGUUGAUUUUAUGGCUGGAUUUUGUCUACAAAUUGAAUUUCCAAAGAGAAAAAAAAAAAGGUACUUCAAUUUGCACCAAACUUCUCUGAAAAUUUUGAGUGUUUUUUUUUUCUUAUCAAUUUUCUGCCUAAUUAAAGAUUGUGUAAACAGGGUAUCGCCCCAAAGUUUCCUGUUUUGUUACCAAAGUUCCGAAAAAGGGAUAAUUUUUUUUUUCCAUUUAAAUUCAACAUCAAUGUGAUCCAGGUGCCAGAUCUAGAUCUAAACCUCACUGACCACUUGUGUGAGAUAUUAAAAUUUUAAAACUGUGGGUGCCGACAAUGCUGAACAAAAAAGGGGGCCAGGACUCAGGACAACAGAAAAUAGGUGAGUGUACCUUAAGAAUUGUGGAAUCAAGACUUAGAUUACAUUAUGUUAAGUUUCUUUGAUAUUUACAGAGUAAGUGCCUAUACCUAGAGGUCCUAAUUCUUUUAUAUUUUGGAACUAUUUAAAUACCUUUUUGAUGGGCAAAGCUUAGCUGUUAGCAUCUCUUUUCUAGUGUGUUCUCAGUUGUAUAGCCAAAUUACAGAUUACAAUUUCAUACUGGGUGAUGGUUUAUUGCUUGUUUAUGUAUCUGACAACUUCUUUUGGGAAGUUUAUCACCUUAACUUAGUUUUAGAGCAUUAAGACGUUAUUUUAGAAGUUCUUGGAGCUGUAACUUUCAUUAUUUAAUUGCUAUUCUUGGCCAGCCCACAUAGUGGCUUUCAUUAUAAUGAGUUUUUGUACUGUGCAUAUCAAAAGAACCUCUUUGAAAGUCUAUGUACUUUCUAGAAACUCUGUCAAAGUUAUCUGGGUUUUAAGUGAGACCAUUGUGACUCCUCCAGAUUUAACUGAGAGAUUUCUUCAAAGUUCUAAUUGAUUUUCAGAUAAAAGUGUUCUUCCUUCUAUUCAUUUUCUGCUCAUCCUCGAUCCUGUGUUUAUUGGUAUCAGAGCCAUUUACUAAGUUUAUUUUCAAAUUGAAUUUGCCAUUUAUUUAGAAUAUUUUUUUAAGUUGCAACUGCUUAGCGUUGGUCAGCCCUUGUAUGCGUUGGUAAGCCGUUUGUAGCCAUGGUGGCGUUUAGGUGUUCCCACUGGUGGUCCCACUAAGUUGCCAAGAUUUAAACAAAGAAAACAUAAAUCAAAAUGUCAAAUUUGUUUGGAAAUCUUUGUAGAAGUAGCUCAAAUAGUAGUUUAAACAGGAUGGAAAAUGAUCUCAAAAUGUUAGAAGAAAAUACUUCAAAAUUUGAGAAUCAAUUGAAUGUAUCAAUUGAUACUCUUGAACAAUAUAUAAAAAAUAUGGGAAAUGCCCAAACAAGAAAUUAAAGAUAUCUAUCAAAUAGGAACUUUUAGAUUCAAAUCAACUUAUAAAAUCAAAGUGUCUGAAAACACCAAUGUUUUAAAAACCGGACCGGUGAUCGAACUGGAAAAGUUCCCGGUUCACGGUUCACUAGUCGGACCGGUGGUCGAACCGCUAUUGAACCGGUGAUGUAAUAAAUAAUUAAAUAUAUAAUUUAUAUAUUAUAUAAAAUUAAAAAUAAUUAUAAAAAUUAAAAAUAUAUAAAAUUACAAAUUUUAAUAAUGUUUGAUUUUUAUAUUUGGUAUAUUAAAUUAAAUUAAAUGAUAAAUUUUAAUAUUUUAAAUUUGAUUAAAUAGAAAUAUGUAAUAUUUAAGAAAGAAUAUAUAUUUAAGAUGAAAAAAUUUAUAAUAUUUAAUUUUAUCUUUUUGUCUUUGUAUUUUGUUGUUUUAAAAUUAUUAUAUUAAUUAAUUUAUAUUAUUUUUUAUAAUUAUUAUUAUAAAAAUAAACAUGAAUUUAAAUAUUUACAUUUUUUUAAAAGAUUUUAUAUGAUAAAAAUUUGUAAUAAAAUCAAAUUCCGUGCUUCCAACCCUCAAGAGGCAAUGUUAUCCUCUAAUGAGUCUCAUUCCCAAUCCCACAUCGGAAGCACAUGAAUUUUAUGUGCUCCAUGUGCUCUAUAAAUAGCUUCCCACUUGCCUUCAAUUCAAACAAGCCAGCAAGAUGGGCCUGGAAGCUUGGCCCGGAAACAUGGCCCGAUUUGAAGUGUUAUUUUAAAAUAGAAAAUGGCAGCAAAUUGGGCUUUUGUGGGCAUGGCCCAUAUAAAGUGUUAAUUUUAUCUUCGGACUAGGUCUAGGGACUUGGAAAAAGGAAAACCAUAGGUUGGGCCUGGAAUGGGCCUUUUACAUGGUAAACAAAAAAUUGUUUCUAAGGUGUAACCGGUUUGCAAAAAACUGGACGGUUUGUCCGGUUCGACGGUUCAACCGUCGGUUUGAACGGUUCAAUGCCGGUUCGACCACAAACAGUUCAUUGAAACGGACCGAACCGGAAAGUUCACCGGUCGACGGUUCAACCGGUCGGACCGGCCGGUCCGGUCCGGUUUUUAAAACCAUGGAAAACACACACUCUAUGGAUUUAGACAUUAAGGGAAUGAAAUUGAGCUGUCUUGUAUGAGUUUUUUUCACCUUUUAGGUUACAUGUUCCAGUGGUUCAUCAUACUGUGUUGGUCCCACGUGGAAUGGUGCUUUGGAAGCAUUCUGUUGUUUUUCCUCUAUUUUUUGGUGCUUUGAUUCCAUUGAUUGUUUAUUACUUAAGUUCUGCUAGGAAUUUGGACUAACAUUUUUGUUCUAAACCCUUAAAAUCCUAGCAUCUAAAGAAAUUUAUGAUAGUUUUUGGUUGCCUCAUCAUCCUUCAUCAGUAUGGUAGUACAGAAACUCUGGAUAAGUUAUGUGACAUUGAUGCUUUAAAAUGUGUGAAGUAUGUCCUGAGUGCUUCAAAAUAUAGGGAUGAGUAAGGUAUGUGUGUUGAACAUGCCUACUUUGGACACCUCCAUAUAGGAAUUUCCAAUCAGUUGAAAGUGCAGUGAGUUUCUUCCUCUUAUAUUUUUUGGACAAGAACAUUUUUAUCACACAAUUUCUUAUAUAGGAUACGUUGUUUAGAUUGGUAUUUACAUAUGGUAUUUUUAUAAUGUUGUUCUGUUAAAUAAAUAUUAGGAGGGAGAUAAGUGCACAUGGUGGACAAACUAUUUGUUCACUUCAUCCUAGGGCGUAGAAGUUUUGAGAACAUGAAAAUAUAUGAAUCCAACGCAGACAUUGAUCCCUGCCAUGAGUACCUGAGUUCACUUGAUCUAUAAGUUAAAUCACAAUAAAAACUAUGCUACAAGGAUGAAAGGUAGCCAAAAAGUUCAUGGUGAUAGAAAUGUGAUGGAUUAUGGUUUAACUGAAUAAGUGGCUCUAGGAAGAAAUGGAAUUGAUGCAGGCUUGGUCAUAUAAUUGGGAUAAGGUUUUUGUUGGCAUGUGCAGUGAAUAUGGAGUCUAGAACAAAGUAUGUUAAAAAUUUUCUCAGUCCUGACUUAUGAAGCUUUCCCUAGAGGUUGGUAUGAAUUUGGGAAAUUUGGAAUCAGAAUAUGAUAAAAUUUGGGAAUUGACUAGAUAUUUGCAUAUGAUGUUUACUGUGGUUUUCAUAAUGGGCAAGUUGGAUAGUUGCUGGAUGGAUCAGGUUCUUGAUCUAACUAUUUUUCAUUCACUCGUUGAAUCAAAAAAUUUGGAGACCAAAUUGAAUUUGAUUAGGUUGACUAGAUGACUGAAGAUCUGAAGUGUUUUGAGUUUCAAGAUUAGUCAAGCCUUGGUUUCAUCAUGAAUGGAGACAUCUGUAGACUACAGCUAAAGGAUUGGGGGCACUGGAAAAACACAAAGAAGACAGGAAAAUUUUGUGAAAUAAUGAAUGCCUUAGGCUAGAUAUUAUUGUUAUUGCUUCCUUUUGCAUUUUCAGCACUCCAGGUUGAUUUUUAUGCAAAAUCUUGAGAGCUUUUUCCCAAAAGCACUCAUUGCAUAAUUACCAAGGAACUGGCCGCAUAAAGACAUUAACACAAAGAUAAUAGGAAAGUUUUGUGAAUGCCUUGGGCUAGAAGAAACUCUGACCUGCUUAAGGAGUCAUUUUAGAAGUUACCAUGUUGAGAACCUAGAUUGGAAAAAAAAAAAAAAAAGAGAGAUUCAUAUAGGCGUAACUUGUAAUGGAUGGGAUGAAAUUGUUUACUGAAACUUUAAUGAAUAAAAUGGUCUUCAUACUCUUGACAAAGUGAACUUACAUAGGGAAUGAAAGUAGUCCUUACCAUUGGUUCAUGGUAAGAAUUUUCAUUGAUUGAGAUGGGAAAUUGGCUGGAUUUUUUUUUAACCAUUUGAGCGGAUGCAACAUUCUCCCCUUGAAAUACCUCUUUGGGAGCCCUAGCUGAUUGGAUAUAGACUAAAUCAUGCAUGUUAAAGCCUGGGGGAGCUCCUACUAUAAAUCCAAGUUUUAGAUCAAAGUGUGACUUAGCUAUAUAUUACCAUUAUUUUUUCCUAAGCAUAAUUCAUAUUUCUUUGUUGUAUAUUUUUUUGUUUGUAUUUCUUUGUUCCUGGAGAUGGAUUCAUAUUUAUUUGUUCAUCUUUCUUUGUUUUUGGUUAUGGAAAAAGCUAAUCAUCCAUUUGUCAUUAAAAAGCAUUUUUCAUGUUUUUUUUGUUCGUAUUUCUUUGUUCAUGGAGAUGGAUUCAUAUAUAUUUGUUCAUGUUUCUUUGUUUCUGGUUAUGGAAAAAGCUAAUCAUCCAAUUGUCAUUUUGGGCAUGAUAAUUAUUAAUAAUAAUAUUAUUAUUAUUUCAUAUUUCUUUAUUAUUAUUAUUAUUAUUGUUAUUAUUCUUUCAUAUAUAUAUAUAUGUAUAUAUAUAUAUAUAUUUUUUUGGUGAUGCAAAAAGCAAAUCAUGCUGCCAAAUUACACAUCUGAUCUGGAUGAUAAGCGUCCACAGAGGGAGGAAAUGCUAUAGAUGCCGAGUUGCCAAGGGUCAAGCUCAGAAUACUGGUCUUUACAUUCUUUUACCAAUUCCAAAUUCUAUUUGGGAGGAUUUCUCAAAUGGAUUUUGUCCAAGGACUUCCUUGCACUGAAUGAGGAGUAUACUAGGUUUUUGUUGUUGACAUGUUUUAAAAAAUGAGAGCAUUCUUCUUUCUUUCAUUGCUGGAAGUUGGAGUGUGGAUUAACCUACUACUGGCUUGAUGUUUGUUUUUCUGUUUCCAUUUUUGGCAUCCUUUUUUUCUGGCUUGCAUGAUUAAGUUUCCAUUGAUUUCUGGGGAAAGUGCUCAUGAGAGGGGGAAAGUGUUGGCUUGCGAUAGAGUCGGAGAUGUUUGAAGUUUCAUUAGAGGAAGUAAGAGGGAAGCUAAGAGGUACCAUUGUGGAGAGGAGUAGAGGGUUCUCCUCCUGGAUCAGAUUCGGGGUGGCAAGUUUGAGAAAAUUUCUUGAAGGUCUUGAAGAAUGCUGCAGGGAGGAAAAGAAUGGAAGAUUAGUUAAAGUAUGGGAGGAAGAGGGUAGAAAGUUCAGAUUGGAAAGACGUGAAAAUGGGGUGGGGAGAUACAUCCUUUGUUUUGUUGUUGACGUAGAGACUAAGAGAUUUUGCUUAGUUGUCCCCGAAGGUAAGGGUUUGCUAGGAGGUUGGGCCUUUUUCGCUGAGAAACUUCGGGCUCUAGGGGUAGUUACUCAAGAGGAAGCAAAGAUUGAAGAAGCACUACGAGUUGAUUCAAAGCCGAAAGUGGUGACAGUAGAAGGUAAGGAUGAAAGAUGCCUUGGAAAGAAGGUGGAGGGUGAGAAAAAGACCUUUGUGGAUGUUGCUAAGGAGUCGGCUGGAAGGCAAGGAGAUGCAUUAUGGCUUCAGGUUGGAGGGAGAGGGUUGAGAAAUAGGGAGGAAGGGCUGGGCCGGUGCCUUGUUGGAAGAUGGUAUGACGGGCCAGUGGUGGAGACGGAGCUGUUUUCAAUUAGAAAAUGGGGGGAGCGCAACUGGAAUCUAAAAAAAGGUAUGAAAGUGUUGAGCAUGGGAGGACCUUUCAUGUUGCUGGAGUUCGAAGAUGAAGAGGAGGCAGAGAGAGUGCUAAAGAGGGGGACGCGACGCUUUAAAGACAAAGUGCUGCAUUUAGAGAGAUGGAGCGAGAAGGCAGGAUGCUUGAAGGUAGGAAGCCAAGCAAAAGAAGUAUGGGUAAGAGUGGUGGGACUCCCACUUCAUUGUUGGAGUGAAGAGAUGUUUAAGAGAAUUGGAGACUGUUGUGGAGGCUUUGUUGAGGUGGAUGUAAAAACAAAGAAUUGUUCUCAGUUCCAAUGGGCCAGAAUUUUGGUGAAGAACAGGGGGAAUUUUUUUCCGGGAACUUUGCAUUUAGUGGUUGAUGCUUAUUGCUAUGCAUUACAGCUGUGGUGGGAGAGGCUGCCAUGGAUCUCUGAAGUGGUGCCGAUGAAGAAGUUGAAAGGGGGAGAAGGGGAAAAGGCUAGGGAAGAAUGGGAUGUGGGCUCACGAGCGGGGAGUUGCAGUAGCAAAGGGAAGGAGAGAUUGCGUGUAGUAGAGGCUGAUGGGGCAGAUUCAAUCAGUAAGGCUGGAGGGGAAGAAAAACGUGAUGGAGACUGGACGAAUGGUACAGCUGAAGAUUUUUCAACUUUUGGGAAGACGGCUUGAGGUAAAGGGAGUGGAGGGGUGGGCUUAAGUGAGGGGGAUGCUACACAAGCCCAUCUGGAUUGGGCCUUAAAAGAAAGGGUAACUUUCUGUGGUGUUUUAGGAUGAAAAGGUGUUGCAAAUGGUGGAGAUGGAGGUGGGUAAAUUUACAGUUUCUUGCUGAUUUAAGAACUGCGGGGAUUGUUUUUGUUGGAGUUUUUCAGGAGUGUAUGGGCCCACAGUGAAAGUGGCGAGAAAAGAUUUUUUGAGUGAGCUGGGGGCAAUUAGAGGUUUAUGGAAUGAGCCAUGGUGUGUAGUAGGAGACUUCAACAUGAUAAGAUUCCCUUCUGAGCGGAGUCGAGAAGGCCAUAUGUCCCCGACGAUGAGGAGAUUCUCAGAGGUGGUUGAGGAGUUAGAACUAAGGGAUUUGCUUCUUCAAGGGGGGCUGUUCACGUGGUGUGGAGGUCUCAAUAAUCGGUUAAAGUCAAGAAUUGAUCGUUUCUUUAUUUCUGAGGAUUGGGAAGCUCAUUUUCAAGGGGCCAUUCAAGUUGUACUGGCUAGGCCGGUUUUUGAUCACUCUCCGAUUCUUCUAGAUGGGGGAGGAAUGAGGAGAGGGCCCACGCCCUUAAGAUUUGAGAAUAUGUGGUUGAAGGAGGAGGGCUUUAAAGAGGUGCUGAGACAGUGGUGGUAGGGGAUUCAAGUUAGUGGAUCAGCCAGCUUCAUUUUGACUGAAAAAUUGAAGGCUUUAAAACCGAUUUUGAGAAGUUGGAAUAAAGAGGUUUUUGGGCAGAUUGAUUCCAAGAAGCAGAAUGCGUGGAAUUUAAUGGAUUACUAGGAUAAGGAAGAGGGGGUUUGAUCUUUGUCAUUGGAAAAAGAAGAGGCUAGGAAGGAGGCAAGGGAGUCAUAUAAGAAGUGGGCCUUUUUAGAAGAAGUGUCUUGGAGGCAGAAGUCUAGGGAAAUUUGGUUGAAGGAGGGGGAUAGAAACACUAGGUUUUUUCAUCAGAUGGCUAAUGCUCACAAAAGAAAGAAUCAACCGACUAGAGUAAAGGUGAAUGGGAGGUGUUUAACUGAGGAAAGUGAAAUCAAAGAGGAGGUGAGCAGAACUUUCCAAGGCCUGUUGGCAGAUCCUGGUGACUAGAAGCCUGGUAUAGAUGGUUUAAAUUUUGAGAGGUUGGAAGAGGUGGAUGUGGAGGGGCUGAAGAAGCCUUUCUUAGAGGAAGAGGUUUUUGUAGUGCUGUUAGGCUGUUGCGGAGAGAAAACACCAGGACCUGACGGUUUCUCAAUGGCUUUUUGGCAGUUUUCUUAGGAUUUUGUGAAGGAGGAGGUUAUGAAUUUUUUCAGACAGUUCCAUGAGACUGGAAGAUUUGUUAGAAGUUUGAAUGCAACCUUUUUAGUGUUGAUUCCUAAGAAAGGGGGGGUUGAGGACUUGAAAGAUUUUAGGCUAAUAAGAUUGAUGGGAGGACUAUACAAAUGGUUAGCUAAGGUGUUGGCUAACAGAUUGAAAGGAGUGUUAGCCAAGGUGAUCUCAAUGUCUCAAAAUGCUUUUGUGGAGGGGUGACAAAUUAUGGAUGCAGUGCUGAUCGCUAAUGAGGCAAUAGAUUCCAUUUUGAAAAGUAAUAGAGGGGCAAUUCUUUGCAAAUUAGACAUUGAGAAAACCUAUGAUCACGUGGACUGGUCGUUUCUAUUAGCGGUGUUGGAGAAAAUGGGGUUUGGGGGAAGGUGGUGUAGUUGGAUAAAGUGGUGUUUAUCCAUUGUUAGAUUUUUAGUCUUGGUGAAUGGAAGCCCAAUAGGUUUUUUCCAAAGCUCAUGGGGUUUAAGGCAAGGAGACCCUCUCUCGCCUUAUUUAUUCGUAAUCGUGAUGGAGGCUUUUAGUUGCUUGCUGAAAAGAGCAGUUGCUGAAGGUUUUUUGACGCCUUGUAUGGUUCGGGGAAGAAGGGGUGAAGGGGUCCAGAUCUCACAUUUAUUGUUUGCUGAUAACACGUUGAUUUUCUGUGAGGCUAAAGAGGAUCAGUUGACAUAUUUGUGCUGGCUGUUAAUGUAGUUUGAGGCUUUGUCAGGGUUAAAAGUGAAUCUGGAAAAAAGUGAACUGAUUUUAGUUGGUAGAGUUGAGAAUGUGGAAGAGUUGGCUGAUGAGUUCGGUUAUAAAGUGGGAAAUUUGCCCUCCACCUAUCUAGGAAUGCCUUUGGGUGCUCCUUUUAAAUCUGUUGGUGCAUGGGAUGGAAUAGAGGAAAGAUUCCGAAAGAGAUUGGCUAUGUGGAAGCGGGAGUACAUCUCAAAAAGGGGGAGAAUUACCUUAAUUUGAAGUACAUUGUCCAAUCUACCGAUCUAUUUAUGUCCAUUUUCCAGUUACCUAGGGCGGUUAAGAUGAGACUGGAAUAGAUACAAAGGGAUUUUCUGUGUGGUGGUGGGGCUCUUGAGCAAAAACUGCACUUGGUAAGGUGGUCGAUUGUGUGUGAAGACAAAAGUAAAGGACGUUUGGGGGUUAAGAGCCUUGGUUCUUUCAAUAAGGCUCUCUUUGGAAAGUGGGCUUGACGCUUUGCAAACAAAAAAAAGGCCCUUUGGAAUCAAGUGAUUAGAAGGAAAUAUGGGGAGGAAAGAGGAGGGUGGAGAUCUUGUGAGGCUAGGGAGGCCUAUGGAGUUGGGUUGUGGAAAGCUAUAAAUAAGGUGGGAUAGCUAGUAACCCUUUUUUUUGGCUUUGAGGUGGGGGAUGGUAAGAAUAUGAGGUUUUGGAAAGAUAAGUGGCGUGGAACCACCCCUUUAUGCAAGGCUUUCCCUUCAUUAUUUGCUAUAGCAACGUUUAAAGAGGCUUGUGUAAAUGAAGUUUGGACAGCCGAGGGGGAGAGGAGGGGAAGUUGGACUCCUAGUUUCAAUAGGCCUUUUAAUGAUUGGGAGAUGGAAGAAGUGGGAAGAUUACUUUGUUGCUUGGAUGAGAAGAUGGUUAGGAUGGAUGAGGAGGAUAGGGUGAGAUGGGUGGAAUCAAAGGAUGGGGUUUUUUUCGGUAAAAUCCUUGUAUAGGGCCUUGCAGCGGGUGUCUCUUGCUUCAUUCCCUUUGAAGAUUAUUUGGAUUUCUCAUGCACAACCCAAGAUAAGCUUCUUUGCGUGGGAGGCUUUAUGGGGAAGAGUUUUAACCUUGGACUGCUUGCAAAAGAGGGGUUGGGCUUUGGCAAAUAGGUGUUUUUUGUGCCAAAAGAGUGGGGAGUCGAUUGACCACCUCCUCCUUCAUUGUGAAAGAACAAGGGAGGUGUGGACGUUGCUCCUAUUUUUUUGGAGUUUCUUGGGUCUUUCCGCUUUUGGUAAAGGAAACCCUUUUAGGUUGGAAAGGCUCUUUUGUGGGCAAGAAGAGGAAGGUGGCGUGGCAACUGGGACCGUUAUGCUUGUUUUGGGUUAUUUGGAAGGCUAGGAAUUCAAUUGCUUUUGAGGACGGUGUGCUGUCCAUUCAAAAGCUGAAAAUUUCUUUUGUGUAUUUGCUUUGGUUGGAAACCAAAUUGUGGAUAUAAGAUGGUCUUUCGACCUUAAUAGAUUUUAUAGAAUGAGUGUGUAUGCGUUAAGGGAGAGGGUUUUUUGUGCUUUCCUUGAGUUUUGGGUCCUUUUGUAAGGGGGUGAGUUGAUAUAUACUGUAACUCUGUGAGUCGCUUCUUUAGCACCUCCUUUUUUUUUUUUUUUUUUUUUUUUUUUUAAAAAGCAAAUCAUCCUGUCCAAGGGACUUGGGUGAUAUUAUUAUUAUUUCCUAAGAUAUUUCAUAUUUCUUUUUUUUUUUUUUUUGGUGAUGCAAAAUGCAAAUCAUCCCGUCCAUGGGACUUGUAUAUAUACGUGACCUAAGAACUUUUAGGCACAGUUUAAAUGCUUGAUCUCUGUUUUCUGUUGUAUUUAUGAUUUUCCUUCACCAAUUAAAGCUCAAUUUAUAUCAUAGAAAGUAUUAGGGACACAGAAAAAUACAUAGGAGGGGAUCUCAAAUUUUCUUAUAUGGCCUAUUAUGGGAAAUGCAAAGAAAAAUAAAAUAUUAAUGAUAAAAAGCUUCUAUAUUUCUAAAUUCUCCAUUCUUUCUUUCUAAUAGAGGAACACAAUUGGACAGGCAUUGUAUAAAGAAAUUAUUGAACUUAAACCAAUUUGUAUUUUCCUCUUUGCUUUUUCUCCUUAUUUUCCCUUUCUUCAUAAUUUCCCUUUCUUCAUACUUUCCCUCAAACUUUUCAUGAUCCAAACAGGACAAAAGGAAAUUUAUGUCCCAUUUAGUGUUAGACAGCUGUGAGGGGGAAUAUAGACAGGCAUAGUUUCAGGGUAUUGGUCUUUCAGGCUUUAGUUGCCUUCAGAGAUCACAUACUUUCAGGGGAUUUUCUUUUGGUUUAGCAAUGCUUGUUGAGCUGUAUGCUGCCAAGCUAUUGAGUGUAUCAGGUCAUAUAGACUGCUUUGUUUUGGUUUGCCUCUUUCUCUUCAAGUAGAUCUCAUCCUUUGUUUCUCUUAUUUCUUGAUGAAUUCAUUUCAACGUAUAUCUCUCCUUUGAACUUCAUUUAUUCCUUUGACUACCAAUGCGUACCUAGUAAAAAUAUAACCCUUACCACUGUGGUCCUUUGCCACAUGUAGAAUGAUAUUUGGAAAUUUUAGACAACGAUCUUUGCCAUUAUCACGAAUUAUCAAUUAGCAUGCUUUUUUAAAUUGUGAAGAUGGCAUUCAUGAGCCCGUUAAUUCUUUGUUCAUCAUUAUGGAUAGUGCAGUUAUAACGAUUUGUGUUUGAUUAUUGAGAUAGGCCACAAGCCAGAGCUCUCAAGCUGGGAUUGGUGCUGGUGCACCAGGACACUAUGCACCUACAGUUCCUGGAGGGCAGCCACGGCCAACCGGCAUGGCCCCACAGCCGAUUCCAGUUGGAGUUGGUCCUGAAGGGUAUGCUGCUGAUGAUGAAGAAAUGAUGAAGCUACGAGCAGAGAGAGGUGGGAAGGCAGGAGGGUGGAGUAUAGAACUAAGCAAGAGAAGGGCAAUUGAGGAAGCCUUUGGAAGCAUUUGGAUUUGAUUUUGUAGACGAGUAACUUCCUACUUCUGCCUCUGUUGCUCAAAACUUGAGCAUUUUCCAUCUGAAGAUGCUUUGGUCAUGAGUGGAAUGUGAAAUAUAGGUCAUAUUUGUAUCAAAAGAUAGGGUAUUAUGCACAUUGAUGCAGCAUUUAGGUGACUUAAUAUGGAUUUGUGAGGUUUUUUGGUUGUAGAGAAAAAUGAAUUUAAGGCUUCAUCUGUUCAAUGAAAGGUGUAACGUGAGAAGGAAAUAAGUUGAUUGAUAGAUCAGCUUUGCCAUUUGAGAAUGUAAUAUUUUUCAGCUGUAUGGUAGGAGAACAGAACUUGGGUUAUUACUGGCAAAAUUCUUAAAAAUUUCCUUAAGAAAGGGGGAAAACUAUUUUCAUUAUCAUCAAGGCUCAUCUCCUUGGAGCCCAUCUAUAGCCUAGUUCAAUUUGUGAUUUGUCUCCGUAUAUUAAUAUUUGAUUUUUUUAAUGUAUAUAUAUAUUCUCUUUAUCUUAGUAGAGAAAGUUGAGUUCUCCCUAUUCUUUCCUCUAAUCUCUGUUCAUGAAUAUAAAAAGGAAUUAUGAGAUGAAAACAAUCAACAUUAUUUUUCUUUUAUAUUCCCUUUCCCUUCCCUUUUUCUUCAGUGAUGAAGAAAUCUAAAUCCUCACUUUACAAUUGUGUAGGCCCAAAAAUAAUCUCUCCACUGUAAACUAUAAAAAAAUGAGUUAUGAGAGUUAAAUAAUUAGUCUAAAAAGAGUUGAAAAGUUUUAUCCAUGUAGCAAGGUCAAAAGAUGGUAAGCAACGAAUUCCAUUUAUGAAAGAUUAUAACGGUUUAAGUAUUAUUAGUAAGUUAAUUCUUAAACAGAAUAUUCAUAUAAACUUGAACAUGAUUGAGUUUCAUUUAAAAAAACUUAAUUUAGUUCUCAACCAGAAUGUUCACUUGGACUUAACUAUGAUUUGGUGGUGUUUGUUUUUUUACUUAAUUCUAAAUAGAACUUUAAUACUUAAUAGUAUUAAAUAUUAGGUUGUUUGUUUUUGUAGUAUUUUAUUUCUAUUAAGUAUUAAAAAGUAAAAAAAACCAUUGUGUUAUUUUUUCUAUUUAAAAAAAGCCACAUAUUCUGGCUUUUUCUAUUUAGUAAAAAUUUUAUAAUAAGUCAUGAAAAAGUAAAAAAACAAACAAUCUAAAUUUUAAAACUAAAUGGUUUUCAGCAAAAAGCCAAAAAAACAAACACCACCAGUUUUAUUUAUGAAAAACUUAAUUGUGGUUAAAUCAUAAUAUUCACUUGAAAUUGACCACAAUUGAGUUUCAUUUAUAAAGAACUAAACCAAAGUUGAGUUCUCAAAAAGAAUAUGCAUCUAGACUUAAUUAUGGUUAAGUAUCGUUUAUGAAGAAUUUAAUUGAGAUUAAGUUCUCAAUUAUAAUAUUCACCUAAACUUAACUAUGAUUAAGUUUUAUUUACAAAGAACCUAACUAAGGUUAAGUUCUCAAUCAAAAUGUUUAUUUGGAUUUAACUAAAUGUUAAGUUAUAAUUUGCAAAGAACUUAACUAAGGUUGAGUUCUCAAUCAAAAUAUUCAUUUGAACUUAAAUUAUAAUUGAUUAAAUUUUGUUCAAUGAUUUAAAAACCGGACUGAACCGAAUGGUCCAACCAAUUGGACCAUCGAUCGGCAACCAAACCGGUUCGAUCCAUCCAAAAAACCGGUUGGGCAUCGAACCGUUAGUGAACCGGACGAAUCAAUGAUUAAACUAGUGAACUAGGCCGAAUAGUUAAUAAAAGUUUUGAUGUUCUAAAAGAAGUGGAUCACUCCAUGAGGAGCCCUUCCAAUCCAUUUGUCAUCAAGCCCAAUAAGCUUUUAGUUUUGCAAGUUAAUGAUUCUUGCAUGUCUUUUAUACCCCAUAAUCCCCACAUAUUUUUGAUCCAUUUCGGAUGUGGGAUUAGUUAGUGAGAAGAAAGAAAAAAAUUUUGGAAGCUGGAGAGCUUGAGCUUAGGACCUUUAGGUGUAAAGAUUGAAACUUAACCAUUAAGUUAUGAAGCUUCUUCAUUACAUUAUAUUUGCAAAUCAAAAUAUAUAACAAAAAUAAUAUAUUUUUUUUUCAAAUUUUUAUUGUAUGAAACUCUUUCACAUUCAUUUUUAUAAUAAUUAUAUAAUGUAAUUAUAAAAAUAAUAUAAAUGAAGUAAUAUAAUAAUUUCAAAAUAUUAAAAUCCAAAAGACAUGCAAAUAAAAUUAAAUAUUAUAAUUUUUUUUUCAUUUUAAAUAUAUAUUUAUAUUUAAAUAUUAUAUAUGUUCUAUUUAAUAAAAUUUAAAAUAUUAAUAUAUUUAUAUUUCUCUUCAUCAUUUAAUUUGAUAUGUCAAAUAUAAAAAAUGAAAUAUUUUUAAAAAUUUUAAUUAUGUAUAAUUUUAAUUUUUUAUAAUUAAUUAAAAUUUUAUAUAAUAUAUAAAUUAUUAUUUAUGACGUUAGACCGCGAUUUGAUUAGUGAAUUGUGAACCGAUAACUUUUCCAGUUCAAUUACUAGCCCGAUUAUGAAAACAUUGGUUUCGUUUGUAAAAAAUUAUUAAGUUUUCUCUAAAAUUAAAAUGUUUACUUAUAUAGUUAAAUUCUCAAUGAGAAUUUUUUACUUGGAUUUAAUUAUGCUUGUCAUUUACAAAGGGUUAUAGAGUUAUAUUCCCAAAAGAAAAAUGUUCACCUAAACUUAAUUAGAGUUAAGUUUUGAAUAUAAAAAUUUCAAAUGAACUUAACUAUAGUUAUGAUUCAUUUGCAAAGAAUUAUUGAUUAAGUUCUGCAAAUCAAACCAUUCAUGUGAAUUUUGAUUAUGCAUUUAUCAACAAUAUAUAAGAUGUUAAUAAAAAAUAUGUAAUUUUCUAAUCAAAAUGAUCACUUGAACAUGCUUUUAACAUAUCAAACUAAAUUAAAAUAUCAAAACUUCUAACACUAAGUAAAAUUCCUCCAAACUAAGAGUCAACACUCAAUAACAUAUGAAUUCAUUACAUAGGCAAAUUUUAGAAAUAGAACAACUUUGUCGCCAUUUUCACUUGAAACCAAUCCAUAGGAGUGUUCGUCAGAGACUGAAUGGAUGGUCAUGCAUAAAAUAUUCUAUGUAUUUGAUUAAGAACAUUCCAACAUCAUCAUUGCAUGAAACACUUACAAUCAAAAUUAAGAUUGCUAUAAAAAAAAAAUGAUUAUAUUAAAACUUGAUGGUAAAAUGAUGAAAUGAAUGAAUAUUUGUUUACUCAUAUAUGACAUAUUCCUAUUGAAAGAUAUCAUGCAACCAUUCCAUGUCCUAUUCCUAUUGUUAGUUAUCCUUAGGGUCAUCAUUUUCCUCAUAAUAUGCUAUGAUAUGCAAUAUAUAUGGUAACAACUUAGCUAAAAGUAUGGUGACACCCUAUUGAUAUCUAUCAAUGAGUCAUAAUACUAUAGGUUCAGAGAGAAUUCUAUUUAUUUUGGAUAACAAAUAAUAUGGGUUACAAGCAAGAAUGAAAAUAUCAAUAAUCUAAUCAUGGAUCUAUCGGUGAUAUAUAGGAGAUAUAAAGACGGAUAUUUUGACAUAAAAUAUAGGUAGACAUAAAAUUGAUCAAAACUUAUAAAAAUAUAAAAUAAAACUCUUAGAAAUAAAAUUAGAAGUAUAAUAGACAUUUUAAAAUUGUUUUAUUGAAGAAAUUGAAAUAUACAUAUAUAUAUAUAUAUAUUGUACAUUUCAAUAAAAAAUAUAAAUUUGAUAAGUGUACAUUGAUUAUUAAAUUAUAUCAAAUAUUAUUUGAUGAUAAUAUUGUGAUAUUUGAUUAUAAUAUGUUUAAUUUUAAAAUAUAUUUAAUAUUAAAAUUAUGAUACAAUAUAAAAUAAAUGAUGAUAAAUAUAUAAUUUUUUAAUAUUUAAUUAAUAUAUUAAUAAUAUUAAAAACACUAGGAAGAAAAUUAUCAAGAUCAUUUUUUAUAUUUUUGCUAAACAAUUAAAUGAAAAAUUUUCACUUAAUUAUAAAACAAUUAAAAUUAAUUUGUUCUUUAAAGUAUUUUUUUAAUAUUUUAUUUAUAUCCUUACUUUUGAUAUAUAUAUGUCUAGUGCAUGUUAUUUAAUAAGGGGCAAACUUGCCCUAGUGGUGCCUGUGAUGCUGUCUGAAUUUUUUGUUGGGGGUUUGAAGAGCUUUGACUUUGUUGAUCGUUCACGUUGACCACCGAUAUAUCCAUUGGAUACAUGAUAUUUUAGGUCUCGUUUCUUUUGAAUAUUCUAUAUAAUACACUAUUUUUUUUUAUUUAAAAUCUAAACCUUAAGUGCUUUCAUAUGUAGAAAAUAACAAAGUCAAAGCAUAUUUUUUUUUAAUUAGGUUAACCAAAUUUGUUUUUCAAUAAAAAUUUCUUCAAAAGUGUAGUUUAAUCUUAACAUUAUUAUUAUUAUUAUUUUGAGCUUUCUAUCUUUGAACUGACCAUAUGAGUAUACAUUUAAAAGGCAUUUAAAAAAAAAAAAAAAAAAAACUAAAAUUAGUAUUCAUCUUAAUAUUAAUUAUUAUUUGUAACCUCUAUACAAUAUAAGAGAAAAUCUAGUACCACUAUUCACCUAUAAAAAACAUUUAUUUAGAAAUAAAAGCAAAUACCAAAAUAAAAGACUUUUCUACCUACACUAUAUUAUAAAAUGAUAUUCUCUAUUUUUAUAAAUAAUUUAAUCUCAAACAAAAAAAUAUAUUCUUAAUCAAUACAUAUCCACACAAGUAAGGGAAUAAAUUCCUAAAGUCUCUAAAAUUUGAUGAAUUCUCUACUCUAAAGUUGGAAACCUAACCUCUAAUCAAAUGCCACCAUAUAUUUGAAAUGUUAUCUAAUUCCCAAAUUCAUGACCAGAAAAUUUAAAAAUUGAAAAUAUGCAAUUUACUAUCUUGAACACACUUCAACAUGUAAAUUUCCAAAAUUUUAAAAAUAUCAAGUAGCAAACCUAACCCUAAUCAAAUACCAUUGUAUAAAAUUAUCCUAAAAAUUUAAAAAAUAAAAACUACACUUACAGACUUAAUAGAUUAUUUUACUCUUUCAUUGAAAAUUGAGAAGAAAUUAAACAUACAUAAUACAUAAAUCCCUAAAAAUUUCAAACAUUUAGAAACAAAGACUAAACUUAUGGAUUUAAUAGAUUCAUUUUCCUCUUCGGCUAGCAACUAAGAUGUGUGCUUUCUUCUUAUCAUUUUGAACCUCUCCGGCUUAUGACUAGUUAAGGAACUUUUUUUUUUCAUUCAUGAAAAGGUAUGCGAUAAGUUCAAAAGUGGAAAUAAAAAUUUGAAUAAAGAGAGAGAAUGAGAAGUGAAGAAGGCUUCCCAUGGUUUUCUAGGGUUUUUGUUCUUUAUGUUUGGAAAAAAAAAAGAGGAAAAAAGUUAAUGAUCUGAAUUAAGAUAGGUAAUAAAAAAUAAAAGGGUUUUCUAUGAUUUUCUAGGACAUAUCAAGACAUGUUUUUUUUUGAUGAAAAAAAUUCCCAUUUGCUAAUAAAUCUUGUUUGGAUUCUUUCAUAGAGGAAAAGAGUCCAUUAACAACAUUCCUUGAUCAUGAUGAAUGGUUUAACCUAAAGCAACCUAAGGAGAGUGACAUAAACAAAAAUAUAAAUGCUAAUUUGCAAAGUCUCCAUUCAUCAAAUACCACCUACUGCACUGAAAAUGAUGAAGCUCAAACUAGUCAAGCUCAAAUUGAUGAAACAAACCAGGUUACUAAUACCAAUCAUAUUUCUAAUAAUUUGUUUAUUAAUCUACAUGUCUUUCCUCCUGAACAAAACGUAUCCAGUACUUCCCCAAAGUAAGUGACAAUCCUAUAAUCACCAUGCAUAAACUUAAGCAUAAUCCUACUCUUGAUCUCUCUCCAAACUGCUCAUACUCUGCCAUCUAUUGAACUAAAGACCCUUUGAACAACCUUGAAAGUUCCACAAUGGGUCAUUGCCAUGGAAGAAGAGUUGAAGGCUUUGCAACAAAAUCAUACUUAGGAGCUUAUCCCUAGGCCACAAAAUGAGAACAUAGUUGGAUCAAAAUGGGUAUACAAAAUAAAAUACUAGGAGGUUGGAAGCAUCGAUAGGUUCAAGGCCCAAUUAGUUACUAAGGGUUUCACAUAAGUUCUAGGUGUAGACUUUGAAGAAACAUUCAGUGUCACACCACGAAUUUUGAAAACCAUGACUCAACCUAAACUCCAAAAUACUCGGGAUCUCAAAAAUUCAAAAUGAGUAUGAAGAUGGUUAGUAAUAGUUUAUGACAAUUUCUCUCUAUCUAUUCCAUUAAUUCACAUUGACAACCAAAAUAUCAUGUGUUAUCAUUUACACUAACAAGAGUGAGUCACAAGCCAUUUGGUUGAUGAAAUUUCUACAGCCUAAAUUUAACUAGCUUGUGAUUGAGGAUUUUUCAAAAAUUCAUUUGAUCACGAAAUUGAUCACAAAAUACCAAUAUAGAAACUAGACUUCAAAGGCUUCAAAUAUAAAAAUACUAAACAUUUAUCUUAUAAAAAACAGAGGCCUUAAAAUCGAUCCAAAAAUAAUGUAUCCAAAAUCGAAAUAUCUUCGACAUGGUUGCUAUGUCCUGCACCUGUGUAGAUUUAGAAAUUCAUAACAAUUUGAUCCCAUAAUGGAUCAAGAUGGAACCUGUCUCGUUUGAAAGAUGAUAAAAUGUACUAAAACUUUUCUGUUUUACACAAGAUUCAAAAAUGAACCUAACCUAUUGAAACUUUUAGGUAAAGUUUCCCUUGCCAUAAGCAAUCCAACCUGGCAGCAACAUUGCUAGAAGAAAAAUUAAGGUACUAAAAUAGUAAAUAUGCUUAUCUUAACAAGGCCUUGUAACUAGGUGUUCCUUGACAUCUCUAAUUUCAUAUUCUCAAUUUACAAGUUUAUUUAUAUAAGCACAUAGACACUAGAUUUUGGUUACAACAAUGAGUGAUAACAUGCAAUACAAGAAAGCUACAACUCCUUUAGUUUAUGUACAUUAUCACAUGCUAAUUGUUGCAUCCAAAAUACAUCAAAAUAACCUUCAAACUCUUUCAUAUAUGCAUUCAAAAAGAAGCUUUCUCAAGCACUCAAUCAAGCAUCUUGAAGCCUCAGCAGCCGAAUCUGAAAAGUGAUUAAUAUAGGAUGAGCUAACAAAGCUCAAUAGAGAAUGGUUCUGUUUUGGAUUUUAAGCAUAAAGAUAUUUUACAAUAUGACAUUUGGGCAAUAAUAUUCAGCAAUAAAAUGUAUUAUUAUAUCAUAAUAUCAAAUAAAACAAUAAACAUUAUAAAAUAAAGUACUCAACAUUUAUUAAUUUUACCAUAUAUAGUGUUGCAAACCACUAGAAAUCAUAAAUAAGUACCAAGAGUAUUAUUUAAGAACUCUCACCCAAGGGCAUAGCAAGGACAUACAUCUACAUCCCAACUGGAUCUUUUCAAGGUAAGUUUGGGGUCUUUCACCACUAGGGACACCAUGCCCUUCUUUUUUUAGGGCUCUCCCCGAGGGACCAUGCCCCCCAUUUCCACCAAGUCACCCUUUCCAUAAUAACCGUAUUAUUUAUCUUUAUUUAUUUCAUGAAAUCAUAUCUUUAUUAUUAGCCCAACAUUCAAUUAUUUAAUGUUUUAGAGUAAAUCCUUAAUGGAGUUCAUAAAACAAUCAAUUGAUAACCACAACUAUAAUCCAUUUGUGAAUUAUUCAAUAACUAUCUAGAACAAGAAUUCUUUCAUGUUUUCAUCAUGUGAGUCACCUUAGGUAUUCUAAGUUAACAAGAUAUUUUAAGACAAUCCAUAAAUAGGAAUUUCUAACAUAAAUCAUAACUCAAUAAACAUCCAAAUCAUGUAUUUGUAAUUUCAACAAAUAUCCAUCACAAACUUGAAAUUUCAACACAUUAAUUUCAACUAGCAUAUUGUCUAUCAUUAGUAUAAUUGGAUAACAUAAAAAAAUUAAUGGAAGGAAUGCCAUUUAUUCCAUAAAUUUACAACUUCAUCUCACUCCGUGAAACCUGGCUUCUUUUUUAAAAAAAUUAUAAAGCUUGAGUCCAAGAUAGAACCUUCCCUAACUGGCAUUAAAAAAGGAAACCAAACCGUGGUAGCAAUGGGCGGAAUUUUGCAACUCUUUCUUCCUUGUUCUCUCUAGAUACCGAGCUGUUGCUGGGGUUUUCAAACUUAGUGAUGAAAGCUACUUAAAGGCUAAGAAAGUGGGUUUUUUUAAGCCUCAAAUUGAUUUAUUAGUAGCUGAUGAUGCAGCUGCAUGCUUGGUGGCAUUCAGUGGACUAUUUUCAGCCACAUAUACAAGAUGAUGCAGCUGCUUGCUUACAUAAAACACCUCUCUUGGUGGCAGCAGCUUACACAACUAUUAACUAAUUAAUUGGAUCAACAAAUAAUUCAUUUUCUUAGUGGACAAUGGAACCAAUAGUUCACACGGCCCUUUGAAUAUAUAUAUACACACAUACAUAAUGCAACUAAUUUUUCCUUUGUAGCUUGAGUAACUAUUCUAAAAUGAAAAUGGCCAUGUUCAGCCACGUGAAGGUGCACGAAAAUUAAGUGGAAAGGUGCAACUAACAAUUAAAACAAUAAAUAAAAUACUCCUUACUAAUACCUAAUAUAAUACUAUUGACAUUUUUUUUGAGGGGGAAAUUGAGUAAGUUUAUAGUUGAUUUCCUUAUGAAAUAGUGUAGGUUAUAACAUUUAGUCUUGUUAUAAAAUCUACCACAAUUAGAUUAGUCAUUUCUUUAGCUGUUAGUACCAAGUGGCGCACAUGGAAACCUUAAAGAAAUAAUAUAUAUGGAGCAACCACUUGGAUUUGAGGACCCUAAAUUUUCUUUGCAUAUUUAUUUACUCAAAUAAUAUUCUUAUGGCCCCAAAGAAGCUCCUCGGGCAUGGUUUGAAUGUCUAACUUAAGUAUUGCUUCAACUUGGUUUUUAUUGUAGCAAGGCGAAUGCUUCUUUAUUUAUUUACAAUAAUGCUACUAACAUUUUUAUGGUUGUAGUCUAUGUUGAUGAUGUUAUAAUAAUAAGAAAUAAUGAUGAUUUUCUCUAAAAUGUCAUUCACCAGCUAAGUUCUAACUUUGUUCUAAAAGAAGUUAAAAAAUUACAAUACUUUCUUGGUAUUGAAGUUCGUCCAUUCAAAGGAGUCUUUCUUUCACAAAUGAAGUACAUCAUAUGCUCGACUGCUCUCCGAUUGCCACUCUAAUGUCACUCGAAGAUGUUCAAUUACUAAAUGACAAUGAUCUCACUGAUGCAACUGAAUAUCGGGGUUUUGUUGGAAGUUUAUAAUAUCCUACUGGACCUAAUAUUACAUAUUCGGUGAACCGUGUUUGUCAACACUUUCAAAGCACUACAAAGUCCAUUUGAGGGUCCUAUGUUAAUUAAUGGAAACAUAGACUUUGGUCUCAAAUUUUUAGCUCAAAGUCCCACAAACCUUUAUGGUUUUUCAGAUUAGGAUUAGGCUGGUUGUCCUACUAGAUGAAGAAAAACAACAGGUUACUGCAUCUUGCUCGGAGUAAAUAGUAUAUCAUGGAGUUCAAAGAAAUAAAUGACCAUUGCUCGUUCUAGUGCUAAAGCAGCUGAAUAUAGAUCUCUAGCUCUUGUAGCUGCUGAACUCAUACGGAUUAUCUUUUGUUGAAAAAAAUAGGCUUUCCCACAAGUGUAAAUCAAUGGAAGCAAUAUAAAUAGAAUAACAAAAAAUAAAUGAGCACACAAGAUUUACGUGGUUCCCUCAAAUAACUUGAGGUACGUCCACGACGACCGGUAGGUCAGUUUCUUCCACUAUCACCAAAAGAGUUUACAAAGUGGCCAAAAAGCAUAAGCCUUACAAACACACCAAGUUGUAAAUCACAAGAGGAAAAUACCUCACAAAAGUAAACCAAAUCUCCAAGAACAAACCGCAAGAAACCCCAAAUAUCAAGUGAAGAAACAUUACCCACUUGAAGAACAAACUUGCCGAUUGUGUAGCACCAAAAUAUGGAGAAGAAGAAGGCUGAUUUUUGUUUUGAACCAAAAAUGUAUCCCAAAAGUCUUCUUGCCGACCAAGAUGAUGAACCAAAGGAAAAGACAAAAGACUUGUAGUUUUUUUUCUUUCCUUGAAGACUUCAAACCAAUCUUGAAUAUGCCAAGAGUCAUGUGCUAACCAAGGUGUUGGCCAAAAAUGGCAAAACCAUAUUUAGUAAAUUUAAGAGUCCCACAAAGGAGGGAAACCCAACAAUUCUCCCCCUCCCGACUUAUGUGGAGGAUUCGACCAUUCCCGCCAAUAGUCGACACUUCUCAUGCUUGUCCUUAGUCAAUGCCUUAGUCAACAUAUCCGAAGUGUUAUCAUCAGUGUGAACUUUUUCAAGUUGCAACAACUUAUCAUUCAAGACAUCACGAAUCCAAUGAUAUCUAACAUCAAUGUGUUUCGACCUCGAAUGAAAUGAAGAAUUCUUACUCAAGUGGAUUGCACUUUGACUAUCACAACGAAGGACAUACCUUUCUUGUUUCAAACCCAACUCUUGUAAGAAUUUCUUCAACCACAAUAAUUCUUUGCAGGCUUCUGUAAUGGUGAUGAACUCAGCUUCUGUGGUGGAGAGAGCAACACAUUUCUGUAAUCUUGAUUGCCAUGUCACUGCUCCCCCUACAAAAGUAAUCAAAUAACCAGAAGUAGAUUUUCGACUAUCAACAUCACCAGCCAUAUCAGAAUCUGUGAACCCAUCAAGAAUAGGCUCGCCUUUACCAAAACACAAACUCAUCUUUGAAGUGCCCUGAAGAUACCUCAGAAUCCAUUUCACUGCUGCCCAGUGUUCUUUCCCCGGAUUAGACAGAAAUCGACUAACAACCCCAACCGCGUGAGCAAUAUCCGGUCGAGUACAAACCAUGACAUACAUCAAAGAACCAAUUGCUGAAGCAUAGGGAAUUUUCUGCAUCUCAUUUUUCUCUUCAUUACUUGUAGGACAUUGACUUGAGCUAAGUUUGAAGUGGCCUGCAAGUGGACAAUUAACAGGCUUUGCUUUGUCCAUAUUGAACCUUUUUAACAUAAUUCUCUUGAGAUAACCAAAUCAGCCCAUGUGAUCUAUCGCGAACAAUUCUUAUCUCAAGAAUUUGCUUUGUUGGACCCAAAUCCUUCAUGGCAAAGGACUUGCUCAACUCUGACUUCAACUUGCUAAUCUUGCUAGUGUCUUGGCCCACAAUAAGCAUAUCAUCAACGCAAAUCAAGAGAAUAAUAAAAUUACCAUCUGGAUAUUUCUUCACAAACACACAAUGGUCUGAAGUGGUUCUUGAAUACCCAUGCUCAGUCAUGAAAGAAUCGAAUUUUCUGUACCACUGCCUCGGUGCUUGCUUCAAUCCAUACAAACUCUUCUUCAAUUUGCAAACUAACUGAUCAUUACCCUUAUCUAUGAAGCCCUCAGGUUGCUCCAUAUAAAUUUCCUCUUCUAAGUCACCCUGCAAAAAUGCGGUCUUCACAUCAAGCUGCUCAACUUCUAAAUUCAUACUCGCAGCUAUACCAAGCACAGUUCGAAUGGAGGACAUCUUCACAACUGGUGAGAAGAUCUCAUCAAAAUCAACUCCCUUCCUCUGAUCAAAACCUUUCACAACAAGUCGUGCCUUGAAUCUCGGUUAAGAACUGUUCCCAUCAUUCUUUCGUCUGAAGACCCAUUUAUUUUUCAAAAUUUUCUUCCCUUUAGGCGGCUUCACCAAAUCAUAGGUGUGAUUCUCAUGCAAAGACUUCAUUUCCUCUUUCAUUGCCUUGAGCCAUUCGGUUUUGUUCUCAUGCUUCAAGACUUCUUGAUAAGUCUCUGGCUCCUCUUGAUCUGAUAUCAUCACAUACUCAUUUGAAGAAUAUUUUCUGGAUGGCUGUUUUUCUCUGGUAGAUCUCCUCAAUGGUGUUUGUGGUAGUGGCUCUUGGGAUGACUGUUCCCCCUCAAUCUCUGGCUCAACAUCAUCUUCCGUUGCAUCAUCAUGAGGUGUCUGCACUUCCUCAUUAAUAUCAUGAACAACAGGUGGAUUAAGAGGAUCUAAAUCAACAAGAUCAUUAGUACUAGACUCAACUGACUCAAGCUUGUCAAUGUCUUCAAUAGUCUGAUCUUCCAAGAAAACAACAUCUCGGCUUCUGACAACUUUCUUAUCAACUGGAUCAUACAACCUGUAGCCAAAUUCUUCAUGCCCAUAGCCAAUAAAUAUGCACUACUUUGCUUUUGGAUCAAGCUUGGACCUCUUAUCUUUUGGAAUAUGAACAAAAGCUCUGCAGCCGAAUACCCUCAAGUGAUCAUAGGAGACUUCCUUCCCUGUCCAAACUUUCUCUGGCACAUCACCAUUCAAUGGAACUGAAGGAGACAAAUUGAUAAGAUCAACUGCUGUCCUCAUUGCCUCACCCUAAAAAGAUCUUGGCAAUUUAGAAUGUGAGAGCAAACAUCUGACUCUCUCAAGAAUGGUGCGAUUCAUUCUCUCUGCAACCCCGUUUUGUUGAGGUGUCUUUUUGACUGUCUUUUCGUGCCUGAUGCCAUGAUUAGUGCAAUACUGAUCAAAUGGUCCAAUAUAUUCACCACCAUUAUCCGAGUGGACACAUUUCAACUGUCUACCAGUUUCUCUUUCAACCUUGGCCUGAAAAUGCUUAAACACAUCUAGAACUUGAUCUUUAGUUUUCAGUGUAUAAGCCCAAACUUUUCUAGAGUGAUCAUCAAUAAAAGUGACAAAGUAUAGAGCACCACCAAGUGUCCUAACUUUCAAAGGACCAUAUACAUCAGAAUGUAUCAAAUCUAGAACAUGAGAUUUUUUAGAUGCAAUGUUUCUAUGGAAUGAUAUUCUAUUUUGUUUACCAUGGAAACAAUGAACACAUGUUUUCAAAGGCGUACCUUUUAUCCCUGCUAGAAGCUCUUUCUUGGAUAAAACUUGCAAUCCUUUCUCACUCAUAUGUCCAAGCCUUCUAUGCCAUAAAUCGGUGGAUGAGUCAUUCUCUAAGGUAUUCACAACACCCUUGUAGAUUUUUGCUUGCACAAUGUAAAGAGAACAAGUCUUCUUUCCUUUUGCUACCACUAGAGAACCUUUGGAGAGCUUCCAUUUUCCAUCACUGAAAUUGUUGUUGUAGCCCUCAUCAUCUAACUUUCCAGUAGAGAUUAAAUUGAGCCGAAUAUCCGGUACAUGCCUCACAUCUCUAAGCAACAAUUUGCAUCCAGUAUUUGUUUCCAAGCAAAUGUCACCCAUGCCGACAAUUUUUGACACAUCUUCAUUUCCCAUACGGACAUUCCCAAAAUCACCUUGCGAGUAAGAAGUAAAGAAAUCAGCCCGCGAAGUAACAUGAAAUGAAGCUCUAGAAUCAAUUACCCAAUCCGUCUCUUGGCCAAUCAAAUUAAUGCUAACAUCAUCAUGAAUAAUCAUGAGUUCACCAUCAGUAACUACAGCUAUAUCAUUUUGCUUUUUCUCUGAAUUUUUCUCUUUGUUCUGCUCCUUGAACUUGAGUUUUUUGCACUCCCGCUUCAUGUGCCCUUUCUUGUGACAAUAAUAACACUCAACAUCUUUCUUUGAAAUCGAGCUUGAACGACCUCUAGAUUUAUCACGGUUGUGCGAAGCCUUACUCUUACUCCUGCCUCUCCCCCGGUUUUCUAUCACAAGUGCCUCGGGGUGAGAAGAACCUGAUGAUUUUCUUCUUGUCUCUUCAUUCAACAGACUGCUAGUAACUUGACUCAUUGUUACCACUCCAUCAGGUGUGGAGUUACUAACUGUGACCACCAAAGUUUCCCAGCUUUCAGGAAGUGAACUAAGAAGUAACAAAGCUUGCAACUCAUCAUCAAAAGUAAUUUUCAUGGCGGCCAACUGAUUCACAAUGCUCUUAAUCUCAUUCAAAUGCUUUGCAAUAGGAGUACCCUCCUUAUAUUUAGAAUUCACAAGCCUUCGAAAUAAAAAAGCUUUAUUCACGAUCGUCUUUCUAUCAUAAAGACUCUAAUUUGGUCCAAAGACCAUGUGCUGAAUUUUCUAUAGAGACAUGAUGAAAGACACUAUCAUCAAUCCAUUGCCGAAUAAAACGACAGCUUUUUGGUCUAGCUUUUUCCACUCGUCAUCUUUCAUCUCUUCCGGUUUGCCACUAUCACCCUCUAUGGGUCCAUUCAAAUCUUUACAAAACAAAAGGUCUUCCAUUUUAGUUUUCCAAGUCACCCAAUUUGUGCCAUUGAAACUAACCAUACGCCCAACGUUGCCGUCCAUAAUUCACACACAUAAUAUAACGAAUCGGAACCGAAUUAACCAACAGCUCUGAUACCAGAUGUUUAAAAAAAUAGGCUUUCCCACAAGUGUAAAUCAAUGGAAGCAAUAUAAAUAGAAUAACAGAAAAUAAAUGAGCACACAAGAUUUACGUGGUUCCCUCAAAUAACUUGAGGUACGUCCACGACGAUCGGUAGGUCAGUUUCUUCCACUAUCACCAAAAGAGUUUACAAAGUGGCCAAAAAGCAUAAGCCUUACAAACACACCAAGGUGUAAAUCACAAGAGGAAAAUACCUCACAAAAGUAAACCAAAUCUCCAAGAAAAAACCGCAAGAAACCCCAAAUAUCAAGUGAAGAAACGUUACCCACUUGAAGAACAAACUUGCCGAUUGUGUAGCACCAAAAUAUGGAGAAGAAGAAGGUUGAUUUUUGUUUUGAACCAAAAAGGUAUCCCAAAAGUCUUCUUGCCGACCAAGAUGAUGAACCAAAGGAAAAGACAAAAGACUUGUAGUUUUUUUUCUUUCCUUGAAGACUUCAAACCAAUCUUGAAUAUGCCAAGAGUCAUGUGCUAACCAAGGUGUUGGCCAAAAAUAGAAAAACCAUAUUUAGUAAAUUUAAGAGUCCCACAAAGGAGGGAAACCCAACAAUUUUCUUCUUUCAGAUAUUGACAUUCAACAAACCAACUAAGCUAUUCACAAAUAAAAUGAGUGCCUAUAUAAGUCUAAAAAUCAUGUGUUUCAUGCAAAAACAAAAGAUAUGGAGCUUGAUUAUCACUUCACACGAGAAAAAUGUGACAAAUGGAGCACUCCUUACUAGACAUAUGGUCCUUUCACAUUUCACAUUGUUGACAUACUCACCAAGUCUCAUUCACGCCGCUCAACCUAUGUUUUUCGGUUCAAUUUAGGAGUUCAUUGCAUUCCCUCUCCAACUUGAGGGUGCAUGUUAAGAUACCAAAAUAGAAAGUUGAAUAUUAUCAUCACUACUAAGAAGAUUACUUCCAUCACUACCAGAAUUAUUCACAAAAUUAUUCCCUUUGAUUAUUUCCAGCAAGCCAUAAUUAUUCUCUUUGACUACGUUGUGGAAGAUAAAUGCUGAAUUGCUUGAAUUUCUUUCCUUUUAAUCAUUGCCAUAAUUGCCAAAAUUCUUUUCCUUUUGAUUGACCAACCUUCACAUUGUUGGUUUAAGGGUAUAGAAACAAAUGACUAGCCCAAAAGACACAAACAAAGAACAGAAUAAAUAGUAAGAAAAACUUAUCGGCUGAGGCGUGACAAACACUGUCCUUGAAAUUGAUCCACCCUCCUCGAAGACGAACUCGGUGCACUAGGAUACCAGUGGUCUACUUCAAGGAUUCAACAACCAGAUCUUGUGCACUCUGUAAGUGAGAUGUGUACAACUCGGGUUCUGAAAUAUUCAUUCAGAUAGAUGUAUGAAAAACUCUCCGAAAAAACUAUUUGAAAAAUUGGUAUUCUUAUUUAGAGAGUGAGAGGUGACCUGCUAUUAUAAGCCACUAACAUAGUCUCAAUAGGACUCUACUAGUAAGCGGAAUAGGACUCAAAGAGAAUGGGAUUCUACUUAUAAGUGGAACGGGACUCCACUAGCAUAAUCCCAAUAGGACUCUUCCCAAAAAUAUAAGACUAAUAGAAUAAAAUAAAAAUAAAAAUUAUUUUGAAUUUUUGUAAAAAUUAGCUGAGAAAACGCUAAAACACUUUUUUCAGAUUUACACUCUUCCUACAAUCCCCCACAGAGUGUAGAUGUGAAAAGAAAAGAAAAAAAUGGAGGAAAAAUAAUCCAAUGCAUCAGUACCGGUGUUUAAAGCCUGCGAACUAGUCUUAGGACAAAUAAGUAUUGAAUCAUAAAACACGGUGAAAAUAAAUUUCUAUGAACCAACGUUUCUUGAUGUAACUCAAGGGACUUUUAUCCACAUUGGUUUUCUUAACUACACUGCGAGCUGUACAAAACAUGUUGGCACAAAUAGGCCAUGCGCCCUGCUUGGAUAUUCAUGAGAGUUCCAGAGAAUCUGCCUAAGUUCUCAUAGGAAGCGGCCCCACCUCCACUCUCAUAUAGGUGAAUCCAUCAAGUAUGUUCUGAAUUUAAAUAUACCAUCCAUAAGGAAUAUGGUAUUCAUUAAGAGUAAACACUUAACCUUAGUCAAUGCAGAAUACACUCUAUCUAAAUCAUAGGGAUAGACUCUCAUAUAAUUAGAGUUGAUAAAGCACCUCAAGUUAACAAGUGAUUUGUUAUUACCCAUAUGAAUCUACUUCAUGGAAUUUCCAUUCUAAUAGGUUGGGUUACCACCACUCUUGACUUCUUUAAUAGGCAUAAACCCCAUCCCCCUCGAUGUUUCUUCCACUAGUUUCUUAUUUAGUGGUUUGGUCAAAGGAUCGACCAAAUUCAACUAUGACCUCACAAAUUCUAGGGAUAUUAUCCCCAUUUCAAGCAGCUGAUGCACAGUAUUGUACCUUAGGCGUAUAUGCCUGUUUUUCCCAUUAAAUCUUUUACUCUUAGCCUUAAUAAUUGUAGUUUGGCUAUCACAACGCAUAGACACAGACGGGGCUGGUCUCGCCCAUAAAGAGAUAUUUGCUAAGAGGUUUAUAUGACACUCAACCUCAGAACUUGCCUUUUCUAAGGCAAUAAACUUAGCCUCCAUAGUAGACUGAGUAAUGCAAGUUUGCUUGGCGGACUUCCAAGAAACUGCACUUCCACCAAGGAUGAAAACAUAUCCGUUAGUGGAUUUUAUCUCAUCUGAGAUCCAAUUUGCAUCACUAAAUCCUUCAAGGACACUUGGAAAUUGACUAAAGCACAAACCAUAGUUAAUGGUGCCUCUCAAAUACUUAAGGACUCUACGAAUAGCAGUCCAAUGGUCCUGAUUAGGACUUUGGGUGUACCGACUCAAUCUACCUACUGCAUAAGCAAUGUCAGGUUUGGUAUAGUUCAUUAAGUACAUUAGACUCCCUAUGAUUUGAGCAUAUUCUAUUUGGGCAAUACUAUGUUCUCUAUUUUUCUUCAGUUGUGAGCUAGGAUCAUAAAGAGUUGACACUGGUUUAUAAUCAAAGUGUUCAAACUUCUUUAGGAUCUUUUCAACAUAGUGCUCUUAGAAAGUUUAAGCCUAUUAGGUGUUCUAGUUAUUUUAAUUCCUAGAAUCACCUCUGCCUCUCCUAGGUCUUUCAUAUCAAACUUAGAACCUAGGAAUUUCUUGGUCUCACACACAACCUCUAGUCUAGUUCCAAAGAUCACCAUGUCAUCAACAUAAAGGCAGAUGACUACACAUGUGUUAUCCUCAUACUUUCUGUAGGUACACUUAUCAACAUCAUUAAUGAAAUAUCCAUUAGUUACUAACACAUGAUCAAACUUGUUGUGCCAUUAUUUGGGAGCUUGUUUUAACCCAUAUAGUGAUUUAACCAACUUACACACCUUUUUUUCCUUCACUGGAACUACACAACCUUUAGGUUGUUCCAUAUAUAUUUCCUCUUCCAAAUCCCCAUUCAAGAAUGCAGUCUUGACAUCCAUUUAGUGUAUCACCAAAUUAUGAAUGGAAGCUAGAGCGAUCAAUACUCUAAUUGAUGUAAUUCUAGUCACAGGGGCAAAGGUGUCAAAGUAAUCUACAUUCUUCAUUUGUUUAAAACAUUUGGCAACUAAAUGAGCUUUAUACUUCUCUAUGAACCCAUCUUGUUUUAACUUUCUUUUAAAGAUCCACUUAAAGCCAAUAAUCUUUGCACCAGGAGGUAAAUCUACUAACUCCAAUGUAUGGUUAUACAUGAUUGAUUCGAUUUCACUAUUAAUGGCUUUCUUCCAGAAUGGUGCAUCAGGAAAAGUUAUAGCUUUUUUGUAGGAUCUAGGGUCCUCAUCUAUUAGGAAGGUGUAGAAACCAUUUCUAAGGUAUGUUUCAUUCCUAUCUCUUUUACUCAUUCUAGGCUCAAAUUUAGAAGGUUCAAUAGACUUGUCUUUACUUGUUUUCUGAACUUGUUGUUCACCAUUUAGUUUCAUAGGAAAGAUGUUUUCAAAGAAAUUUGCAUUCUUUGUUUCUAUUAUAGUAUUGAUAUCUACAAGAUUGUUCUCUGACUUAGUAACAAGAAACCUAUAUACUGCACUAUUCUCAGCAUAGCAAAUGAACAUUGCAUCAAAGGUUUUAGGACCUAAUUUUCGUUUUUUAGGUUCAGGGAAAGGAACUUUAGCUAAAUACCCCCACACUUUUAGGUAUGCUACAUUAGGUGCAUAACCCUUCCACAACUCAUAAGGAGUUUUAUCAGUUUUCUUAUAAGGUAUUCUAUUUUGAAUAUGACAUACGGAUAGGAUAGCUUCCCCCCCACAAGUUCAAGGGUGCUCUUGAACUUACCAAGAUUGCAUUCAUCAUUUCUUUUAAGGUCUCAUUUUUCCUUUUUGCUACUCCAUUAGACUUAGGGGAAUAAGGUGGACUAGUUUUGUUAAUGAUCCUAUAAUCUUCACAAAAAUAAUUAAAGGGGUUAGACUCAUACUCUCCUCCCUUAUUAGUUCUAAGCUUUUUAAUUUUCUUACUUAGUUGAUUUUCCACUUCAUUUUUGUACUUGAUGAAAGCAUCUCUUGCUUCAUCUUUGUUUCUCAAAAGAUAUACCCUUGUAUACCUUGAAUAGUCAUUUAUGAAAGUUAUGUAGAAUUGUUUACCACCUUUACUCAUUGUAUUUUUUAGGUCUCCUAAGUCACUGUGUAUUAAACUUAGUAGAUCUGAUUCUCUUUCAACUGAUUUUCAAGAUUUCUUUGUGGUUUUAGAUUCUACACAAGAUUCACAUUUUCCAUGGUUUUCUAAGGACAGUUUAGGGAUUAAACUCAAUUCAACCAUUUUCUUCAUAUAUGAAAAGUUCACAUGUCCUAGUCUACCAUGCCAAAUAUCAUAAGAAUCAACUAUGUAAGCAGAAGAAGAAGAUGCAUUAUUAUUGAUAAUAUAAAAAACAUUCAACAUAAAUAAACCAUGAUUACAAUAGCCUUUUCCCACAAAUGCUUCAUUCUUGGUUAAAACUAUUUUAUUAGAGUCAAACAAGAUCCUCACUUCUACUUUUCCAAGCAGAGAUACUGACACCAAGUUUUAAUGGAUAUCUAUCACAUGAAGAACAUCACUGAGGGCAAGUACUUUUCCAGAGGUUAGCUUGAGAAGAACUUUCCCUUUGCCAAUCAUUGGAGUAGAUCUAAAAUCACCUAUGACUACUUGUUCCUCUCCUUCCUUUAGAGUGGUAUAGGAAGUAAAUGCACUUCUAUUUCCACAGAUGUGUCUAGUAGCUCCAGAGUCUACCACCCAGUCCUUCAUAUUGGUGGCCAUGCUCACCUCAGAGGAGACUAUUGCUGCGAUCACCUUUGUCUUUGCCAGAUUUGCCUUUGAAAUGGAUUUCUCAGUUCUCUUCCUAUGGCGACAUUGAGCUGCAUGGUGUCUAUACUUGCCACAAACAAAGCAAUUACCCUGUUAUUUAAUAGUUGGGUUCUGAACCUUGUUUCAUUCAUUGGGCUUGGUCCUAGAGUUUUGCUUUUUGGACUUAUUGUUUUUGGGUUUGUGUUUUUCUUCUACUACAUUAGCUUUAGAAGACAAUUCCUUAGUUUUCUCAACAUUGUCCCUAUUUUGAUUUUGUUCCUCAAUCCUAAUAUGGAUUAUGACAUUCUCUAGGGACAUUUGUUUCCUUUUAUGUUUCAUGUUAUUUUUGUUAUCUUUCCAAGACUCUGGAAGAGUCUCUACUAAAUAACUAGCCACAAAAGGUUUAGGUAAUUUGAUGUCUUCAAUAGCUAAGUCAUUAAUCAACAAGUAGUAGUCAUGGAUUUGAGAUGAUACAUCUUUAUCUGUUCAUUUUGAAAUUUCUAAAAUUCCCUAUGGCCUAUUUCUGAGUUCCUACAUCUUCCAAAAUAUAUUUUUUUAUUCAUUGCAUCUCGAAUUUCUUUUGCAACUUUAAAUUGACAAUAAAUAUAAAAAAUUUCAUUAGAAAUGGUACUCAGAAUAGCAUGCCUAACUUGUUUAUUUUUAGUUUCCCAGGUUGGUAACAAAUGCGAACCAUCUUCUGGUUUUGGUUCAAUCAAAAUGUGACCCAAGUUCACUACAUCAAUUGCAGAGAAAACCCUUUCUUGCGAUCUCUUAAAGAAUGUCCCAUUGAAGGGAUCAAUUUUAGAGGUGUCAGGACGGGUGUGAACUAGGGAAGCUUCCAUUUGGAUACAUUUCAAGAUUGUUGGUUUAAGAGUAUGGAAAUAAAUGACUAGCCCAAAAGACACAAACAAAGAAUAGAAUGAAUAGUAAGAAAAACUCAUUGGCUGAGGUGUAACAAGUACUGUCCUUGAAAUAAAUCCACAUUCCUCGAAGACGAACUUGGUGCACUAGGGUACUAGUGGUCUACCUUCAGGAUUCAACAGCUAGGUCUUGCCUUGGGAGCACUCUAUAAGCGAGAUGUGUACAAAUCGGGUUCUGAAAUAUUCCUCCAAAUAGAGGUAUGAAAAGCUUUCUGAAAAAACUCUGAAAAAUUGGUAUUCAUAUUUAGAGAGUGAGGGGUGACCUAUUAUUAUAGGCCACUAACACAGUCCUAACAGGACUCUACUUGUAAGCAGAAUAGGACUCAAAGAGAACAAAAUUCUACUUAUAAGUGGAACGAGACUCUACUAGUAUAAUCCUAAUAGGACUCUUCCUAAAAAUAUAAGACUAAUAUAAUAAAAUAAAAAUAAUUUUUUUUUGAAUUUUUGUAAAAAUUAGCCGAGAAAACGUUAAAAUAGAUUUACACUCUUCCUACACCCAUAGUUGUUUAGUUAAUGUAAUCUGUAAUAUUCCUUUUUAACCAACCUUCCUUAGAUAUCAAAUUUAUGUUGACUACCUCCAAAGGCUAUUUGAUGCACUUGUACGUAUUGCCAUAGUAGAAAAUAAACCAUGCAAGGAAUCCUUCUCAGUUUAUUUUAUUAUUCUUAAAUCAUUCUUCCAAUAUUUUUUCUUGUUAGAAGGAAGAAGAAGAAAAAAAGAAAAAACAAAAAAACAAAAAAAGGCAUUUUUGUCUUAUAAGGGUCAUCUUUAAAUAUUUUGAAAAUAAGUGGGUUACAUGAGAAUUAAUUACAAGUCUGAUUCUGCAUGAGCAAUAAUUACAUGGCAAAAGGUUGGAAAAUAAAAAAACUGUAGAGGGCUUCCGGAUGAUCACCCCUGAAGCAGUUCUCUCAACACUUAUUUAUACACUCUAACUCAAAUAUGCAUCCAAUUUUUCCAUUAACUACUUAGUCAUAUCCUAUAACAAGUUUUCAAAUAUAUUAAUCAACAACGAUAUUAGACGUAAAGCUGAUUAAUUUUGACACUCUACCUGUAAUACUUCUAUGUAAAAUGGAUUUACCAUUAUUCCCUUACCAAUACUCCGUACAAAUUAAAAUGUAUAUACAUUUAUAUGUCCACAUAAACAUUAUCUUUCUAAUUAAUUACAUGCCGUACUAAUCAAGAGUACUUUUGUAGUCUCGAAAGGAGUACAAAAUUAGCUCCAUCGCUAAUUCUUAUCAGCAAUUGUCAUCGAGAUAUUCAUAUUAAAAUGACCUUAUCAAUGACCUUAUUUGAUGUAGGUGGUCCAACUGUAUAUGGGCUCCAUUUAUUAAAUUUUAGGACUAAAUAUCUUAUAAAACAAUAAAGAAAGUAGCAAUUUAAUUGAAUGUAUUGAUGUCCUUGGUUUAUUUAAGUUUGAAAAUAACUUGUCUUUAGACUCAUUUUCUUUUUCUUUUUAAUUGAUCACCUUUUCUAAACAAAUUGUUUGAAUGAAAGGUGAUUUUUUUUUUUCUAGUUUUUUACCAAUUAAAAAUGUUACUUUUUCAAACUUAAAACUUUUUGAAAUAUUUCUAUAAGCUUGGAGACCAAAUUAUAAAUAAGAUCUUUCACCUAUUUAAGUAAUUUUGUAAUUUUUUUACCCUUUUACCAUUAUAACAAAUUGAUAUUUUUAAAUAUUUAGAAACAUGUAAUAAAAUAAUUGUAACUUUCCUUUAAUUUGGUUUAGGUUUUCUCAGUUUUCAAACAUCUCAUUUUAAUUAUAUAGAAUAACAAAAAAUAAAAUACUCCAAGGAUAAUAAUGUUAAUUACUACUUUCUAAAAUUUAUAUUAUUGUAACAAAUAUUGAUAUUUUCAAAUAUGUUAACUACUAUUUUUCCUUGAACUAUCAUUCUUCAAAUAUUCUAUCAUAACUAUAUAUAAAAUAAAAAUAAAUAUAGUAAUUAUAUUUGGCUCCCAACAUUUAAGAAUAGUUGAAAACCACUAAAAACAAACAAUAUCAUUCGGAGUUAUGCAUCUGACUAUAUUUAAAUUAAGAUGUACACAAAUUUUAUAUCAAAAAACAAAUGUCACCUAAGAGCAAAUACCUAUGACCCUAUUGUGGAACCUAAAAUUUUUCUUCUCGUAAGUGGAAGUUACUGCAUUACAAUUUUAAAGGAGUCUAAACUUAGUAUUUACAUAAUCAAUGGUAGACUUGAUGUUGGUGAUCUAAUUAAAGUAUAUAUGAGCUUCAUUUAUUAAGUUUUAGUUAUAAAUGAAAGUGAUAGUUGCGUCCAUUAUACUAAAGAUUUGAGGAGAAGGUAUGAAAAUCCUAGGAGUCUAGAUUUUUUUCCCCUUCAAAAGCAGAAUUUCUCUUGAAACAUCUAUUUUAAGCACAACAGAAAUGAAGUUGUCUGCGUAACAUGUUUUCAUGCAUAAAUCAAUUAAAAGAUACAUUAGAAUAAAAUUUCUUUGGUACUGUAUAUUACUAUUGUAAAUAAUUCUUUUUACUUCUUCCUUCAGAUAGUUGAGAACUCAAAGAUAUUUGCUUUGCAAUAGAUUUAUACACUAAGGUGAUUGCUUUGACAAGCGACGCGCUAUAACCGUGUUCUCAUGCACUAACCACACUCAAUAUCUUAUUGCAAUCUUAACGAGAAGGUCUUCUAAUCUGAUUUAGUAUUAGAUGAUAUAACCUUAAAGAACAUAGCUCUAAUACCAUAGUUUGUUUUCGUUUUCAACAAACAAUAAAUAGUAAAAGUAAUUAAACAAUAAAUAAUAAAUUUGGAAGAAAAUUUUGAAUAACGAUAAUUUUGAGAAUAAGUUUAAAUAGAAAUGUAAUAAUAAACAGUAAAUUUUGAAUAAAUAUGAUAAUUAUAGUUUCUAAGAAAAUAGGAACUUUUAAAAACGCUAUAAACUUGAAGGGGAUAUAUCUAUAUCAACAUUGUACUCCAUGUUAAUACUAGCAUAAAUUAAUUUUAGAGGUAGUAGAGGAGAAACAAAAUUUUGGAUGCCUUCAACGCAUGAAAAGAAACACCUUCAUAAUUGUUGCAGCCACUUUGAAACAAAGUGAAAAAGGAAGAUUGUUUAAGUGGGAAUACAAGAAAAGCAUAUAAAUGAAUGAAUUUAUCGGAAGAGAAAACAAUACAUGGAAUGUGAAACCGCUUUCUUGACAUUUUGAAUUUAUCAAAAAGAUAUAAUGUCACGUCCCAAAACCUACUUUAUAGGUAUGACGGUCAUUUCACAUCUCAAGCCCCAAGAUUCAAAGCGAAAACAACACAAACAUUCAUUUUGUAACUGAAAAUUACUAAUUACCAAAUUCAUAUUCAAAGUAGUAAAAUAAAUAAAUUCUAUAAUCUCCAAUACUCAACUUUAAAAAUUAAAGUAUCAACCAAAGUGUUAUUGUCCAAAUAACUCCAAACUCAAAUAAUUCAAAUAAGAAUUAAAUUUUAAUGUCUAAACAAUGUCUAUAAUAAAGUUUGAACCAAAAUCCUAACAAAUAAAAAUUCCCCAACGUAGCCAUCACUCCUCGCCAAGGAGGAAAAUGUCGCGAUAUAUCGUGUAUCGGGAGUGGGCGACACGAUAUUUUGUGAAGAAAAAUCGGAGGAGGGAUAUUUCACAAAAAAUUGCCAAAAAAUCGGUGAUAUAUCGUCGAUAUAUCAGUUCCAAGCGAUAAAUCGCCGAUAUAAUGGAAAAAAGGGCAAAAAAGAAAAUCGUUGGUCGGUCAACACGCUACAGUGCAUUCGCUACAGUGCACCCUCAAAUUUCUCCUUCGUUUGUGUUGUUGAAGGGAUUCGAACCCCAAACAAAAGGUUUGGGACGCAUCCAAACCACUAGGGCAAGCUUGCCCUUUAUUAAAUAGAUUGCACUUAAAAUAUAUAUUCAAAGUCAUCAUGUAAAGAAAAUUUUAAAAGAAAAUUUUAGAAAGCAAAUUAAAUAUAAUUAUUUUAUAAUUAAAUAAAAAAUUUCUUUUAAUUGAUUACCAAAAAUAUAAAAAUUAUCAUAAUAAUUUUUUUUCAUAGUGUUUUCAAUAUCAUUAAUGAAUUAAUUAAAUAUUAAAAAAUUGUACAUAUAUCAUAAUUUAUUUUAUAUUAUUUAAUACAAUUGAAUUAAAUGGAUCAUAAUUUUAAUAUUAAUAUAUAUUUUUAAGUUAGACAUAUUAUAAUCAAAUAUCAUAAUAUUAUUAUGAAAUAAUAUUUGAUAUAAUUUAAUAAUAAAUGUAUACUUAUAAAAUUCAUAUUUUUAUCGAUACAUACGAUAUUAUUAUCAAAUAUGAUAAAUCAUAUUAUAUAUAUAUAUAUAUCAAAUUAUUUAAUAAAACAAUUUAAAAAUAUCUAUUAUACUUUUAAUUACAUUUUUAUAAAGUUUUUCUUGUAUUUUUAUAAAUUUUGAUUAAUUUUAGGCUUAUCGAUAUUUUUUUCCAAAAUAUCUGCUGAUAUAUCUCCGAUAUAUCCGAUAUAUCCAUAAAAUCGAAGUACCGAUAUAUAUGUGAUUACUGAUAUUUUCAUCCUUGCUCCUCGCUCGAUCUAAGAGUACCUGGAAAAUUAUCAAUGAAAGGGUAUGAGCUCAAAACCUAACAAGGAACAUUAAUAUAGUUUCAUGAACAAAAUAGUUUCAAUCAUGCUUACAAAUAAAAGAUUUAGUGUAAAAUCAUUUUCAUAAAAACGUUUGAGUACAAAUAUGUUAAUACAUUUUAAAGUGUUUAACAAAACAUUUUCAUAUAUAUCAAAAUCAUUUCACAUCUAUUUCAAAUUAAAUACAUUUCAAUUGUUUUUAUUCUGAUUAUCAAAUAACAAAUGAUAUCCAAUUAGGUGGGACUUCACAAAUGACUGACUAGUUUAAAAUUUGUUUUAUUUAUAGUGAACAAAACCAAAUGUCAAUAAUUAUAACCCGUUGACUAGGGCCAUAAGGUUAACUAUUAUAACUUGUUGACUUAGGGCUAUAGAAACUAGAAUCAAAUACUUCAUUUCAUUAAUUCAAACUUACAAAAUAAAAUAUUGUGUCUCCAAAAUUUUUAUUUUUCAUUAACAAAGAAAAUGUUCAAACAUAUUUUUCAUACAAAACUUAGUUUUGAUCAAUGUAUAGAAAUAAAUAUAACAUUUUUACACAUUUUAAAAUACAAUAUAAAAAGAAAUUAUUUCAUUUGACAAAAUAUGCAUUAAUUUCUCUUACCUUGAAGAAACACUCAAAAUCUUAAAGAAUUUAGCUUGAAGAAUUUAUUCAUCACCUAACAUAAUAUCAUGCAUAACAUUUAUUAUCGAUUAUUUAUCUAGAGAUAUAAAUUUGACAAUCCUAACAAUAUUUUAUAUAGUUAUUGGUAAUUCUACUUAAUUUCCUAUGUUAACAUUAUUAGACAUAAUAUUAUUUUCAACUUCUUAAUCAAUAAUACAUUUAUUUAAUAACUUUACAAAUUUUUAUAAAAUUCAUAUUCCUCCUUAAUUUUAUCCUAACUAUUUAUUUCUUUAUUAUUUUUUUUCACAUAACAAUCUCAUAUUUGUUCUUCUUUUCAUUUUUUUUUUGUUGAAAUUGUCGCCCCAACAUACCAUCUCAAAUUCCAAAAUCCAGAAACCCUACAAUUAUUAUUAUUAUUUUUUUCCAAUCUAAAACCUCAAACGAUUUAUUUAUUUAUUUUUUAAAUUUAAAAUUUCUCUUCUUUCACUAUUUUUUCAUUUAUUUAUUUUCUAUUCAAUUGAAAAUUUCCUAUUUUCAUCAAUAAAUUAAUUUGCAUUCAUAAAUUUCCAAUCUUUUGGUCUAAAAAAAAAUUUAAAUAAACAAACACUAAAUUAGAUUGGGAUUUCUAAAGUAUUCAAAUCUAAUUAAUGAAUAUAAAAUAUUAAUCUGAUGAUUAAAAUUUCAUCUGAAAAGUUGGUCUUCAAACCCUAAACCUCCAAAUCUUCAACUCUAUGCUCUCUGAUCUUUAUGAGCUUAGUGUAAAAGGGUUUUCUAAAUUGAGAAGAUGGAGAAAAUCUAAUUUAUAUCUAAAGUUUUUAAGAGCGAAAAAACUUUUCUACCCUUAUUAGAUUAAUUAAUUUAAUUAGUUAAAUUUUAAAUUAUGAUUUUACCCCUAAAUUGGGUUUGGGGUAUUACAUAUAAGUUAAUGCUUUUAAAUUUUAUAAUUCUGUCAAAAGAUUUGUUAAAGUGCUUUUGCAUGGUGAAGCAAAAUUAGUUAAAGGCAGUGGUGAUAUAAAAGGAUGUGUUGAAUUGCUUUAAAGCUAAUAAAGCUAAAGUACUCUUGCCUGCAGCAUCUUAAGUCCAUGCUUUCUACUUUUAAAAACAAUAAAUAAUAGUAAGUGUAUUUGAUAAUGUUUUUAAAUACUUUUAAUUGAAACACUUUCUUUAAAAUUGGUUUGUUGGAUAGUCACAUAUUUUGCUUAUCUAGGAAGAAUUAGAAGUCAUAUUUCAAUUUUUUUAUAAGUGCUUUUUAAAUUUUAUUAAAUGUUUAAUUUUUUUUACAAAUUAUUUUUUUAUGAUAAAAGUGUUUUUUAAAAGUACUUUCAAAUAAACUCUAACUCCUACAUAAAAUACAAACUUUUGUAAAAAAGGCAAAAGUUUUUAAAAACCAUUUAAAAAAAUUGAGGCGGCCAUAUUUUCUAAUACUUUUUUUUUUUAAAAAAUAAAACAGUUUUUUAAAUUAAAGAAUAAAAAAAAUAGCUUUUUAGUGUUUUAUAAAAAUAAGGGUGUUUCGUAAAUUGUUUUUAUAAAUAUGUUUUAGAAAUAAAAAACAAAAACCUUUUUAAAAAUAAUUUUUUGGUUUUGAUUUUAUAAAAAGAUUGCAAAAUUCAAUUUAUAUGAUAUUAACUAAAUUUAAUUUAAGUCUUCUUAAAAAUGAAAAUAGUUUUAUAAUUACAAACAAAUUAAAAUAUAAAUAGGUUUCAGUAGAACAUGAAUAGUAAUAUUAUAAUAAAAUAAUAAAUUAUAUAUUUUUUUAAUAAAAAAUUAAUUUUAGUAUACGUUGGAAACACAAGGAUAUUAACGUCAUUGUCAUUUUUUUAUAUUAAAAAUAAAUAAUAAUAUUUUAUUUAAAACGAAAAAUGAACAAAAUUUAACAUUUUAAACAUACAAAUGAGUCAAACUUUUCAUUACAUGUACACAUUUAGUACUCAAUUACAAAUAUAAUAUUUUAUAAUGUGUUUUUAUUUUCUUAAAAAUUAAAAGUUUCAUUCAAGAAUUUAAAUUAUUAAUUCUAUCUUACUUAAUUUAUAAUUUAUUUACUUAAUGUGAAAAUUCAAAAGCUAUAAUUGUACGCAGACAAACAAUAAAGUCAUUACUCAUAAUAUAUUGGUUUGGAUUUAUUAUUAUUUUUUAUUGAUUAGACCUAUUUUUUUUUUAGUUUCAAAUUAUUUUUAAAAAUUAUUAAACCCAUUAAUAAAUUCAAUACAAUGUCAAUUGAUUGAAAUUCAUUUUUCUAGUAGGAAAAUUUAUAAAAAUAUAACUAUGUGCAAAAAGAAAUAAUAAAGUUAUUAUAAACUAAUUUUUAUCCAUAAAUUUCUAGUAUUAAUGAGCUUAUUAUUUGCAUUUCAAAUUAUUUUUAAAAAUGACUAAAUUUGUUAAUGAAUCCAAUACAUUAAGUCUUGCUUAAUUUGAAACUUAUUUGCUUAGUUAAAAAAAAAAUUUAGAAAAUAACGAUUUUAUGUAGAAGAGAAAGAAUAGUCAUUUUAGACAAAUUUUUGUUUAUAAAUUUUUGGUAUUGAUUGGAUUAUUAUUUAAAUUCUAAGUUAUUUUUAAAAAUCGCUAGACUCAUUAAUGAAUCCAACACAUUAAGUCUUGUUUAAUUUGAGGUUCAUUUAUUUGGUAAAAAAAAAUAAAAUGAGAAAAUAAAGAUUCUAUAUAAAAAGGAAACAAUAAAGUGGUCCAAACCAAUUUUUAUUUAUUUAUAAAUUUAUGAUAUUAAUUAGUUAACUAUUUGAAUUUGAUUUUUUUUUUUAAAAUAAUGGGCUUAUUAAUGAAUUCAACACAUUAAAUCUUAUUUAAUUUGGAAUUCAUUUACCUAAUGAAAAGAAUCGGGAAAUAAUGAUUCGAUGUAAAAAAGUAACAAUAAAGUUGUUUUAAAUUAAUUUUUGUCCAUAAAUUUAUGGUAUUAAUUAGUUCACUAUUUGAGUUCUAAAUUAUUUUUAAAACUAGAAAAUAAGGAUUCUAUGUAAAAGAGAAACAACAAACUUAUUCUAAACCAAUUUUGGUCUAUAAAUUUAUGGUAUUCAUUGGUUCACUAUUUAAAUUUGAAAUUAUUUUUAAAAAUUUGAUAUAUAUAUAACAAGAAACUAAUCCGGACUUUUUAGUUUUAAUUAAAUCAAUUUUUGAGUUUCAAAUUAUUUUUGUUACUUAAUAAUUUUUAUUUAUCAAGUAUAAUUUGAUUUAACAUUUAUUUGCUUAAUGAAAAAUUUUAGAGAAGUUAAAAAAAUUUCAGAAAAAUGUGUAAUAUAAAGGAAGAUUAUAUUUUAAAAUUUUGGGUAUCGAUAUUAGAUCAUGGAGAGAGAAAAUGACUAUAUCAUUUUCAAUUUUAUAUGUUUUUUUAUUUUUAUUUUCAAAUUUUCUAUGUUUUCAUUUUGUUUUUAAAAACUAGUGAAAAAACCAUUUACCCGCUCUCUAAAUUUUCUACUUUUUAUGCUAGAAGUAUUUUUUAAAAACAAUAUUAUCAAAAGGACUCUAACUUCUAUUUAAAAUACAAACUCUUUGAAUGCAACCUACAAAAGAUAAAAGUUUUUAAAUUUAUUUGAAAAACAAAUUAAGGUAUUAUAAACUUUUGCUUCCUCAAAUUUUAAAAUUUUAAAAGUAAAUUUUAAGAAUUUAAGGUGAAUUGAUAUAUCUUAUAAAAGAGUUGACUAUAUUUUAUAUAAAAGUAUUACUAUUUUCUAUUUUUAAAUACAGAAAGUUGGAUGUGUAUCCAAAAUUGAGCACUUAGUUAAUUAAUUAAUUAUUUUUUUAUUUGCAUUCUUAAUAAAAUAAUAAGAAAUGUGGAAAAAAUUGUUUGUUAACAGUAAAAGUCAGAUAAAUAGUUAAAGGUGGCAGUGUAAGGGGAUGUGUUGAAAUGCUUUCACUAUAUAAUAAGUUCACGAAAAAGUGGAAUAUUCAUCCGUUUAAAGAGAUAAGUAAGGUUCAUAUCUUAAAAAUACAACAAAUUAAAUAAUUUAAAUUAAUAAAUUAUAUAAAUUUUUUUAUCUUAUUUAUAUGUCAUAUAACUUUAUUAAUUUAAUAUUAUUAAUUUAUUGAUAAAUAAAAUAUUCAUUUAUUAUUAUAUUUCUCAAUUUAUCUUUAUUAAAGUAAUAUUAAAUCUUUAAGUUUAAAUAUAUAAAUUUUUAUUAUUAAAGUAUAUAUUAUUAAUUUUAAUAAUAAUUUACAAGUUAAUAUUUUUAAUUAAAUUUUAAAGUAAAAAAAAAAAAUUAACUUAAGCCUCAAUUGCCAAUUGAGGCUUUAACUUAAAUUUUGAAAAAAAAAAAAUUAUGACAUAACUCUUAUAUGACAAUAAAGAGGUUAAUUUGAACAUAAGUUUUGAAAGGGUGCUAAAGAUGAUAUUUGGUUACAUGAAAUGACUAUUUUGCACCAAAACUCUAAGAUUCAUAUGACUGGCAAAUGACGUAACAAAAGUAAUCAAUCAUUCAGGCAUUAAAGCUAAUAAAGCUAAAGUACUUGUGCCUUUAGCAUCUUCAGUCAAGUCCAUGGGAGGGUGCUGAGAAGUAAAGCUGAAGUAAAGCUAAAACAAAGGGACAAGACUCUUCAAAUUGAUGAAUGCUAGUUUUUCAUUGAUUAUUUCAUUCGUUCAUGUACAAAGUAUAUAUAGAGGGUAAUCACCAUUCUAAGAAUGGGAAAGAAUGAUACAAAGAAGGAAUGAUAUAAGGAAAUAACAACUAAUAUCCUAAUAUCUUAAUAUUCCUAAUAUCUUAACUUUCCUAAUAUCUAAACAUUCCUAAUAUCUUAACACUCUCUCUCAAGUUGGUGCAUAGAUGUCACACAUGCCCAACCUGUCUAAAUUUUUUUAGAACACUUGACUUGAGACUGUAAGGAUAUCAGCCAAUUGAUCUUCUGAUCGAAUCUUAGGCAAUUCCACAAUCUUAUCAUCCAACUUCUCCUUAAUGAAGAAUCUGUCAACCUCGACAUGCUUUGUACGAUCAUGUUGUAUUGGAUUAUGAGCAAUAUCACAUGCGGCUUUAUUGUCACAAAACAAUCGGAUUGGUUGCCUAGAUAGGUAACUUAAAUCCUGUAAGAGGAGUCUUAGCCAUAAUGCCUCACAAAGUCCUAGAGCCAUACCUCUAAAUUCUGCUUCUGCACUUGAAUGAGCGACGACAUUCUGCUUCUUACUUUUCCAUGUCACAAGAUUACCACCUACAAAGGUAAAGUAACCAGAUGUAGAUGGCCUAUCAUCCACUACACCGGCCCAAUCAACAUCGGCAUAUACUUCUAUACUCUAAUGAUCAACAUUUUUCGUGAACAAAAUUCCCUUCCCAAUAGCAUUCUUCAAAUACCUCAAAAUACGCAUGACUGCAUUCAUAUGUUGCUCUCCAGGAUUAUGCAUGUAUUGACUUACUACACUUAAUGCAUAAACAAAAUUUGGUCUUGUAUGAGCUAAGUACAUUAAUCUCCCCACAAGUCUUUGGUAUCUUCCCUUAUCGGUUGAUACUUGAUUAGGUUCAACACACAAUUUCAGACCUUCUUCUAUUGGUGUAUCAACAGGUUGACAUCCUGACAUUCCAGUCUCUUGUAAAAGAUCUAAGGCAUACUUUCUUUGAGACAGAAAAAUUCCUUCACUUGAUUGAGAAACUUCAAUCCCAAGAAAGUAUUUCAGAGGACUUAGAUCUUUCAUUUCGAAUUCUCUAGAUAGAUAAUUUUGCAGAGCUUUUCUUUCUUCAGGAUCAUUUCCAGUAACUACUAUGUCAUCCACAUAUACGAUGAGUGUCGUAAUCUUACCAUGUUGCUUUUUCAGGAACAAAGUGUGAUCUGAAUUACUUUGACGAUAGCCAAAAGCUUUUAUUGACUUUGUGAACAUUCCAAACCAUGAUCUUGGGGAUUGCUUCAACCCAUAUAAUGACUUAUUCAAUUUGCACACCUUCUGACAUUGCUUUUUUGACACCAUGCAUCCUGGUGGAAGAUCCAUAUAUACUUCUUCAGAUAACUCGCCAUGCAGAAAGAGAUUUUUCACAUCGAAUUGUUGUAAUGGCCAAUCCAGGUUUGCAACUAAAGACAGUAAUAUUCGAACUGUGUUGAUCUUAGCUACAGGUGCAAAUGUCUCUGUGUAGUCAAUUCCAUAAGUUUGAGUGUACUCUUUUGCUACCAGUCUUGCUUUAAAUUGUUCAAUACUACCAUCUACCUUGUACUUCAUGGUAUAGAUCCAACGACACCUAACUGGCUUAUUUCUUGGUGGACAUUUUACGAGUUCCCAUGUUUCAUUCUUCUACAAUGAUUUCAUUUCUUCAUUCAUGGCUGCUUUCCACCUUGGAUCAGCUAAGGCUUCCUACACACUGUUAGGAAUAGCUAUAGUAGAUAAUUGAUUUACAAAUGACUUAUUUGAUUCAGACAAACGAUGGUUAGACACAUAAUUGCUCAUGGGAUAUUUGACUUUGGCAAAUAAUUCAGGUUCAUAUGUGGGUUUAGAAAUAUCUCUAUUAUGACGGUGUGGUAACCAUUUCAUGAAUGGAUUAGGUUCCAAUUUAAGAACACCCUCAAUAGAUGAAAAUUGGUUUGGUAUUUCAGUGAAGACAUCUUCGGACCCAAAUUGUUUAGAUGGUGGUGAUGGUUCAAUUGUACUAUUUCUUCCUUCUUUUAUCACUUCUUCAGUUUCUGGGUGGUCAUUACUACUUGGUUCCAAAGUUGUACCACUCAUAUCCAACUCACUUGCUUCCUAGUUCACUAGUUCAGAUUGUCCAGAUUCAUCCUCCUUAGAGAUAUGAUAAUUGUAAUCAAGAGUCUGAAUUUCUUUCUGGUACUCCCCUUGAAGUUCAGACUCAAAUGAAAAAUACAUCGAAUCUUCAUGAAACACCACAUCCAUGGUAAUAAACAUUUGUCGAGUUGGAGGAUGGUAACAUCGAUAUCCCUUUUUGUGCAAUGCAUAUCCAACAAACACACAUUGCAAUGCACGGGAAGUUAACUUGGUGCGUUGGUGUUUGUGUAGAUGCACAAAUGCCAUGCAACCAAAAACACGAAGAGGUAGAUUUGGGAUGGUUGGGGCAACUACGACAUUAGUAAAAGCUUGGAGAGGUGUUUGGAAGUUAAUUGAGUUGGAAGGUACCCGAUUGAUCAAGUAUGCAGUAGAUGUGAUUGCUUCUCCCCAAUAAGAUAUCGGUAUUUUUGCUGCUAUCAAGGAAGCACGAACAACCUCUAACAAGUGUCGAUUUUUCCGUUCAGCGACUCUAUUUUGCUGGGGUGUAUUGGAACAAGUAGUCUGAUGAAUGAUGCCAUGUUCUUCCAAAUAAUUUUGAAGAUCAGAACUCUGAUAUUCUCCACCAUUAUCGCUAUGCAGAACCCAAACCUUUGCAUUGUACUGAGUUUCAAUCAUUUUAUGAAUUUUUUGAAACAACAAGUUCACUUCAUUUUUGGUCUUCAUCAAUGAUUACUACUCAAAAAGUGCUCUUUUAUAGCUUGAAAUUAACUAUUUUAAACACUUUUGAGUAGUAGUUAAUACAUUUUAACUCAAUUGGCACAUUAAGGACCCUUGCAAAUGUUACUAAUCGGUUUUUAGCAAGUUUUGGUGUUUUUGGUAGCUUUUUUAUCAUUAAAACAAGCCAAGAAUGAGGGAGAACUUUGUGUAGUCCAUGGCAAAGCAAGUUGAAGCUCAAUUACAUGAAGAAUCCAAGCUUUGGAGCUUCUGAUUCGCUUGAUUUCCCAGUCGGGUCUUUUAAUAAAAAAUAUUUAUAAAACCUAUGACCUUAUACUGGCGUAGCAAAGCUACUAUAGUAUAGCAGUUCUAGGGUCGAACUCAGGGAUGGGUUUUCACUCUAUCAGUGACAGACUCUAAAUUAGAAAUUGAUUUUGACGAUUUCCUUUAGCACAAACUUAAAAUUUAAAAGAAAAUAAAAUUGUUUUGAAAGUGAUGAUUUAAACUAAACCCACAUAGAACUAAGUAAAAAGUGGAAGAAAGAAAGUCUCCCGGAGUUAAAGGUUGCUAGGUUCAAGUUCCAGAUGCAAAGUGGAAAAUUCCGGAUUUUUCUCCUCGCAUUGGGGAUUUAACCUAUAGUUAUUUCCCGAACCGGUAUAGGUUUGACAAUGAAGUUUUAAUCCAUAAAAAGUCACUAGAGAUGGUAGUCAAGGUCCAUUAAUGGCUUAAGACACUAUGGGUUAUCACCUUGAAUCACUUUCCAAUGGCUCGUACAUGAUAACUAAUGGACUGAUAUGGAUCUAGCAAUAAGCAUCCACAGAGACCUUAAGCUUACCAUGUAUUGGCCAGUCAAAGUGAUUCAAAGGGAUUUAAGGCAAAACCUUGGCUUUAAAAACCAUUUAUGGACUCCAACUACCUGAAUUUAAUGCACGGAAACUUUCCAUGUUUUAAUCUGGACUUUUCACCUAGCUUCCUUUACUCCAAGAAACUUUUGGUUUAGCCUCUCAUCCUCUGGGAAAACAUCCUCAGAGGGUGUUUGGCUUGCAAGAAAAUAGAAAAUAGAAGAGAGAAUAUAAACAAAAGAGAUCUCUGUAUAACCAAGUUACAUAAGUUGGUCUCCUGGAGAAAGCUCCCCGAAAAGAUCCAUUUUCAGUGAUUACAAGAGAAUUUAUAUAGGAAGGUAAUUUUACCCUUCCUUGGAUACUUCCUAGCUAAGGAAUUACAUGAGUGGUUGAAUACAAGGAGAAAAUGGAAAUUUAAACACAAAAAUAUCAGAAGAAAAAGAGUCGGCAAAAAUAUCCAAUUUUCGCACGCUGAGUUCCAAUUUCGCACUUUGGUUUGAGGUGUGCGAAAUUUUCGCACAGUGGACUGAGGAUUUCGCACCUUGAUUUCCAUCGUGCGAAAUUUUCGCUCAGCCUGAUGCAGUUGUCUUCCGAAGGCCAUAUCUUUCUCAUUUCAGCUCCAAAUCAUACAUGGUUUGAACCGUUGGAUUCUUGACUUUCUGAGCUUUGAAAUGGUAUAUAGAAUAUAAAAAAUGGACUUCGGGAAGUGCUCCAAAAGUGCAAUGAAAGACUGCAGCUAUGUCCCCUGUUUUCAUCCCCUGUUUUCCUCUUUUCCAUUGUUUCUUCCUUGUAUACUUUGAACCACUAAGGCAAAGGAUUAUGAGGCUCCAUAGCUUGAUUUCUUCAUAAAUUUAAGCUUUCAAAAGCUUUGCCCUGAACUAUAAAUAGCUCUCCCUCAUUCUUAAAUUGCUUUGGUGAGCAUAAAGCUAUCAAAAAGCACCAAAACUUAACACAAUUGUUAGAAACGAUUGCAAGGGCUCCUAACAUGCUAAUUGGGUUAAAAGGUAAUAAUUACUACUCAAUGGUGUUUAAAAGAGCUAAUUACAAGCUACAAAAUAGCAUGUUUUGAGUAGUAAUCACUCCCCCCAACCGACAUAUUGCUAGUCCCUUAGCAAUUAAGGAGAGAAAAACUAAGCAAACGUAAUAAUAUACAUACAAGAAGUCAUGCAAUUCAUUCCAAAAAAUAAUUGAGAGGCAUGACUGAUAUCCAAACUCAUCUCACCUGGCUAAUUAAAGAUAUGAAGAUUCAAAAUGCAAUAGGAGUUAUCAAAGCUUAAACUUAAACAAAAAGUACAAAGAGUGGAGAUUAUGAAAUUAAGUAUCAAAAGAAUCUCUACUCUCAAGGUUUCAAAUCAAACUCUUCCAUAAUAAGCUAAGUGUUAAUGAAAUUAGCUUCCAGAUAUAGUAUAUACAACUAUCCUCACCCUCCAACCUAAGCUUUUCUCGAAUAUUGGCAAAAUUAAUUAACUCUUAAUAGGUUAGGAACGCACCUUCUUAUUCACAAUUCUUUUUACUCACUAAACUUAACCAAUUCACCUAUGUAGCAAGCAGAGGAUCGAUGACUUCCAACCAAUCAAGGUUUAGGGCAUCGGGUUUUAAAGGCUUUCGCCACCCCUUCGGAUCAUACUUAGGUUUCAAGGAAAGAAUAGAAGCUUAUUCUCUUUUUUUUUUUUUUUUUUCAAAGACUCAUUGGUCUUUAUGAGGUGUCCCAACACUAUUAAAGAGAGGUUAAGUAAUCAACCAAGUCAAAAUUUUCCUAAGCUUAGAAAGUGAGAAAGUUUUACAUCUUAUAUCCGGGAUCUAAUGUGCACAGUGUGUGUAAAGCUCGAAAUGGAAGAAGAAAGUUCAAAAUCAAAGAGGCUUCAAUAGAUUAUCAACUUUGAAAGCAUAAAACAAACUCUAAAACUUAAAUAAUUAAGUUAAAACUCGACUUAUCCUAUUUUAUUUUUGAGAAAUUAUCUUUAACAACCAUAAAGAAUGAUUCAAAAAACUUUUAGCAAUUUUAAAUUUUAAGGAAAAAUCAACUAAAAUACCAAAAUGACUUAAUAUUAACAACAAAACUUCAUUUCUCAACUCUCCCCCCAACCAAGUUGAACAUUGUCCUCAAUGUUUCAAAAGCGAUUAAAAAUAAAGGGAGGAAGUGGUACCUCCCGAGUGAGACAAAGUCUGAGUGUAAAGGAGGUAUGGAAUACCUUAAACCACAUGUUCCAAAAACAAAAGAGUAAUGAGAAAAGGGAAUAUAAUAAAAAAGGAUAUAUAUAUGUAUAUAUUACUUCGAAAAGAAAUAUACAAUGUGUGAUUUCAAGUAAUAUUUCCAAUCCCAGUUUAUAACACAUGCAAAAGAUGGGAUUUACAAGUCUAAUAUAUAAAGUAAAACAUAAAAAAAAUCAGAUAUGAGUGGGGUCAUGUGAUGGCUCUGCUCUGAUCUCCUCCUCUGGUAUAGGCUGCUCAGCUGGCAAGCUCUCCUCAUCUGGCACUAGAGGCUCGGAUGGUGCAGACCUAUCAUGCCCAAGAGGAGUCUGCAUACUCAGAUGCUGCUGAAUCUGAUGAAGGAUCGUGGUAUGCUGGGCCUGAGUAGCAAUGAUCUGAUCCUAGUGCGCACGAAUAGUGGCCAUCUGGUGGAUAAUAGAAUCCUGAGCAGUGCUCAGUGUUCGCAAUGAGCGCUCUAAGCCUCUGAAUUCCGCAAGAGAAACGGUGACAGUGGGCUCAGAUGAAGGAGGAGGUGCUGGGGUAGCUGGUACGACUGGUGGAGCACCCUGAGUGAUAGGGGAGGUAGAAUGUAUAGCCUCGGGCAUGUGCACUGAGGUGGGUGCUGUAGGGGUCGGAGGUGUGGUCUCUGUGAGAAUCUCAUCCUGCUGGGCCUGAGGUAGCUGGUCAUCUCGGGGUAGCUUUGGAGGUGCAGGCACAGCUGGUGCUCCCUCGGGUGCAAAGUAGGCUACCAAGUGAUGCCAUUUGUCGAGAGAGAAAUCCUCUCUGCAAUGGCGGCGCCUCUCAAGAUGGGGCUCUUCAGGAUAGCCCAAGUGCUCUAAAAUCUGGCAGAGGAGCCUCGAAAAUAGUAAUGGAAUGCCAUCUGCCCUCUGAAGCUUCUUCUGAUGGACUCUUUCUUCAAAAUGAAGAAGAGAAGUCAUAAUCAAAUGAUGAGGGCCGAAAAAAUAGCCCUCAGAAAUCCUAAAUAAUGCCUCAAGUAUAGCUCCUCUCCUAUGAACUUUAUGCUGAAGGGGGAAUAGGUUGGCACGCAGGAGCACAUCAAUGAGGAGCAUCCCAGAUGGAAGCUCUCUCCUGGUCAACACCGAGGCUGUAGAAGUCCCUCUGGACAAAAUGCGGACCAUGUCGCUCUGAGAGAAUGAGGACCACUCCCUGAAAUCUGCCUGAAACACGGGCUCAUAAGGUAUACGGAGGGCCUCAGCAAUGUGGCGAGCUCCAAUGGCACCCUGGCGUCCGUCUAUGGUAAAUUGGAUGAGAGUAGGAUUGCGGAGGCCUCGAGUAGUCAUAGAUUGAUAAAAAUCUAGAACUACUCUGGGAUAGUAGAAUUGCCUAGGAGUGAGAAGACCCUCCAUGUGAUACCUCUGCAACAGUCGGAAUGAAUCUCGGAGCUCUGGCUGCUGUCUGAGGGCCUCUAUAUCAAAGUAGGUCUCAGAGUGGAAGGAUCGAUCUCUGCAAUCCAAGUUGCCCUCUAUCGGUGGUCCGGCUAUCAUGGGACGCCUGAUAACGGUCUCGAGAGGAAUAUCCGCAGGAAUCCGGGAGUCCUCUGUAGGUGGCUCUGGCUGAGGUGCGUGGGAUGGCUCUCCAGGACCCGAGAACUUGGUUCUCUUCGCUGGUGGCCGAGAAACAGGGCUCGUGGCCUGAUCGACUGGUGGCACAGGGUCCGUGAGUGGCCUCCUGGUGGGGUAUCGACGCUGAGAAGGAGCUUCCCCCUCAGAUGGGGGAAUGGCCGGGGCCUGAACAGGUGGCGAAGCUGCGGCUCCCAUGGCGGCUCGAUGUGGUUGAGGUGUCGGUGAGGAUGGGGAGGCGGAAUGGCCUCCUCUGGUCUUCGCCAUGGCCGAAAUGGAGGUAGAUGACUGUUCGGGCUUCCAGAGAUUUCACAGCUGGUGCGCGGGGUGUCCUUUGGGCUUCUGGACCUCAAGGGUUUAUAUAGGAAUGAGGUUGUAAGGGGUUUCUGAUGUUUUAAAAUUUUCCAAGGCAACCGAAAAGUCGUUUUUGGACGUUAGGCACAAUUGCGGGGGUAAAAUUUUAAUUUAAAAGUCCGUUUUAAAUUUUUAGAACUUAAAAUUUUACCGUGUGAAAUUUUCGCACCUUGGUCUGCAAAUUUCGCACCUUGGAAUUGGGUGUGCGAAAAUGGCACCCCUUCAAUUGAAGAUUUCGCACCUUGGAAUUGGGUGUGCGAAAUUUUCGCACCUUGAACAGUGGUGUGCGAAAUUUUCGCACACUGUUUCGCACAGUGCGAAAAUUAGCUUGGGGUGUGCGAAAUUGGCACACGUGUGCCAGGAGAGGAUUUCGCACAGUGCGAAAAUUUUCGCACCUUACACAGUGGUGUGCGAAAUUGGAUUUUAGGAAAUUCGCACCUUGAAAACGGAUUUCGCACCUUGAGAUAGAUUUCGCACCUUGAAAUUGGGGUGUGCGAAAAUGCUUCAUUUGGCCCAAGGAUUUCGCACCUUGGUUUUGGGGUGUGCGAAAUUUUCGCACCUUGAAAUCAGGUGCUCUGCUUCCUUGGUUUUACUCCCCUGUUCUGCUUUUGAAGAGCUCUCCUCACCUUUCAUGAUUUUUUUCUGAAAUUUAUCAUCAAAAUUGACUUGAAUUAAGACAAAAUAAACUAAGACUGAGGAAAAAUUAUAAUAAAAAGAAAUAGAAUUAAUGAUAUAACUAUAAAACUAUAACAAAAAAUUCAUGGACUUUUUUAGCCCAUGAUACCCUGCUUUCCCUCAGAGUUGUGGUGGUUCAAGGAGGUUGAUCUCCUCCUUGUCUGUACUGUAAGGCUCUAUAAAUGGCUUGAGACGAUGCCCAUUGACUUUGAAGGUUUGAUUGCCUUUGGGAUUGAAUAUUUCCACCACUCCGUUGGGAUGCACUUCAUGAAUUAUGAAAGGACCCGUCCACCUGGAUUUCAAUUUUCCUGGAAAGAGAUGAAGUUUAGAGUCAUAAAGCAAAACUUUUUGUCCUUUGGUAAAAUUUUUCUGAUUUACCAACUGAUCAUGCCAUUUUUUCAAUCUUGCUUUGGCAAUUUUUGAAUUGAGGUAUGCAUCAUUCCUCAUUUCCUCCAAUUCAUUCAAAUCCAAACAUCUCUUUAACCCGGCUCUUGUCAAAUCCAUGUUGAGCUUUUUGAUUGCCCACCAUGCUUUAUACUCAAUCUCUACUGGAAGAUGACACGCUUUGCCAUAGACAAGGCGAUAGGGAGACAUUCCUAGAAUGGUCUUGUAAGCGGUCCUAUAAGCCCAUAAGGAAUCCAGGAGCUUGAUAGACCAAUCCUUCCUAUUCACAUUGACCACCUUCAUCAAUAUAUUCUUGAUCUCACGGUUGGCCAACUCAACUUGGCCACUUGUUUGAGGGUGAUAAGGUGUAGCUACCUUAUGCUUAACCCCAUACUUGGCUAGAAGAGUCUCAAAAGGUUUAUUGCAAAAGUGGGUUCCCCCGUCACUUAUAAUGGCCUUUGGCACUCCAAAUCUUGCAAAGAUGUUGUCCUUGAGGAAUUUAAGUACCACCUUAUGAUCAUUGCUCCUACAUGGGAUUGCCUCUACCCACUUAGAGACAUAAUCCACUCCUACCAAGAUGUAGGAAUGUCCAAAUGACAUUGGAAAUGGUCCCAUAAAGUCUAUACCCCAGACAUCAAAGAUAUCCACUAUUAAGAUGGGGUUCAAGGGCAUCAUAUUUCGGCGUGUUAGCUUACCAAGCCUUUGACACCGAUCACAUGCCUUACAAAUAGAAUGGGCAUCCUUGAAAAAAGAGGGCCACCAGAAGCCUGAUUGGAUCACUUUCAUAGCUGUUUUCUGGGAGGCGAAAUGACCUCCACAAGCACUAUCAUGGCAAUGGGAAAGAAUUCCCGAUUGCUCUUGCUCAGGAACACAUUUCCUUAUAAUUUGAUCUGCACAAUAUUUGAAAAGAAAAGGUUCCUCCCAAUAAUAGGCAUGGAUCUUAGCCAAGAAAUGCCUCUUGUCUUGAGCACUCCACUCACUUGGUACUUCUCUAGUAACCAAAAAGUUUGCAAUGUGAGAAUACCAUGGAGCUACAUCUACUGACAUGAGAGACUCCUCAGGGAAGUCAUCAUUGAUAGGCAGACCAUGUGAGUCAUGUGCUAUCACAAGUCUAGACAAGUGGUCAGCUACCACAUUUUCUACCCCCUUUUUAUCCCUGAUUUGGAGAUUGAAUUCUUGGAGCAAAAGAAUCCAUCUUAUCAAUCUUGCCUUGGCAUCCUGCUUGGUUAGCAAGUACUUCAAAGCAGAAUGGUCAGUGAACACUACUAUAGAGGACCCUACCAAAUAAGCACGAAACUUAUCCAAGGCAAAAACUACUGCCAACAACUCCUUCUCAGUAGUUGUGUAGUUCUUUUGAGCCUCAUUCAAAGUUCUGCUUGCAUAAUAGAUCACAUAGGGCUUUCCAUCUUCUCUUUGCCCUAAAACAGCCCCCAUAGCAAGAUCACUUGAAUCACACAUUACCUCAAAAGGUAAUUUCCAAUUUGGGGCUCUCACUAUUGGUGCAGUUGUGAGGAAUUGAUUCAAUUCCUCAAAACUUCUCUGACACUUCUCAUCCCACACAAACUUGGCAUCCUUUACCAAAAGCUCACACAGAGGUUUUGAGAUUUUUGAGAAAUCCUUAAUGAACCUCCUAUAGAAUCCUGCAUGUCCAAGGAAUUGCCUAAUUCCUUUAACAUUUGUGGGAGGUGGCAACUUAACAAUAAGUUCCACCUUUGCCUUAUCUACCUCAAUGCCAUUUUUGGAGAUGAUAUGUCCUAAGACAAUUCCUUUUUGUACCAUAAAAUGGCACUUCUCCCAAUUUAGCACUAGGUCUUUCUCAAUACAUCUAUGGAGAACAGCUUCUAAAUGCAUCAAACACUCCUCAUAAGAACUUCCAUAUACAGUGAUGUCAUCCAUGAAAACUUCCAUGAUGCGUUCGACCAUGUCACUGAAGAUGCUUAACAUGCAUCUUUGGAAAGUUGCAGGAGCAUUACAUAGACCAAAGGGCAUUCUCCUAUAAGCAAAAGUACCAAAGGGACAAGUGAAGGUUGUCUUUUCUUGAUCUUCCAAAUCAAUUUCUAUUUGGAAGUACCCUGAAUAACCAUCUAGAAAACAAUAGAAAGGAUGUCCUGAGACUCUCUCAAGGACUUGGUCCAUGAAAGGCAAUGGAAAAUGGUCCUUCCUAGUCACUGAAUUCAACCUUCUAUAGUCUAUACACACCCUCCAUCCUGAGGUAGGACGUGUAGAGACUUCCUCCCCUUUCUCAUUUUGGAUCACAGUGAUUCCAGAUUUCUUUGGGACUACUUAGGUGGGACUCACCCACAAGCUGUCUGAAAUGGGAUAUAUGAUCCCAGCUUGAAGUAGCUUCAAAACUUCACUCCUCACCACCUCUUGCAUGUGAGGAUUCAGUCUCCUUUGGGGUUGCCUCACUGGUUUUGCAUCAUCCUCCAUAUAAAUAUGAUGGGUGCACACCAAAGGGCUAAUCCCUUUAAGAUCAGAAAUUUGCCAUCCAAUGGCUUUCUUACAUUUUCUGAGGACUCCUAAAAGACUAUCCUCUUGAUCACUAGUGAGGGUUGAGGAAACUACCACUGGACAUUUCUCAUCAUCCUCCAAGUAUGCAUACUUCAAACCCACAGGAAGUGGCUUUAAAAUAAGCUUUGGAGGGUCCUCCACAGCAACUCCUUCAGAGUCUUCCUGGUUGAACAGUGGUAAGAUCUCUUCCCGUCUCCUCCAAGGAGACAUAAUGGCUAGCACAUCAGAGGGUUCAGGGAACCCAUCUUCAAGGACUUCCAGAUUUUCAUUCAAGCUCUCCUCUAAACUCUUGUCACAGUGCUCUUCAACCAAAGUGUUGAUCAAGCACACCUCCUCAAAUCCUUCCUCCUCUUCAGGGUAAAGAUGCCUCUUACAUAAGUGGAAUAUGUUUAAUUCCAAUGUCAUGUUUCCAAAUGUGAGCCGCAUCACCCCAUUCCUACAAUUAACAAUAGCAUUGGAGGUAGCAAGGAAAGGUCUCCCUAGGAUGAUUGGUACAUAAUUUUCUUCCUUGACAGAGGAAUCAGUAUCAAACACCACAAAAUCCACAGGAUAGUAGAAUUUGUCCACUUGAACUAGAAUAUCCUCUAUCACUCCCCUUGGGAUUUUGACAGACCUAUCAGCUAAAGAGAGGGUCAUGGUUGUGGGCUUUAAUCCUCCUAGUCCCAGUUGCUUAUAGACAGAGUAUGGGAGCAAAUUCACACUUGCUCCCAAGUCUAGUAAAGCUUUUUCCACAUGUGUCCCUCCAAUGUUGACUGAUAUGGUGGGACAUCCCGGAUCUUUAUACUUAACUGGGGACUUACUCUGAAUGAUAGCACUCACUUGCUCAGUGAGGAAUGCAUUCUUUGUCACCUGUAAACCUCUCUUGACUGUGCACAAGUCCUUUAGAAACUUUGCAUAUGUGGGGACUUGUUUGAUCAUAUCAAGUAAAGGUAUAUUCACCUUCACUUGCCUCAGCACUUCAAGAAUUUCUGAUGAAUUCUUGAUUUCUUUCUUUCCAUGUAAAGCUUGAGGAAAAGGGGGAGGCAUAUGUUUCUUCAUCAUAUCCUCCUUAAUCACUAUCCUUGGUUCUUCUUCAAUGCUUGAUUUGGAUGCACUUUUCUUCCCACUCUGCUCUUCUUGGUUUUUGCCCUCUUUAAUCAAGGGUCUCUUUGAUAUAAGUUCUUCAUCAUGCCCCACCUUAGGCAGGGGUUGAUCAACCUCCUUCCCACUUCUCAAAGUGAUCACAACUUUGACCUCUUUCAAAUUUGAAGACUCACCAUCUUGGGUUUCAACUUCAUGAACACCCUUGGGAUUUUGACUUGGUUGAGAGGGGAACUUUCCCUUCUCAAUCACUGUGUUUAGGUUGGUAAGCCUAGAGAUGGAGUACUGAAUAUUAUCUAUCUUCUGAGAUAGAUCAUUUUGCAUCCCCUCCAUUCUUUUAAUUUGAGAACUCUCAACAUUUUCAAUCUUUUGAUGCAAUUGGGAGUUAAUUGCCUUUUGUUCACCCACAAAGUCACCCAUGACUUUACUUAGGUUCACAAUGGCUUGCUCCACUGAAGAUGGUUGUUGAGGUGCUUGGGUUUGGCCUUGUGGUUGGUAUGGAGGUGGUCUUGGUUUCCAAGAAAAAUUUGGGUGGUUUCUCCAGCUUGAAUUAUAGGUGUUACCAUAGGAUGCACUGUUGUUGGGCCUAAAUUGCCCCACAACAUUUACUUGAUCACCUAACAUCUCUCUCACAGCUGGCAUGGUUGGACACUCAUCUACCACAUGAUCACAUGAUUGGCAAAUGGUGCAUGGCAUAACAUGGACUUGGGUAUCGGAAAUGGCUUGGACUUCAUGUAUUUUUUUCAAUUCAAGUUCUUCCAACCUCCUAGCUAAUGUUGCCACUUUAGCUUUCAUGUCCACGUCUUCACUCAACAUGUACAUUCCAGCCUUUGGAUUUUGGGUUGGUUGAGAGGGAAACUUUCCUUUCUCUCUUGAGUUGGGCUCAUCCCAUCCUCUUGACACCUCAGCCACGUAACUUAAAAAGUCCAUGGCUUCUUCAGGAUUCUUACUCAUAAAAUCUCCCCCACACAUGGUUUCAAGAAUUUGCUUCAUGGAAGAAGACAUUCCAUCAUAAAAAUAGCUCACUAAGAGGCAUGUAUCAAAACCAUGAUGAGGACAAGCGUUGAUGGCCUCCAUAUACCUUUCCCAACACUCAUGGAACUUCUCAUUUUCUUUAGCAGAAAAAUUUGAGAUUUGUCUCUUCAACCCAUUGGUCCUAUGGGUGCGGAAAUUUUUUUUCAAAAACUCUGCCUGAAGAUCAACCCAAUUCCUUAUGCUCCUUGGCCUUAAAGAAUUAAGCCAUAUUUUUGCCUUGUCCUUCAAAGUGAAAGGGAAUAGCUUGAGUCUCAUCAAAUCUAUUGAAGCUCCUCCCUCUCUAAAGGUAUUACACACCUCCUCAAACUCCUUGAUGUGAGAAUAUGGAUUCUCACUCUCCAUUCCAUGGAAAGUUGGUAGGAGGGGUACAAUAUGGGGUCUUAUAACCAACUGCUCAAGUGGGGGCAAGAUGCAUGAGGGUGCACUCAUCCUUGGGGGAUGCAUUCUAUCCCUCAUGGAUAGAUAUGCAUUGGGAUUACCCCCUUGACCUUGUUGAGAAUUCUGAUCCUCUGGUGGAGGGUCCAUGAUAUUUACACAGAUAUCCAACUCUGUGUCUUGAGGAUUCUCAAUCCUUACUAAUCUUCCCUCUUGGUCCCUAAUCUAAUAGGGCAUGCACAAGUUACAAUUCCUGUAAUAGUAAAAACAAAAGGAAACUAAAGAAAAGGUUAAAGUUAGGAAGAAAAUGAAAAUAAAAUUAACAAAAGGAAAAUGAAAGAAAAUGAAAUUAGUGAAAAAGGAAUUCACCCUGGUUGUGAUGAAAGUAGCCUCUAAAAAGUUGUAUCACUGUAUUGUGGCACCAUCCCCGGCAACGGCGCCAUUUGAUUCGCUUGAUUUCCCAACCGGGUCUUUUAAUAAAAAAUAUUUAUAAAACCUAUGACCUUAUACUGGCGUAGCAAAGCUACUAUAGUAUAGCAGUUCUAGGGUCGAACUCAGGGAUGGGUUUUCACUCUAUCAGUGACAGACUCUAAAUUAGAAAUUGAUUUUGACGAUUUCCUUUAGCACAAACUUAAAAUUUAAAAGAAAAUAAAAUUGUUUUGAAAGUGAUGAUUUAAACUAAACCCACAUAGAACUAAGUAAAAAGUGGAAGAAAGAAAGUCUCCCGGAGUUAAAGGUUGCUAGGUUCAAGUUCCAGAUGCAAAGUGGAAAAUUCCGGAUUUUUCUCCUCGCAUUGGGGAUUUAACCUAUAGUUAUUUCCCGAACCGGUAUAGGUUUGACAAUGAAGUUUUAAUCCAUAAAAAGUCACUAGAGAUGGUAGUCAAGGUCCAUUAAUGGCUUAAGACACUAUGGGUUAUCACCUUGAAUCCCUUUCCAAUGGCUCGUACAUGAUAACUAAUGGACUGAUAUGGAUCUAGCAAUAAGCAUCCACAGAGACCUUAAGCUUACCAUGUAUUGGCCAGUCAAAGUGAUUCAAAGGGAUUUAAGGCAAAACCUUGGCUUUAAAAACCAUUUAUGGACUCCAACUACCUGAAUUUAAUGCACGGAAACUUUCCAUGUUUUAAUCUGAACUUUUCACCUAGCUUCCUUUACUCCAAGAAACUUUUGGUUUAGCCUCUCAUCCUCUGGGAAAACAUCCUCAGAGGGUGUUUGGCUUGCAAGAAAAUAGAAAAUAGAAGAGAGAAUAUAAACAAAAGAGAUCUCUGUAUAACCAAGUUACAUAAGUUGGUCUCCUAGAGAAAGCUCCCCGAAAAGAUCCAUUUUCAGUGAUUACAAGAGAAUUUAUAUAGGAAGGUAAUUUUACCCUUCCUUGGAUACUUCCUAGCUAAGGAAUUACAUGAGUGGUUGAAUACAAGGAGAAAAUGGAAAUUUAAACACAAAAAUAUCAGAAGAAAAAGAGUCGGCAAAAAUAUCCAAUUUUCGCACGCUGAGUUCCAAUUUCGCACUUUGGUUUGAGGUGUGCGAAAUUUUCGCACAGUGGACUGAGGAUUUCGCACCUUGAUUUCCAUCGUGCGAAAUUUUCGCUCAGCCUAAUGCAGUUGUCUUUCGAAGGCCAUAUCUUUCUCAUUUCAGCUCCAAAUCAUACAUGGUUUGAACCGUUGGAUUCUUGACUUUCUGAGCUUUGAAAUGGUAUAUAGAAUAUAAAAAAUGGACUUCGGGAAGUACUCCAAAAGUGCAAUGAAAGACUGCAGCUAUGUCCCCUGUUUUCAUCCCCUGUUUUCCUCUUUUCCAUUGUUUCUUCCUUGUAUACUUUGAACCACUAAGGCAAAGGAUUAUGAGGCUCCAUAGCUUGAUUUCUUCAUAAAUUUAAGCUUUCAAAAGCUUUGCCCUGAACUAUAAAUAGCUCUCCCUCAUUCUUAAAUUGCUUUGGUGAGCAUAAAGCUAUCAAAAAGCACCAAAACUUAACACAAUUGUUAGAAACGAUUGCAAGGGCUCCUAACAUGCUAAUUGGGUUAAAAGGUAAUAAUUACUACUCAAUGGUGUUUAAAAGAGCUAAUUACAAGCUACAAAAUAGCAUGUUUUGAGUAGUAAUCAGCUUCAUAGCCCUUUGCCAAGCCAAUCAAGUAUGCAAGGAAGAGAAUCAGAGAAGAAAUCUAGCAACCAGCAAUUUUGCAUGGCUAUGCAAAAUCAAGAGGAGCUUCAAUAGUUGCAGGACAGAGAGCGGGAAUGAGUGAAAGAAAUUUUGCACAUUGUGCGAAAUUUUGCAUACCAUACGAAACCAAGAUGCAGCCAUGAAGGAAUUUCGAAUACCAUGCGAAACUUCGCAUGGUAUGCGAAAUCUUUUUGUGUAAUCUCCAGAUAUUUGUGCACCGACUCCGUUAGAUUUUUAUCUCUAGAUAUUUUGUGUAAUUUCCUAUUUUCUCAUUGUAAUCAACUAAAGAUAUUUUUGGAUAUUUAGGAUAUUUAAAGGGGGGUUAAAAAUAUCUCUCUAGAUAUGUCUUAGAAAAUAUCUUCUAUAUAUAUCUCGGAAGGAAUUCCAGAGAACGGAGGAUGCAUGUUUUUCAUUAAACACUUGUAAAAUUCCCGUAGUAAGAAAUAUACAAAGCUUUUGCUCUGCCUUUUCUUCUCAUUUUUUUGUUUUCAUUUUUCUUUCUAGCCAAACAACCUCUGAGGAUGAUUUCUCAGGGGAUGAGUGGCUAGGUUUUACGUUUCUUGGAGUGAUGAAAGUUAGGUGAAGGGCCUGAAUGCAAAGGUAGGAGUUGUCCUUGCUUUAAAUGACAGUAGUUGUUAACCAUCAAUGGUUUUUAUUUCAAGGUUUAGCUUUAAAUCCCUCAGAAUCACCUUGAAUGGCCAAUACUUGGUAAGCUUUUUAGAUUCCAUGGAUGCUUAUUGCUAGAUCCAUGGAUGUCUAUUAGUUAUCAUUUACGAGCCAUUGGAAGGUGGUUCAAGGUGAAAGUCUUUAAUGUUUGAAGCCAUUAAUGAGAAGCAAUCACCAAUUCUCAAGAAACCUUUGGAUCACAUCUUAAUUGCUAAAUAUAAAACCGGUUCGGGAGAUAACCAUCCUUUAUGUUAUUAUCCCCAACGCGAGGAGAAGAUCCGAAAUCUCCCCUUUUGCCUAAGGAACCUGAACCUAGUGACCUAAAACUCCAAGAAACCCUUUUCUUUGUAAUUAAUUUCAAUUACUAUUUUUGGUUAACUUCAAAUCAACAUUUUCCACCCACAAUUACAUUUUCUUUUAAAGCUAACUUUCAAAAAGGAAAAACACCAUUUCAGUACCUUAACUAAUAUCAAUUGUACCAUGAAAACCCAUCCCUGUGGACGAUCCUAGAGCCACUAUACUAUGCUAGCUAUGCUACCCUAGUGUAUGGUGAAAUAGGUUUAUAAAUUUUGUUGAUAACACCCGUCUGAGCCAGAAUCAAAUGGCAUGGCUGCAAUGGGGACAAAUCAAUCAAGCAUAACCAUGUCAUUCUGGUACAAUCAUCAAUAAAAGUAACAAACCAACUCGAACCACUCAAAUUUGGGACUUUGGAUGGGCCCCAAAUAUCAGAAUGUAUAGCCAUAAAAAGAAACGGACUUUUAUUCAAAAUUAACGGAAACGAAGCACAAUGGCUUUUAGCCAAUUCACAAAUAUCACAACGGAAACUAGAAAUAUCACUCUUUGCAAACAAACUAGGAAACAAUUUUUGUAAAUAACCAAAGGAAGCACGUCCUAGACAUCGAUGCCACAACCAAAUUUUAAACUUUUUCUUUUCAUUCUCAGAUCCAUCUGCCAUUAAGGCUUUUCGUAACUUAUUUGAAUCCUUUGACUGCAAGUCCAAGUAAUAGAUUUUUCCCUGCUUAAUACCACAACCAAACGUUUGUCUUGUUUGGAUGUCCUUAAAAACACAAAAUUUAGGCAAAAAAAUGACAAUACAAGAUAAGGCUGCAGUGAUUUGAGAAACUGACAAAAGAUUGUAAUAUAAAGAUGUAACAACUAAAACAGAAUCCAAAUUCAAAGUAUUAGUAAGAGUUAAGGAUUCUUUCCCAAUGACCGGGGUUGUGUUAGCAUUGGCUGUGAAAACAAUUUUUUGUGAGGAAUGUCUAAAGGGUGAGACCUGUCUAGAAUCAAAAGUCAUAUGAUCUGUAGCACUGGAAUCAAUUAUCCAUGCACUAUUAAUAACAGGUGUAGAAGUAUUUAACAACUUACCACCAUAAUCUGUAGCGGCUACCAAUGCAGAGACUUUCUCAGUGACAUUAACCUCUAUUUUUAUUUCGGCAUUAGCUGCAGUCGAGGUUUUCUUGGAAUCCUUCUUUCGUUGAUCACGAUUAUGAUCUCACCAAUCUGGAUAUCCCACAAUUUCAAAGCAACGACUCUUGGUAUGACUAAUCUUAUUACAGUGAGUGCAUUUGAAGGUUGACUUAUGAAUAUUAAGGUCUGUCUUAGGAUGGUUGGUCUUGGAUUGGUCUUGCUAAUUCUGGGUUGAUCGCUGUCGGACUACCAUAGCUGAGGUGUUAGGGUUGUCAGAUUCUGCUUUCAUACUAGCAUGACGCACUGCGUCUCGUCGAAUCAGUGCAUAACAUUAUUCCAAAUUGGGAAGAGGAUAUUUGCGUAGAAUAUUUCCUCGAACUUGCUCAAAGUCACCAUCCAAUCCAGCAAGAAAGAUGUGCACCCGUUGUCGUUCAAUGGAUUUUCGGUAUGCUACAAUGUUUUUAGGGUCUUUCAUGAAUACCUUAUCCCGAUGAUUCAAUUUGCAAAAAAUUUCAGUUAACUCUCCAUAAUAUUCAGAAAGAGACCUGCCGCUUUGUUUGGCAGUGAAAGCUUUUUGAUUCAAAGCAAAAACUUGUAAUUCAUCACUUCCAUCAUAGAAGACCUUUGAUAAUGCACUCCAAAUUUCUUGAGCGGUGGGUAAGCUUGGAAAAGGGCUAUGAAGUGCUCCAAAGCUCUGAUUCUUCAUGUAUUUGAGCUUCAACUUGCAUUUCAAUGGAUUUCACAAAAUUCUCUCUCAUUCUUGGCUUGUUUCAAUGAUAAAAAAGCUACCAAAAACACCAAAACUUGCCAAAAAUUGAUUAGUAACCCUUGCUAGGUUCCUUAAUGUGCCCAUUGAGUUAAAAGAUAUUAACUACUACUCAAAAGUGUUUAAAAUAGUUAGUUUCAAGCUAUAAAAGAGUACUUUUUGAGUAGUAAUCACUCUCCCCAAUCGACAUAUUGCUAGUCCCUUAGCAAUGAAGGAGAGAUAAAGAAAAAUAGACAGUAAAAUAAUUUACAAAAUCAUGCUGAUCACUUCAAAAAAUUUUCAAGUGGCAUGAUGUGGAUUAUACUCUCUCAUGGAACAUCAAAGAGGAAAAACCCAACCUUCAGCAAGAGUCAUCAAAUCUCUUGCCUAAUCACAAUUUAUAAAGAGUAGUCAUUAUGCAAAUUUAAGCAUCAAAAGAAUUUCCACUCCCAAAGGUCCAAUCCUUAUUUUUCCACAAAAAUCUAAGUGUUAAGAUUAUUAGUUUCCGAUUAUAGUAUGUCGAACUAUUCUCUUCCCCCAACCUAGUUCUUUCUUAAACCUUAGUAAACUGACUAACCUCCAAUAGGCUAAGAACACAUCUCUUUUAUUUCAAAAUUUUUUUUCAUUGUAGGAGUGCAAUGCUAAAGGUAAUGUUUUCUAAAGUAUCCAUGUAACGGGGAUCCAUCAAUGACUCCCAACCAAUAAAGGCUUAGGGCACCGGGUUUAAAGACUUUCGCCGUAUACCCCUCGGACCUUGCUUGGGUUUCAAGGCAAGUGUAACACUUUGUUCUUUUUUUUUUUUUUUGAAGGCUCAUUGGCCUUUUAUAAGGUGUCCCAACACUAUUAAAACGAGGUCAAAGGUACCAAGUCGAAAUUUUCCUAAGUUCAGGGGGUGAGAUAAUUUUUCAUUUUAUAAUCGGAACCUAAUGUGCACAGUGUGUGGUAAGAUUAAAGUGGAAGAAAUAAGGUUGAAUUCAAUAGGAGUUUCAAUAAUUCAUUAACUUCAAUAAGCAUCAUACAAAUUCUAAGAUUCAAGUAAAAAGGCAAGAACUCAAGUUCUCCCAUUUCAUUUUGAGAAUUUUUCCUUAAUAACCACGGAGAGUAGGGUAAAACUUUUAAAAUUAAGUAAAAAGUUACUAAAUUAACAAAUUACCCUAGCAUUAUUAACAAAACUUCCUUUCUCAACUCUCCCCCCCAACUAAGAUUAACAUUGCCCUCAAUGUUUUAAGAAUAAUUGAAAAUAAAGGGAGGAAGUGGUACCUCUUGAGUGAAAUGGAGUCUGAGUCGUAUAGGAGAAACCACAUGAGUAAAAAAAAACAAAAGAGUAAUGAGUAGAGGAAAUAGAAAAAUGCUAAGUAUAAUAAAAAAAAUGAUGUUUAUAUAUUAAUAUGAGAAAGUACAAUAUGAGAUGUGAUAAAGUAAUGCAUCCAAUCCCAGGAUAUAAAGCAUCAAAAUAAGCAUAAAUCUCUACUAAUAUAAUAUGUAAAUACAAUAAGAUAAAGAGAUGUCCUAUGAUCAAGUAGUGGGAGCCUCAGGUGGAGAUGAUGCAUCCUCAGGUGUAGUUGUGAUUGUGUCAACUGUCUGAGGCUCAUCCUGAGGAUCAUAUGAAGUAAUGGCAUCUGUGGUGGCGGGAUUUGGACCUCUACUGUGGUAGUGUCCUUAAUUGGAGCUAAAGGCUCUGAUGAUGCAGGAAGGUCAAGCUGAGGUGAAAGCAGAAGUCCCAAGUGAUGCUGAAUCUGGCGGAGUAUAGCAGUCUGCUGGUCCUGAUGGGCACGCAUCUCAGCCAUCUGCUGGAAGAGAGCAACAUGUGUGGUGGUGAGUGUCGAAAGACAUGUAUAAGGCUACGAAACUCCGAAGCAGAGAUGGUGAUGGAAGACUCAGAUGUAGUAGGAGAAAUUGGUGGAACAGUAUGAGUCAUAGGGGGAGCAGCAGAAGUAGCCUCAGGCCUGGGCACUGGUGGUAUAGUCUAUGUGGGAAGCUCGCCUUGCUCUGGUUGUGGGGGUACUGGAGGUGCUACCAUGGGAGGGACUCCUAGAGGUGCAGAAUAGCCCACCAACUGAUUCCAUUUGUCGAGAGUGAAUCGCUCUCGACAAAGGCGAUGACACUCAAGCCAAGGCUCAGUAGGAAAGCCCAUAUGCUCCAAGAUUUGGCAAAACAACCUUAGGAAUAGUAAUGGAAUGGUUUCCGCCCUCUGAAGCUUCUUCCUAUGGACCUUCUCCUCAAAGUGGACGAGGGAGGCCAUGAUCAAGUGGUGCGGGCCAAAGUAGAAGUUUUAUGAUAUAUGAAAUAAAGCGUCCAAAAUAGCUCAUCGCCUCUAUACCGAAUGCUGUAGGGGAAAGAGGUUGAAGCGUAGCACCACAUCUACGAGGAGCAUCCCAGGUAGAAGCUCUUUCCGUAGAAGGAUCGAAUCUAUAGAGGUCCCCCUGGAUAAAAUGUGGACCAUGUCCCUCUGAGAUACUGGGGACCACUGGUGGAAAGAAAAUGGAUCCACUGGCUCGAAAGGAAUCUAUAAAGCCUUUGCAAUAUGUCUAGCCUCGGGGACACCAUGACGUCCAUCAAUGGUGAAGUGAAUCGCGAUAGGACUCGGGACGCCACGAGUAGUCAUGGGCUUGUAAAAGUUUAAUGCUACUCUAGGAUAAAAGAACUCAUGAGGAGUCAUAAGAAGCUCAAGAUGGUAUCUUUGCAGUAGGUCAUAAGAGUCUCGGAGCUUAGACUGCUAUCGCAUGGCUUCCUAAUCAAAAUAUAACUCCGAGUGGAAAGGUCUCGCUCUGCAAUCUGAGUUGCCUUUAAUGGGUGGUGCUGUAAGCAUCGGGCGUCUGAUCAUAGACUCCGGUGAGAUGUUAGAAGGGAGCUUAGAAUCUAUAGAAGCUCAAGCAUGUGUAGCAACAAGAGGCUAAGAUCGUAGAGCUCUAGAUGACUCGCCUGGGCCUGAAGUCCUGGCCCUCUUGCCAGGAGGGCGCUGCACUGAACUCUUAGGGCGCGAAGUAGUCGCCCCUAGUAUAGUAGGUGGUCUCCUCGUCUCAUAUCUACUUUGAGGAGUAUGAGAGGAAAGACUAGUGGGCGUUCUACCCUUAGAAGGUGGAAUCUACGGGGCCUUCUUGGCCUGAGAUGGAGAAUCACGAGGCAUUUGAGCAGAGGAGGCUUUCUGCCUCGGAGUGCGACUCGGUGAAGGGGCGUGAGGGGCUCCUCAGGUUCAUGCCAUGUCGGAAAUGGAGAAAUGGCCUCGGGUCCGUGCUUGAAGGGGGUUUGGAGUGUGAGUCUUCGAAGUGAGAUGCGCUGUGCGGGGUGUCGAAUGGAGAGGGAUGAGGUCGCAAGGUGGUAGAGGAAAAUGAGGGAUUCACAUUGCUAGGGGUGCUUAUGAAAUGGGGAAAUUAGAGCUCGGAGGGUUUAAAAAGAGAUGUCAGAGUGACUUUUUGUUUUCACACAACAUCCUUUGAUUUUCGCACAGCGUGUGAAAUGGCAUUGGGGGUGCGAAAUUGGUUCGCAUGGUGUGCUAAAUUUUCGCACCUCAUGCGAAAUGAUUCAUGAAUUUCGCAGGGUAUGCAAAUUGCCUUGGUUUUUCCUCUACCAAGAAUUUUUAAGGACACGCCCAACUGCUCUGAAGUUUCCCCUACAUUUGAUCAUAAAAAACCUAAGUUAAAUCAAACCAAAAUAAAAUUAAAAUGAGAAAUACAAAUCAAAAUAAGUAAUAAUAUAGGAAAAAUCUCAAAUAAAAAAUAAAACAAAAAGAUAUGGGCUCGAUAGUCUUUAGAAAGAUUAAGUCCAUAAAAAAAAAAAUUGGUCUUAUCCAGCUUGAUGUGGAUCAAGGAGGAUGAAUGACUCCUUGUCAUGGGAAAAAGGCUCCACAAAGGGCUUGAGAUGGUGACCAUUCACUUUGAAGCUCCCGAUGCUGUUGAAGUUGAGUAGUUCCACUAUUCCAUUUGAAUGCACUUGGUGAAUGGUAAAAGGACCUAUCCACCUUGAUUUCAGCUUGCCCGGAAAGAUGUGGAGCUUAGAGUCAUAAAGUAAGACUUUUUGUCCCUUUUGAAAAUCCUUGCGGGAAAUCAACUGAUCAUGCCACCUCUUCAAUUUCUUUUUUGCAAUUUUUGAAUUGAUGUAGGCAUCAUUUUUCAAUUCCUCCAACUCAUUGAGGUCUAAGAACUUAUUCAACCCAGCUCUGCUCAAAUCCAUGUUGAGCUUCUUGAUUGCUCACCAAGCCUUGUAUUCCAAUUCCACAAGGAGAUGGCAUGCUUUGCAAUAUACUAGGUGAUAAGGAGACAUCCCAAGAAUGGUUUUGUAAGCUGUUCUAUAUGCCCAUAGUGCAUCAAGGAGCUUGACUGACCAAUCUUUCUAUUUGUGUUCACCACCUUCAUCAAUAUGUUUUUAAUCUCCCGGUUUGCUAACUCAACUUGCCCACUAGUUUGAGGGUGGUAAGGUGUAACUACCUUAUGUUUCACCCCAUACUUGGCUAGGAAAGUUUCAAAAGGCUUGUUGCAAAAAUGAGUACCCCCAUCACUAAUUAUGGCUUUGGGCACCCCAAAUCUUGAGAAGAUGUUCUCCUUGAGAACCACUCUAUGGUCAUUGUGCUUGCAUGGGAUUGCCUUAACCCACUUAGAAACAUAAUCUACUCCCACCAAGAUGUAAGAGUAGCCCAAAGACAUAGGGAAUGAUCCCAUGAAGUCAAUGCCAAAAACAUAAAAAAAAUUAACUAUCAAAAUGGGAUUCAAAGGCAUCAUGUUCCUGCGUGUCAACUUUCCAAGCCUCUAGCAUCGAUCACAACUCUUGCACAUGGUGUGGGCAUAUUUGAAAAGUGAUGACCAAUAGAAAUCCGAUUGCAACACCCUCAUGGCUGUCUUCUGAGAAGCAAAGUGGCCUCCACAUGCAUUUUCAUGGCAAUGACUGAGGAUCCCCUAUUACUCUUCUUUAGGAACGCACUUUCUUAUUAUCUGAUUCGCAUAAUACUUGAAUAGAAAUGACUCUUCCCAAUAGUAGGAUGAAUUUUUGCAAAGAAGUGCUUUUUAUCUUGUGCUUUCCACUCACUUGGAACUUCUCCUGUGACUAGGUAGUUAGCAAUGUGAGCAUACCAAGGAGCAACUUCCACCAACAUGAGAGACUCCUUUGGAAAAUCAUCAUUGGUGGGCAAACCAUGGGAAUUAUGUGCAAUAGCUAGCCUUGAAAGGUGGUCUGCUACCACAUUCUCCAUUCCUUUCUUGUUUUUGAUAUAGAGAUUGAACUCUUGAAGCAAGAGAAUCCAUCCAAUCAGCCUUGCUUUAGUAUAUUGCUUAGUCAAUAGAUACUUCAAAGCAUAGUGAUCAGUGAAAACCACAAUGAAGGACCCCACCAAGUAAGCACGAAACUUAUCCAAGGCAAAAACUACAGCUAACAAUUAUUUCUCGGUGGUUGUGUAGUUUCUUUGAGCCUCAUUCAAUGUCUUGCUCGCGUAGUAGAUCACAUAGGGUUUUCCAUAUUCUCUUUGCCUAAGAACAACUCCUAUAGCAAAGUCACUGGCAUCACACAUUACCUAAAAGGGCAGUUGCCAGUUGGGAGCCCUCACUAUUGGUGCAGUUGUCAGAAAUAGCUUCAAUUCUUCAAAACUCCUUUGGCAUCUAUCAUCCCAUAUGAAUUUAGCAUCCUUCACUAAUAGUUCACAAAGAGGCCUUGCGAAUUUAGAGAAAUCCUUGAUAAACCUCCUAUAGAACCCGGCAUGGCCAAGGAAUUGCCUUACUCCUUUGACAUUUGUUGGGGAUGGCAACUUGACAAUGAGUUCAACCUUUACUUUGUCAACUUCAAUGCCUUGCUUGGAGAUGAUGUGCCUAAGGACAAUCCCUUGUUGUACCAUGAAAUGUCACUUCUCCCAGUUAAGCACUAAGUCUUUCUCGAUGCAUCGGUUCAGAACAGCUUCUAGGUUGACCAAACAUUCAUCAAAUGCACUUCCAUAUAUGGUGAUAUCAUCCAUAAAGACUUCCAUAAUAUGCUCCACCAUAUCACUGAAAAUGCUUAACAUGAAUCUUUGGAAAGUUGCGGGUGCAUUGCAUAAGCCAAAAGACAUUCUCCUGUAUGCAUAGGUUCCAAAUGGGCACGUGAAAGUGGUAUUCUCCUGGUCUUCAACAUCAAUUUCUAUAUGAAAGUACCCGGAGUAGCCAUCCAAGAAACAAUAAAAAGGAUGCCCUGAGACCCUCUCAAGCACCUGAUCAAUAAAGGGCAACGGGAAAUGGUCCUUUCUUGUCACCGCAUUCAACCUCCUGUAAUCGAUACACACCCUCCAACCUGUAGUGAGGCGUGUAUAGACCUCUUCUCCUUUAUCAUUUUGCACCACCGUGAUCCCAUAAUUCUUUGGCACAACUUGAGUAGGACUCACCCAUGGGCUAUUUGAUAUGUGGUAGAUAAUACCGGCCUGAAGUAGCUUAAGAACUUCAGCUCGCACCAUCUCUUGCAUGUGAGAGUUCAACUUUCUCUGAGGUUGACGAACUGGCUUAGCUUCAUUCUCCAUGUAAAUAUGAUGGGUGCAGACUAAAGGGAUGAUCCCUUUCAAAUAAGAAAUUUGCCACCCUAUUGCCUUUUUACAUCUUCUGAGGACUUCAAGUAGACAAUCCUCUUGAUGAAUGGUAAGAGCUGAAGAUAUAACAACAGGGCACUUCUUGUCUUCUUCCAAGUAUGCAUGCUUCAACUUUGUGAGUAGCGGCUUAAGAAUAAGCUUUGGGGCUCCUCCUUAGCAGCUCUUUGCAUCUCCUCCUCAUUGAAUAAGGGUAGAAUUUCUUCUUUCCUCCUCCAAGGGGGCAGGGUAGCAAGCAAAUAUGAGGGUUCAGGUAACCCUUUAUCAAGAUCCCCAAAACUCUCAAUCAAAUCCUCCCGCAUUCUCUGAUCACAAUGCUCAUCUACUAAAGUGUCAAUCAUGCACACUUCCUCUGGAUCUUCUUUUUCUUCCGGAUGGAUAUGCUUCUUGCACAAAUGGAAGAUGUUGAGCUCUAUUUUCAUGUUACCAAACGUGAGUUGCAUGACUCCAUUCCUACAAUUGAUGAUUUCAUUUGAUGUAGCUAGGAAUGGUCUUCCAAGUAUGAUAAGAACAUAAUUAGUUCAUUUGACAACCAGAUCCGUAUCAAGAACAAAAAAAUCCACUGGAUAGUAGAAUUUGUCAACUUGAACCAAGACAUCUUCAAUCAUCCCUCUUGGAAUCUUCACCGAUCUAUCUGCCAGAGAUAGAGUGAUGGAUGUUGGCUUUAACUCUCCAAGUCUCAACUGCUUGUAGAUAGAGUAGGGUAGCAAAUUCACACUUGCUCCCAAGUCCAACAAAGCUUUCUCCACACAAGUCCCUCCAAUACUCAUUGAGAUGGUAGGGCAGCCCGGAUCUUUGUACUUCGCUGGAGACUUAUACUAUAUGAUGACACUCACUUGCUCAGUCAAUAAGGCUUUCUUGUUCACAUUCAACCUUCUCUUUACAGUGCACAAGUCCUUCAAGAAUUUUGCAUAUGUCGGUACUUGUUUGAUCAUGUCUAGCAAAGGGAUAUUGACCUUCACUUGUCUCAACACUUCAAAAAUUUCUGAUGCAUUAUUGGUUCCCUUUUUGCCAUGCAAAGCUUGGGGGAAAGGUGAAAGCAUGUGUUUCUUCAUCAUAUCUUCCUUGAUGACUAUCCUCUCGGGUUCUUCAUCCACACUAGAAUCAUGGUCAUCUUUCUUUGUACUUUUCUUUUUUCUCUUUCCUUUAAUUUCCUCACUCUUUUCUUUUUCUGCUACACUCUCUUUAUCAUGCUUUGGCUUGGAUGUGGGUUGAUUAACCUCCUUACCACUUCUCAAGGUGACAACUGCUUUGAAUUCUCUCACCUUUGAAGAUUCUCCUUCUUGAUUCUCCACUUCAUAGAUACCCUUGAGAUUUUAAUGAGGCUGAGAAAGAAACUUUCCUUUCUCUUGCACUGUGUUGAGGUUGGUAAGCCUUGAGAUUGCAUAUUGGACAUUGUCUAUCUUCUGAGACAGAUCAUUUUGCAUCACAUCCAUCCUUUUGUUCAAUGUACUCUCCACGCUGUCAAUUCUUUGAUUCAGUUGAGCAUUGAUGGCCUUAUGAUCUCCCACAAAGUCUCCCACAACCUUGCUAAGGUUCACAAUAUCUUAUUCAAGAUUCGAGGCUUGCUGAGGUGCUUGAGCAGGUUGUGUGUACUGAGGUGGCUUUGGUUUACAAGAGAAAUUGGGAUGGUUCCUCUAAUUUGAAUUGUAGGUGUUGCCAUAUGAAGCAUUGUUAUUAGGCUUGAAUUGACCAAUAACAUUUACUUGAUCACCAAACAUCUCUCUCACUACUAGAAUGGUAGGACACUCCUCCACUAAGUGCUCAUAAGAUUGACAAAUGAAACAAGGCAUAACUUGCACUGAUGUCUCAGAAAUGGCUUACACUUCUUGUACCUUCUUUAUUUCUAGCUCUUCCAAUCUCCUUGCCAUAGCUGCAACCUUUGCCUUCAUGUCAAUGCCUUCAUUCAAAAGAUACAUCCCACUCUUAGCAUUAGGUUGAGACUUCAUUCUUUCCACCUCUCUAGCAUUUGGUUCAUCCCAUCCUCUUGAAACUUCAGCCACAUAACUCAAAAAGUCCAUGGCUUUCUCCGAAUUCUUACUCAUAAAGUCUCCUUCACACAUAGUUUCUAGGAGUUGCUUCAUUGAAGAAGACAUACCAUCAUAAAAAUAGCUCACUAAGAGCCAUGUGUCAAAGCCAUGGUGAGGAUAAGCAUUAAUAGCUUCCAUGUACCUCUCCCAACACUCAUAAAUUCUCAUUCUCCUUAGCUGAGAAGUUCGAAAUUUGUCUUUUCAAACCAUUGGUCCUAUGAGUAGGAAAGAACUUCUUGAGAAACUCGGCUUGCAAAUCAGUCCAAGUUCGGAUACUCCUUGGCCUUAGAGAAUUAAGCCAAAUCUCGGCCUUAUCCUUCAAGGUGAAAGGAAAUAGCUUGAGCCUCAUCAAGUCAAUUGAAGCUCCUCCUUCUUGGAAUGUAUUACAAACCUCCUCGAAUUCCUUAAUAUGCGAGUAGGGAUUCUCCCUUUCCAUCCCAUGGAAAGUAGGGAGGAGUGGCACAAUGUGAGGUCAGAUUACUAGCUACUCAGUGGGAGGCACUAUGCAUGAAGGUGCACUCAUACGAGGCAGAUGCAUGAGGUCCCUCAUGGAUCAGUAUGCAUUGAAAUUAUCCUCUUGACCAUGUUGGCUAUUUUGGUCUUCAGGUGGAACAUCCAUGAUGUUCAAGCACACUUCCAACUCAGCUUCUUGAAGAGUUUCAAUCUUCACAAGUCUUCCCUCAAUAUCUCUUAUCCAAUAGGGCAUGCACAACUAGAGAUCACUGAAACAAAAACAAAGAAAACAAAAGAAAUACAAUUCUAGGAAGAUGUUAAGGUUAGUUGAAAACUAAAUAAAAGAUAAGCUGAAAUAGAGACAAAGAAAAAGAAUUAGUAAAAGAAAAAUUAGCAAACUUGUGAUGAUGAUCACAAGUAUUCACCAAAGGUCAUGUCAAUAUACUUUGGCACCAUCCCCGACAACGACGCCAUUUGAUUCCUCCCCAUUGCAGUCAUGCCAUUUGAUUCUGGCCUAGACGAGUGUUAUCAACAAAAUUUAUAAAACCUAAAUCACCUUACACUAGGGUAGCAUAACUAACAUAGUAUAGUGGCUCUAAGAUCAUCCACAGGGAUGGGUUUUCAUCGUACAAUUGACUUUAGUGAAGGAAAUAAAAUGGUGCUUUUCCUUAUGAAAAUUAGCUUUUAAAGAAAAUGGAAUUGUGGUUGCAAAGAUUGAUUUUAAGUUGAGCAAAAAUAAUAAGUGAAGUUAACUACAAAGAAAAGGUCUCUUGAAGCUUUAGGUCACUAGGAUCGGGUUCCUUAGGCAAAGGGGGAGAUUCCAGAUCUUUUCCUCGCGUUGGGGACAAUAACAUAAAAUAUGGUUAUCUCCCAAACCGAUUUUGUAUUUAGCAAUUAAGAUUUGAUCCAAAGGGUUAAUGAAAAAUGGUAAUUGCUUCCCAUUAAUGGCUUCAAACACUAAAGACCCUCAUCUUGAACCACAUUCCAAUGGCUCGUAAAUGAUAACUAAUAGACAUCCAUGGAUCUAGUGGUAAGCAUCCAUAGAAUCUAAAAAGCUUACCAAGUAUUGGCCAUUCAAGGUGAUUUUAAGGGAUUUAAAGCUAAACCUUGAAAUAAAAGCCAUUAAGGGUUAACAACUACUUUCAUUUAAAGCAAGGACAACUCCCACCUUUGCAUUCGGGUCAUUCACCUAGCUUCUAUCACUCUAAGAAACGUAAAGCCUAGCCACUCAUCCCCUGAGAAAUCAUCCUCAGAGGUUGUUUAGCUAGAAAGGAAAGUGAAAACAAAAUGAGAAGGAAAAACAGAGCAAAAACUCUGUAUAUUUCUUACUACUGGAAUUUACAAGUGUUCAAUACCAUCCCCCUUUCUGUGUGUCUUUCCAUAUCUCUCUUAUGUUACCCCAAAAAAUAUAAAAAGAUAUAAAAGAAAAUAUCUAGGUUGAUUACAAGGAGACACUAGGAAAUUACACAAAAUAUCUGAAGAUAAAAAUCUAACGGAGUCGGCGCAUAGGAAGAUUUUGCAUACCAAGUGAAAUUUUGCAUGGUGUGCGAAAUUCUUUGGCUACCUCUUGUGGUUUCGCAUGGUGUGUGAAAUUUCGCACAACAUUGUGAAAUUGUCUUUCACUCAGUCCUGCUCUCAGUCCUGCAGCUGUUUUUCCUCUUGAUUUCGCAUGCUAUGCGAAAUUUUCGCAUAGCCAUGCGAAAAUGCUGGUUGUUGGAUUUCUUCCUCUGUUUUUUUUCCUUGCAUCUUUGAUUGGCUUGGAAAUCUAUUGCCAAGCUUGGCAAAGGGCUAUGAAGUGCUCCAAAGCUCUGAUUCUUCAUGUAUUUGAGCUUCAACUUGCAUUGCCAUGGAUUUCACAAAAUUUUCCCUCAUUCUUGGCUUGUUUCAAUGAUAAAAAAGCUACCAAAAACACCAAAACUUGCCAAAAACUGAUUAGUAACCCUUGCUAGGUUCCUUAAUGUGCCCAUUGAGUUAAAAUGUAUUAACUACUACUCAAAAGUGUUUAAAAUAGUUAGUUUCAAGCUAUAAAAGAGUACUUUUUGAGUAGUAAUCAAAGCGUAAGUAACGCUUCAUAAUUUCUAGACUCAUUGACAUUAACAACCAUCCCUUCACCUUUUGAUUCUUAGCAUACCAUUUUUCAUAUCCAUUUUUUGACUCUUUUGGUGGAUUUGUUUUACCUCGAAUGUAGAAAAGUUUUUCCCGUUCGGCACUAUGCAUUUCCACGAGUUGUGACCAAACGUCAUAGUUUGAUUCAGUCAAAAUAAUUCUUGGAUUAAAAGUACCUUUAGAUUGAAAAACAAUAGUAUUUUUUUCACUUAUUUUUUAUUUUUUAUUUUUUAUCACGAAGGAGGGGCGAUGGCUGGCCUUACCGACAAAAUAUCCAGGAUUUCAGUUCCAUGGCUCUGAGACCAACUUCAAAUUGAUGAAUUGUAGUUUUUUAUUGAUUAUUUCAUUCGUUCAUGUACAGAGUAUAUAUAGAGGGUAAUCACCAUUCUAAGAAUGGGAAAGAAUGAUACAAGGAAGGAAUGAUAUAAGAAAAGAACAACUACUAUCCUAAUAUCUCAACUUUUCUAAUAUCUAAACAUUCCUAAUAUCUCAACAAAGACACCACCAUGAUUGUAAUUUAUAACAAAGCCACUUUUGAAUAAAAUCUAAUGGAACGAUGCUUUUGGGAGGGAUUAGGGAAUAUGGGGCACUUAAAAAGGGGUUUGGCUCUAUUAAGAUGUAGAUUUUAUGUUCCUAAUCAUAUAGGCGGUCCUUAUAAACGUUCUUCAAGAUAAGAAGAGUAAAUAACUGUUUAUUUUAGUGCCUAUUAAGAUAUAUUUCAUGUUUUCUCUUUUUAAAAAUUAGAAAUAAUAGUAACUCAUACAUAAAGUGUAAAAACUUUUUUGAGAGUUAAUUAUUUAAUAUAAUAGCUUUUAAAAGUUAUUUGAAAAAAAUUAAGGUAUUAAAAAUUUUUGCUGCCUUAAAUUUAUAAAAUUUUAAAAAUAAGGAUGUACCAAAAAUCAAUAUUUUUUUAAUAAGAGCUAUUGUAUUUUAUAUAGAAAUUAUUAUUAUUUUCUAUUUUUUAAAACAAAAAAUAAAAAGUGUAUCCAAACCAACAUUUAAUUAAUAAAAUAAAAUGAAAUAAUGAAAAAAAAUUAUUUGUUAGCAUGAGGCGAAAUGAAUUUGCUUACUUUUUAUCCUUCUAGGCAAUUGUAUGGCAUUAUAAUUAUAGCAGUAAAACUUGGUUGCAGAUUGAAUUGACACUUUCGAAUCUGGAAGCAACUAACAUAGCAUCAAUUAGUUCUUGGAGAAAUUAAGGGACCACCAAAAAAAUAUAAUAACUAGUAGUACAAUGUUUAUCGCUAGGGUAGUUGCUUACUUAGCAUCAAAAUAAGUAUGCAAACCUAAUGAUUAAGAGGUUGAGGAAUGAAUCCCCAUGGAACAUAGUGCCUUUGAUAUCUCAUAAGAUGUGAAGAAGAACAACUUAUAUAAAAGACAUGUCUUGACUCACAUGAAUGACAUAUUGUAUGUCCAAAUGAGUGAUAGAAAGGUAAACAAGGCUACAAGCCAGAAGCAUAUUUAGCUUGGCUAAGAUAGUAAGCAUCAAAAGAAGAGGAAACUUCAAGGCCCAGAAAUAGCUAAGACAACCAAGACCUUUGAUGGCUAUCUCAGCGAGGUUUUGAAGUUCCUAAAUGCUAAUAGAAUCAUCUCUAGUGAUGAUCACAUAAUCUACAUAUAGCAAGAGAAUAGUAGUGCCUCCAUUUGUUUUAUUGAGAAACAUAUCAUAACCAUGAUUGAUACCUCCAUUGAAACCUAACAGUUGAUAUGGUAGUGCUAAACUUUGAAAACCAGGUACAAGGAGCUUGCUUGUUUUUGGGUAUAAAGUGUUUUGCAGUCCACACACUUUGCUAGGUGAAUGAUUAUAUCUAGGACGUGGAAGCAUAUAUACUUCAUUGAAAUCACUAGUCGAUAGAGCAACUGCAUUCAGAGGUUUCCUUGUAACCAAUGCCAUAUUUUUCAGUGAAACCUUUGGCAAAAAGACGGGCUUUAUAUAUUGAUCAAUGGUGCCAUCGGCACAAGUAUGGUAACAUUGUGAAUUUUCAGGUUGGAAAAUUUUUCAACGUUGAUUAUAAAUUGUUAUGCAACUCUAAAAUAGAAUAAUUAAAAAUCCCUAUUAAUUUAAAAAUAAUUAAGGAGGUGAAGAGAUUAUUAACAAAUUAGCAUUUAUUAUAAUAGACAUAAAGACUAAAAGAAAAGAAAAUAAGAAGAAAGAAAAACACAAUUUUUUGGUUUCUCUUUAUUAACUCUUAAACCCUUGUUUAUAGGGUAAAGGUAAUACCAAUUUAUGGUAAUAAUACAAACAUGACAACAAUGUUUUCAUCCAUAAAUUAUUAUAAAUAUGUAUAAUAUUCCCCUUUGAUGACAAGCAUUCUUUGAAUAUGUCUCAUUAAAGACUUACUAGGAAAAAAAACUAUGGGAAAAACCCUAGUAAGGUAACAGAGAAAUAUUCUUUUAAUGACUAUCUUGUUAAAAAUCUUAUUAGUAUAACCUAAUGGGAUGAAACUUGGAUGAAGAGAAAAAGAGUACAGUGUAGUGGCAUCCUUAUCUAUGAGCUUCUUUGAGUAGCUCAACAUGAAGAUCUUUGAGUUGAUAUAUCUCAAUAUUAUAUAUGAGCUUCUUGAGUGUCACAAUUGGCAAUAGUUUUAUGAAUAAGUUUGUGAAUUUUUCAUUUGAUCUUCUUUGUUGAACAUUAAUUUCACUACUCUUUUGAAGCUUAUGGUGUAAAAGAAUUUGAACAAUAUAUGCUUAGUUCUAUUACACUUCUUGUAUCAUUCUUUAACCUAUGCAAUGCAUUCAACAUUAUCUUUGUGUAGCAUUGUCGGAUUAUCUUUAAUGGAAGAUAGUCCACAUAUGACUCACAAAUAUAUUGGAUUAAAGAUCUUAAUCACACUCAUUACCAACUUGUUUUUUGAAUUUGUGAGUAUUUCUAAAUGAUUUGAAGAAAUAACUCCCAUUAUCUUAUUAAAAAAAAUUUAGGAAGGUGGCAACUUAGUAUACGAGCCAACAAUCAAUACUUACUCAUUUUCUUUUAACUCCAAUGUUUUUGAGUUGGUGUAGAACUAUAUCUUUUUAGAUACAUCAAUGCACCAAUUGCACUAAGAUAUGUUUUUUCUAAACCAAAUAGUUCUUCAUUAUGUUAUUUAGAAUGAAAGAGGCCCUUGUUCACUUCAAGUGAAUGAACAACCAUGGAAGAACUUAAUGGAUGUGAUUUGUCCAUGUAAAAGCGCUUUAAGAUUUUCUCUAUAUAUGUUGACUAAUAAGCUAAUACCCCAUUUGAAAAGAACUCAAUCUAUAAGUUGAUACAAAAUUUUGUUUUUCUAAGAUCUUUUAUUUCAAAUUCCUUUUACAGAUAGUCAAUUAUUCUUGUAAGUGACCACAAUCUCUGUUGUAAAUAAAAUACUAAAGCCUAAAUCCAUGAUAACUUUGGCAAAAAAAAAAAAAAAAAAAAAAAAAAAAAAAAAAACCCAGAGAUAGAGCGACCACGACUUUGUAGUAUUCUAGGUUGUUGUCCUCCAAGAUAAGCUCUAAUAUGUUUAUUUGUUUUUAGAUUCAAAGGAUUAAUUAUUUAAUAAAGGUAAAAAAAUACCUAAUUCAAAUCAAUCAAAAUAAAAUAUGGACAAAAUUUUUCUAAAUAAACUUAUUUAAAUUAAAGAAUAAUUAUUGAUUUUUAAUUCAAUUAAUCAAGAUUGGGAGUCUACAAUCCAACUUCGAAUAUAAAUUAACCUUUAGGCAAAACAAGGGUAUAUAAUUUAAUAGUCUUGGGGUAAUCAAAAUGCAUGGUCUAAUGAGAUCAACCUAAGUCCACACCUUAGAGUUGAUCCGUAUCCUAACUUUUAAUAUUUUAUUCCAUUGAAUUACCUAAUAAAUGAAUGGACAUGAAAUUAAUGUUUAAGUCUAAGGUUUUUAGGCUUUUACCACUUUGUGUAGAUUUGCCUUAUGAUAUAUAAUAAUGAUAAAACCUUUGAUAACUAGGGAUCAAGAAUUACCAAGAAUCCUUAGUAUAAAGGAAUAUAAGAUUGUAUCUUGUCCUAAGUCAAACUAACUUUAGAGGGUAUUUUGAUCUCAAUACUAAUGCCUUAACAUUUCAUUCAUUCCAUUAUUAAUCCGAUUUCACCCAUUGUUUUCCUUUGGAUCUAACCUUAGGUUUUCAUGUUUUACCCUAAGAUGGCUUUUUAGCCUCUUAUGGGCAUGUCCUCACAUACAUAGGUCGUAAAAGAAUAAGAAAGAACCAUUCUUGAUUUCAAAGAAAUUAAAAACAAUAAUUCAUUCAAUAAUAAUAAAUAAAAAAAAGACAAACCAUGAAAAACUUUCAAGGUCUUCUUAUCUCUCCCCUAAGAAUUGUCAAGCCAUCUCUACUCUUAAAAAAAAAUCAAGAAGUCCAUAGAAAACCUAAAUAUCAAGUUUUUAUAGUUUCCACCAAAAAACCUAACACGUGGUAUGAUUACUACUCAAAAAGUGCUAUUUCAUAGCUUGUAAUUAACUCUUUUAAACACUUUUGAGUAGUAGUUAUCACCUUUUAACCCAAUUAACAUAUUAAGGACCCUUGCAAUCAAUUCUAAUCAAAUUGUGUUAAGUUUUGGUGUUUUGAUAGCUUUUUGAUCACCAAAGCAAUCCGAGAUUGAGGAGAGUUCUUUGGAAUCCAUGGCAAAGCAAUGGAAAGCUCAGAAACAUGAAGAACCGAAGCUUUGAAGUCCUUUGCCAUAAGCAAAUCCAGAAUGCAAGGAGUAUGGGAUUCUCCCUAAAAAAUGCCACGUGGCUCUCUCUCCCUUGUGUUGAUGCCUUGCGUCCUAGUGAUCCACGUAGCUACCAAGUGGACGCACGCUUUCAACCCAGAUUGAGUUCUGGUUCAGUCUUCCUUGCAAAAGAUGUCCGAGUAGGGCGUCCGGACACACCAUCGGAGGGCGGCGGAACGUGGGCUGUGGCAGGUUGUCGGAAUGACGUAGCAAGACUUGUGCACUUUAGUCAAUGAUUUGGAUAACAUAUCCGAAUAGGAUAUGCUAUCGUCCGGGGUGUGAUGAUCGCGAGUGCCUUGUGCUUCUCCCUGAGGGAGUCUGGAUAGGGGGAGCGCGCCACGUGUCCUCUUGGGGAAUCCGGAUGGAGUUGCUCCAGAUAGUGAUGCGCGCUCCGUGUCAUCAGGGGGAGGGGUGCCUACACCUUACACACGCAGACAGUCCCCCUUGUGACGUUCCACAUUCUCCGGAUAUUUCACAUCCGGCGCCUGACGCCGGAUGGGAGAGGAGGGCGUUUCAACUUCCCCGAUCAGACAUAUCCGGAUCCUCUUAUAGCGCUUACCCGGAGAGUUUCGCAGCCAUUUUGCACAGUGCAGCGGUGUUCUCUUGAAGCUUCUCGAUAUGUGCGACCGACAUUUUGAGAUAUUUUUGCUUUAGAUAUUUGAUGUCUAAAUCCCCAAACUCUCCUUGUAACCCACCUAUCAUAGGAUUCCUUAGUCUUUAAGCAAGAACAAAGGGUGAAUAACCUCUUAUAUAUAGUUUGUAAUUUUCUUUAAAAGAGGAGAGUCGGGAGCUUGCUCGUGGACGCAUCCUUUGUACAAUUUUGCAAGAAAUAUAUUUUACAGAGCACUUACUCUGUUUUUCCUACAUAUUUUUGUUUUCUCAUUCUUUUUCUUUCUAGCCAAUCAAACUCUGAGGAUUUUUCCUCAGAGGAUGAGAGGCUAGGCUCUUCGUCUCUUGGAGUGAAGAAAGCUGGGUAAGUUUCCAAAUGCAUAAAUUGGAAGUUUUGUUGUUUUAGUUUUUAAUGAAGAGAAAGUGUGACCCGUUAAUGGUUUUUAUCUUUUUAGUUAACUUAAAACGCCUUUAAAUCACCUGGGCCAACACUUGGUAAGGCAAGUGAUCUCCGUCCAUUGAGAUGCACUAGUUUAUCUCUUGUGAGCCUUUGGGAGGUGGUUUGAAGGUAGGAUUUUCUAGAAUAGCCAACACUUGGUAAGCUUUUGGACUCCACGGAGACAUCCAUUAGUUAUCUCUUGCGAGCUUUUGAUGGGUAAUCCAAGGUUAAGGAUCACCUUGAAUGGAAAAUGCUAGGUGAGAGGCACAAGCCAUUGCAAGGUGCAUCAGUGAGAGGGAUUUAGUGUUUGAACCCAUUAAGGGGAAACAUCUGUACCACACCGGUUAGAGAAUUAACUAUAUGUUAAUUCUCUAAUGCGAGGAAAAGAAACAAGUGACCGGAACUCUCCUUUUUGUAUGAGGAACCUGAGCCUAGUGAUCUAAACUCCAAGAAACACUUUUCUUAGUAAGUAAUUUCCAUUACUUUAUUUUUGGUUUCACUUAAAAACCAACCUUUUCAAACAUCUUUAUGUUUUAUUUUAGAGCUAACCUUGAAAUGAAAAGGCACCAAUUCAUCUUUGAAUUAAUAUCAAUUGCGGAGUGAAAACCCAUCCCAGUGAACGACCCUAGAGGCACUAUGCUAUGCUAGCUAAGGCUAUCUUAGUACAUGGUGUAAUAGGUUAUAAAUUUUGUUGAUUACUCCCUUUUGAGGAUCCAAAUCAAGGGACACCAGCUGGACAUGAAUCAGUUGAGACACCAAUUGGGAACGAAUCAUGGUAUGUUCCUAUUAGCCACUUAUUUUAUAAAUAAUUAUCUAAUAUGAUUAAAAAUAAUAAAAUCGUGAUUUCUAGUCAUGUGGGUCCCAUUUAGGGCGGAUGGAGUGCCUAAGAUGCAAUUCCUGAAGUAAAUGAGGUGAAAUAUCAAUGUGGCAGUCUAUGAUUUCGAAAUUGGGGUCAUUUUGAAUUGGAUUUCGAAUUCAAAAGUUGAAUUUCAAAAUCAUUUUGAAAUGGUCCUUUAACUCUGCAUAGUUGUCUUCAAAGGGUCAUGAAUUCUUCAAUUUAGCUCCGAUUUGCACACCAUUUAAAGCCUUUGGAUUUUUUAUUUCUAGAGCUUCAAAACGAUAUAUGGAUUGGUUAAAAUAGAAUUCAUAAAGUGCUCCAAAAUUUUCCUCAAAGUUAGAAUAUAUGUUGCUAUCAAAUUUUAAGUUCCAAAUUUCCAUGCAACUUGAUGAAUUUGCUUCAUGCCUCAUUGUCCAUGUUUGCAUGCCCUUUUUCUUACUUCAUAAUGAUCAAUCGUCAUCUCCCAAACUCAUGACAUCCUCGUCUUGCCUUUCCUCAUAGUCCAUGAGUUUUGACUCGCCUAUUUCCUCAUUUAACCAUUUCUUGACUUUUCAAAAUCUAAAGUGAUUGAACUUGUACCAUUUUCUUUCCUUGAACUUGAGAUGAAUCUCCAAAAUGCAAGUUAAACUCAUGGCUAGGGCCUUAGCAUCGAUUUGGGUCAAGUUGGAUGAUUUGAAUGUAUUAUGGUGCAUAAAUCAUAUCGAAUAUGUGCCUUUAGAACACGCAUUUUGGCUCAAAUCAAUAAGCUCUUCAAGAGUUUCAAUAAGAUUCAAAUAGUCCACAUAAACAAUAACAAUUACAAAUCCAAUUGCUAAUUUCUUAAUGAAUAUACAUGGAUAAAUAAGAUUUUAUACAUAUUAUUUUCUUAAUAAAUAUUCACAUAGGUGAUUGUACUAUUAGGAACCAUGAAUUACUCCAUUUCGAGACCCUGGAUCAUGUAAGAUGCUAGAUCUAGAUUUUAAAAGAAUAAUACUUAUGAUCUGAAUGCUCCCAGAUCAAAUUCAAUCUGAACAAGAUGUCGAAUCCGUGGUAGUUGUGGUAGAUUUUGUCUACACAAUGAUCUUCCACCCAUUCUAUCCCUUCAUAGAACUUAACACUAGAGAAUGGUGAUCUUUUUUUUUUUUUUUUUCUUUUCUUUUUCUCUCUCAGAUGACUAGGGCUUACCCUCACUCUUUGCAAUACAAAUGAAAAAAAUUCUUAAGCCUUAACCCUUAAGGGAGGUAUUUAUAAGCUUAAGUGACUUGAGUCCAACUUGGGCUUAGGUCACCUAAUCCAAUCCACUUGGGUCCUACUUAAUUAAUUAGCACUAUUAGGCUCCAAUUAAUUAAUUAGCUAAAUCAAGAAAGUUCUUUUAUAAGAUCUAGUGUAUUCUUACAUUUUUACGAAAACACCUUUAUGCAUACUUAAGAGCUACAAACCCAAAAUUCCUUAAACAAAUUUGCCACUAUGAAUCAAGAGCUCAAACAGGGACCACAAGACCUAAAAGAAAUACUAGCUCUCAAAAUCCAAUUCUAACCUUGACUUAAUAUCCCAUUAUAGAGAGUCAACUGCACUCAAUAUCUUAUGUAUAUUAUAACAUAAGAUACAAGAACUUGGGUCUAUGACCUAUUAUUCACAACAUGAAGACUCCUCAUGAACUGGUGUCUGUAACCUAAUGAGCUAAUGCUACCAACUUCUUAAGAUUAUCUCUCGAAAUCUUGAGUUAUAGAUCAUCAUAUUAUACGAUAAAUUGAUAUAACCUAGCUCACAAAGAGCAUAUACAAAAUUCCACUUAAGAAAUUACUAUGUUUAUAGUUUUUCUAAUCGCAUGUUAAGAUUAGUUAAUGGGACUAUCUUAAUCCCAUGAAAUAUUAAGGUGCUUCUAUAAAAAUAGUUGUUGCCACUAGUCUCUAUCAAUACUGACCCAAUCCAUAGGGAAUAUGUGACCACCUUAGGGUCUUAUCUAUAGGUCAAAGCCUUCUAUUGAUUUUAGCAUAAGAUUAAUAUCCUUUCAAGGUUGAGAGUCCAUGUAGUAUAGUACUUUGGUAAAUCAUGACUACUCGAUAGCCAAUGUCAUGAUUCAACGCAGGUCUUAUUUAAUGUGUAACUUUACAUACUAGUGCACUAACCAUGGGAAAGUCAUCUCAAUGACCAAGACAAUUCAUCCCUCAAAUUAAGAGAUAGUACAUUACAAUCUCUAUUGGAUUAGCCAAAUCCAUGAACUAAUUAUGAAUUGCUUAUUACCUGGCAAGGAACCUAUGACUUAGAUUUUCUGUGCAACUCUUAGUGUACCCAAGUCAUGUACAAUGCAAGUGAUAUGGAUGUGAAUGCUCAAAUAAAUAUUUAAUGCAAAAAGAUAAUAAGAGGAACCAUAAUCAUAAUGAUAAAUUUAUUAAUUAAUCUAAAAUAUGUUAUUCCAACACACAUUUUGUUUGCUUAAUCCAUAUGUAGACCCUCAAUUUUGUCUCUUUAGCACAUGUCUUUAAAUUUGUUUUCAGUGCUCCACAGUAACUCCUUAGUGGCCCAUUAUUACUCGUAUAACUUACCCUUUUCUGAGUCACCUCGGGGACUUUGGUUGAGGGAUUAUCUGACCCCUUAUUGUGACCCUUGGCAGCCCUAUUCUAGACUUAGGUUUUUCAUUCAUUUUUAGGAUAGCUUUUAGGGUAGUCUACUUGGCCCAUUAAGACUUUUUUUUUUUUUUUUUUAGCCUGACUUGUAUGACUUGCAUGGCCCGCAUGGGAUGGACUGUUUUAUUUCAUUUCAUUUUAUUAUGUUUUAUUUUAUUUAUUUUUAUUUUAUUUUAAUCCUUGAUAAGUUGUAAGAUUGCUAACUUUUUUUAUUUUUUUAUUUUUAUUUUCUCUAUUUUCGUUUUUUUUGUUUGGCAAGAGAAUGGGGGCUACUAUUCAAAUCUGACUAAGGUAUGUGCACUAAAAAACGUAAGAAAAAUAUUUUGUGAGGGAAAAAGGAAUUAAUGUGGCUGCAUACAUAUGGAAAUAAGAGAUCCUAAAGAAGCAUUAUGAUUUUCGAAAAAGGAAAGGAAAUAGAAGAAAGGAAAGUGGAUUUUCUUUAGCAUAUUUGGUUUGAGAGGCUGAUACAAAUAUAAGUGGAAAGGGAAAAGAAGAGGAGGCAGGAGGAGGAUCGUCUGAAAGGAGGCAUAGAAGAGAGGGACUUGGAAUACGUAUAGAGAGGGAGAAGAUUGGUGGACGGAAAAAGGUUUAGGGAGCAGAUUUCUCAGUCGGGAAAAGGUGCAACAGCUUGGAACCAAGCAAUUGGAGAGGAGAACGUGCAGGUAUGUUUCCAGAUUUUUGCUAUAUCACCAUGUAGUUUCAAUCUUUCCUGACUUCUUAGUUUUCUGAAGAUUCAUUCUUGUCGUCUGGUGUGGACGCAAGAGCCACAAUUUGAUUAGUUGAGACUGGUUUGCUUGCAUGUUUAUGCUAUUUUAAUAUUCCUUUUAAUGUCUUUGGUUCCAUCCGAAACCAAUCUGAAUAUAAGUUUACCUUUGAAUUUGAUGCUAUGGGUCUUGCCCCCAUUUAUGUCCCAAUCUGGCUUUAAAAUACCCACCGACUGUCUUCUUUUCCCCCGUUUUAUUUUCUUUUCUUUCUUGGUCUUUUUGCAUGCUUCUGUAUCUACGUUUCUUCCCUUUCUUUACCUUGGUAUUCUCGGAUAUGGAGACCAUGAGCAUUCCGAGAAAGUUGGGAACUUGAUAAAGGCUGUGUAAAACGGGUUUUCUUGGAGUUAAACAGAUGCAGAGGUUACCAUAGUUCUUGAGGGUUCUUAGUUUAUGGCAUCGCUCAUUCCACCUGGACGGAAAUUCUCACCAAUUCCACCUGGAUGUAUUACAUCCGGAAUUCUGCCCGACCAACGUUCUACUCUUAUUCGGAUGUCUCACAGCCACAAUUCUAUCCGGCCGACAUCCCAUUUUCUUCGGAUGUCUCACAGCCGCAAUUCUAUCCGGCCGAUAUCCCACUUUCUCCGGAUGUCUCACAGCCGCAAUUCUAUCCGGCCGAUAUCCCAUUUUCUCCGGAUGUCUCACAGUCGCAAUUCUAUCCGGCCGACGUUCCACCUUCUCCUCUAUUCGUUUCUUUGAUUGGGAACUUAUUGUUUUAAAUUGAAUUUUUGAACCAUUGUUCGACUAAACAUUCUCAACUUUGAAAAAUUCAUCUUUAGACUUUCUCUAGGCAAUAAAAUCCAGACUUCAACACUCUUUUGCUGCCAUUUUCCUUCCGGCACGCGUUUUCACUAUUUUACUUGAUUUUCAACUGAUUUUCUUGAUUUUCCCAAGCAUGAACAAACUUCAUGAUUCCAAACAAUGGAAUUCAUUGAAUCAAUACGUGCAAAAGUAAUAUGGACUUUGGUGGGUGGUCCUACAUUCUUGAUAUCUUCACUAAUAUUGAUUUUAAAGAUGAUUGUUUGGUAUUUAAUUGAUUUUGAUUCCUCUUGGAGGUAUGCUUGAAUUUGUUUCAUAUUGGUUAUUGGGUUAACCUUGCUUCCCAUAAAGGCGCUUUAGCUUGCUAUCCAAGUACGCUCCUUCUCAUUUUUUUUUCGAGAAUUCUAUGGACACGUACGCUAUUGGUGACUAUAUCCAUGCAUGAUGUGAUUCUUGGGUGUUUAAAUAUAUACUAGAUUUGCCUGGAUAAGACACAUGUUGUGUGAUAGAUUUCUACACUAACUCUUAUGUUUCAUGAUAGCGCUUGGGAAGCCGUUCAGGUACGCACUUCGACUCUCUCCUAUGGUUUGUUUUCUUGUUAGGCAUGCAAUAUUUGAAAUCACCUAGCCUACUUAGGUAUCCAUAAUUAACUGAUUAAUGGCCACACUUCCCUUAACUUUGUCAGUAGAGACCUUUAUAAGGCUUAGAGGGGUGCUACCUUUCAAAGGUACCUUCCCAAUAGGUAACCUGAUCUCCGGAUUUAGACUCGGGUUUUUCAAAGACACACUUUUCCAAAAAUUAUGGAGUCAUUUUUUAGGGUUUUAUUUCUUAUUUUAUUUUCCCUUUAAAAAUAAAAAUAAAAUAAGUGGCGACUCCGACUUUUCCAAAAAUUAAUUUUUCACAAAUAAAAAGCGAGUCUCGCCGAUCGAGUGGGGGCGCACGUGAAAAAUGCGGGUCCACACCAUACAAGGAUCUUUGUAGUUUUGUUUCCCGUUGAAACACUCAACAUGCUAUCCUGGUACGCUCUCUAUCAUGUACUUUCAAGAAUUUUAUGAACAUGUAUACUAUUGGAGACUAUAUCCUUGUUUGAUGUAAUCCUUAGGUGCUUAGAUGUAUGUUAGAUUUGCUUGGAUAAAAUGCAUGUUGUGUAUAAUAUUUCUAUACUAACUUUGAUGUGUUAUGAUAGCGCUUGAGAAGUAGUUCAGGUACACACUUUGACUCUUUUUUAUGAUCAUGAUUUGACUUUCUGGCUUGGCAUGUUAAUUCUAAAAUCACCUUAGUGUACCUAGGUACCUUCAAGCAAUUAAUUAAUUGCCAUAUUCCCCUCGACAUAGCCAGUAAAGACCUCUUUAGGGCUUAGAGGGUUACUACCUUUUUGAGGUACUUUCCCAAUAAGUAACCUGAUCCUCAAACCUAGACUUGGGUUUUCAAAGACACGUUUUUCCAAAACUAUGGAGUCACUUCUUUAGGGUUUUCUUUUUUGUUUUAUUUUUCCUUUUAAAAUAAAUUAAAAUAAGUGGCAACUCCAACUUUUCCAAACUAAUUUUUCACCAUUAAAACAAAAGGGAGUCUCGCCGAUUGAGUGGGGACGCAUGUGAAAAACGCGGGUCCACACAUAUAUUCCUUAUGGAUUAGGUCAUUGUUGAUGGAAGCCGGUAGCAAUAGGUAUUCUUAAUAAAGACACUAUGAUAUCUUUUGGGAUUGAAACAAUGUAUCCUCUUAGGUGAUCUUAAGGAAGUGUGUUCAUGGAAACUAUGACCAUAGUAGUUCGUUAGGUGGAACUUGACAUGGGCUCUUUUAGAGCUAAGAUAUGUUAAUUGAACACACAAUAGGAGGACUUGUAACUCAAGGAUGGUAGAAGUAAUCUUGAAAGGUUGAUAACUUUCACCUUGUUAGACUACGGACACCAAUUCAUGGGGAGACUGAACACAAUCGGUAGUAGGUCAUAAACCCAAGCACUUAGUGUCUCGUUGUUAUUUACAUAGGAUACUAGAGUUUAAUUAAUUCUCUGUAGUGGGAUGUUGAAUCAACUUUAGAAUUGGAUUAUCAGAGAGCCAGUAUUCCUAUGGGUCCUAAUGGUCCCCGCUUUGAGCUCAUAUACCUUGUUGGCGCAUAUUAUGAGGGUAAGAUUAAUUCUAGAUUCACUUUUGUGCAUAAGGGCAUUUUGGUAAUUACGCAAGGUUGCAUAGGGGUAAGUAAACAAGGUCUCUGGAUUGGGCUAAUUGAUUAAUUAGGAGACCUUAUUGGGUUGAUUAAUCAAUUAGAACCCAUUUUGGGCUAGAUUAAGUGACCCAAGCCCAUGUAGGCUUAAGUCACUUAAGCCCACUUAGGAACCUUAUAAAUACCCCAUGGGGGUUAGGGUUUCCAUAGCUUUUGUAUUCCACCAUCUAGAAAGAUAAAGAGCCAUAACCUCCACUAUAUUUUCCUCCAUAUCGGAAGUGUGCCAAGAUCAAGGUUCGAGUCAUCGGGCGAAAGACUUUGGGUUUACAAGACUUCUAUGACUUUGGUCUUCAUCUUCACUAUGUGAAUUUGAUUUGAGAACAUUUGAAUAUGAGGUAUGGUUUCAUUAGCACUUUUUGAAUCCUUUUAAAGUAUAAAAAUGUUAUUUUUCUGUUGUGCAUAGGAUUUAGAAAAAGCCUAAGAUAGUUAUGCAUGUUCCUAACCUCAUUCAAACUUGGGAAAUGGAUAGAUCCAGGUUUUUCCCUUCAUUUAGUUAUGAGACCUUGAGCUAGUUGAAAAACUUUGUUAAAGUUACUCACUAGUUUUCUAACUUCAACUAAUGCAUCAUAAAUGCCUUUGAACUCCCUUAUAUAUUCAUCAAGAGAUCUUGUGCCUUUCUUUACCCCUUAAAGUCUAUUGGUUAGUUGCACCUCCAUCUAUUUGGUAAUUGGUAGGAGCUUCUCUUCUAGAGAGAGUUCCAAACAUUAUAGGAAAUCUCCAUUCCAUCUAAUAGAAGCAUUAAUUUUUUUUUUCAUGAGUCCAAGAAGCUAAGAGGUAAGUAGACCAUCAUUGUGAGCCAAUGUCUAUAUUGAUUGGUCAUGGGUCUUCUUUGUUUUAGCAUCCAUUAUCUCCUCUUAUGUGCUUCUAUUUUCAGAAAGAUGAUGGAUUAAAACAAGACUUCAAACAAGGGGAAGAACUUGUGAGUACCACAAAAAGAGAUUGGAUAUAUUCGGUUUGAGGGAAAUGAGGCUUGAGCACUAAUGAAAGGCCUGGAUGCUAAGAAUAAUUUCUUGGUUCACCAUAGAUUGUUUUAGGUUUACUUGCUUUGAUACCAUUGUUAGCAUCUUAGAUCUAAGUAACAAAAGCAAAACCAAAUUUUCAAAAAUUUGAUUCUAUAGGAUUAAAGUACUAACCUUUAGGUUUGGAUGUUCCUAUACCUUAAAUUCCAAGUGUGGAAGAUGACCUUGAAGUCUCAUAGACCUACGAUCUUUUGUUUGAUGGCUCAAUCUUGUUCUUGGCACACUUCUGAUUCGUCCCUAGCAGCGGCAGUGGCAAUGGCACCAUUUGAUUCGAGGUUCGAUCCCCGGCAACGGCGCCAUUUGAUUCGUGCCCACUUGGUGUCUCAGCUGAUUCGUGUCCAGCUGGUGCUCCUUGAUUGAGGGAGUAAUCAACAAAAUUUAUAACCUAUUACACCAUAUACUAGGGUAGCAAAGACAAAGCUACUAUAGCAUAGUGGCUCUAGGAUCGUUCACUGGGAUGGGUUUUCACUUUGCAAAUGAUAUUAAUUCAAAGCUGAAUUGGUGUCUUUUCAUUUCAAGGUUAGCUUUAAAAGAAAACAUAAAGAUGUUUGAAUGAAAAAGGUUUAGAUUUAAACUAACCAAAAAGAAAGUAAUGGGAAUUACUUAUGAAGAAAAGUGUUUCUUGGAGUUUAGAUCACUAGGCUCAGAUUCCUCAUACAAAAAGGGAGUUCCGGUCACUUGUUUAUUUUCCUCGCAUUAGAGAAUUAACAUAUAGUUCCUUCUCCAACCGGUUUUGUACAGAUGCUUCCCAUUAAUGGGUUCAAACACUAAAUCCCUCUCACUGAUGCAACUUGCAAUGGUUCAUGCCUCUCACCUAGCACUUGCCAUUCAAGGUGAUCUUUAACCUUGGAUUACCCGUCAAAAGCUCGCAAGAGAUAACUAAUGGAUGUCUCCUUGGAGUCCAAAAGCUUACCAAGUGUUGGCUAUUCUAGAAAAUCCUACCUUCAAGUCACCUCCCAGAGGCUCGCAAGAGGUAAACUAGUGCAUCUCCAUGGACGGAGAUCACUUGCCUUACCAAGUGUUGGCCCAGGUGAUUUAAAGGCGUUUUAAGUUAACUAAAAACAUAGAAAUCACUAACGGGUUACACUUUCUCUUCAUUAAAAACUAAAACAACAAAACAUCCAAAUUAUGCAUGUGGAAACUUACCCGGCUUUCCUUACUCCAAGAGACAAAAAGCUUAGCCUCUCAUCCUCUGUGGAAAAAUCCUCAGAGUUUGGUUGGCUAGAAAGAAAAAUAAAUGAAAAANNNNNNNNNNNNNNNNNNNNNNNNNNNNNNNNNNNNNNNNNNNNNNNNNNNNNNNNNNNNNNNNNNNNNNNNNNNNNNNNNNNNNNNNNNNNNNNNNNNNUCCCAACACUAUUAAAGAGAGGUUAAAGGUGUCAAAUUAUGAUUUCUCAAGCUUAGAGGGUGAGAUAGUUUCACAUCUUAUAACCGGAAUCUAAUGUAUGUGUGUGCGAAUAGCUUAAGGUGGAAGAGAUAAGUUUGCAUGCAAUGGGAGUUUCAACAAUUCAUCAACUUUUAGAAGAGCAUAAUACAAACUCUAAGACUCAUGUAAUCAAGUUGAAACUCGACUUCUCUCAUUUAAUUUUGAGAGUUAAUCCUUAAUAUCCAUGGAGUUUAAAGCAAAAAUUUUAAAAAUUAAGCAAAAAGUAGCUAAUUUACUAAAAUAACUUAGCAUUAAUAACAAAACUUACUUCCUCAACUCUCCCCCCAACCAAGCUGAACAUUGUCCUCAAUGUGACAAAAGCGAUUAAAAAAUAGGGAGGAAGUAGUACCUCCUUAAUGACAUGGAGUUUGAGUCGUAUAGGAGAAACCACAUGUUUCAAAGAAAACAUAAGAGUUAGUAAGUAGAGGAAAUAGAAAAAUGCCAAGUUUAUACAAAAAUGAUGUCUAUGUAUGAUGUAUCAUCAGUAACACAUCCAAUUCCAAAAUAUAAGACAUCAAAACAUGGAGCUAAGUAUACUAAUAUAAUAUGUAAAGACCAAAAAAUAAAGAGAUGAUCAAGUAAUGGUAGGGUCUUGUGGAGCUGAUGUGUCUGUGAUGGCCUCUUGAGUGGGUUGGAUCAGGACUUUGGCCUCUGUUCUGGUAGUCUCCUUAGGUGGCAUAGUCUCCUCAACUGGAGCUCUCAGUUGGAGCUAUGAGAUUUGAUGGUUUAAGGAGGUCAGAAAUGGAAUGAGAGGCUUAGUGUGUGUGAUCCCAAGGUGUGUGAGGCUCUCCUCUUCAUAUGCAUGGUUGCAGGGCUCUAUUGGCAUUUUAGCAACUUCUCUUGGCUUUGCAAAAUGUUUUUGCAAAUCACCCUCCAUUUCGCAAGUCAAUUUUGUAAUUUGAAGGCCAUUUCUAAGAUUGGAGGUGAUUUCGCAACCAUUUCAAAGCUUGGAGAUCAUUUCGCAGAAAAGUGGCAUGUUCACAGACCAUUUUUGAAGCUUGGAGCAUUUUCGCAGCUCAUAGGUGAUUUCGCAGCCAUAUCGAAGCUUGGAGAUCAUUUCAUAGCCAUUUCAAAGCUCAAAAGUGAUUUCGCAGGUGUAUCACAGCUUCAAAAUGAGGGGAAUUGUGCUGCAAAUGGCACUCGUGUGCCAAAAAGUGGUUUCGCAGCUGCGAAACACCCUUUCAAAUGGCGUCUCGGCUGCGAAAUUCCCGUUCAGCUUUGCGCGCUUGUCUUCAAACGACCAUAACUUCUUCAUUUCAAAUCCAAAUCAAGUACCGUUUGAAGCUAUGGACUCCUGACUUCCCAAUCUUUGAAACGAGAUAUCAUAUGCAUAAUUUGAGCUCCAGGAAGUGCUUCAAAAAUGUGUCCAACAGUAGCAAAAUUGAGGUGCGACAUUUCCGCUCAUGGUUUGCACAGUCUUCUUCAAACGGUCAUAACUUUUCCGUUUCAAAUCCAAAUCAAGUACCGUUUGAAGCUGUGGACUCGUGACUUCCCAAGCUUUCCAACGAGAUAUUUCAUGCAUAAUUUGAACUUCAGGAAGUGAUCGAAAUGUGCCCAACAAUUUCCGAAAUGAGGGUGCGGCUGUGAAAUUGGGAUUUUUCACUUUUGGGACUUCGCAGCCAUUUCGCAGCUGCGAAAUGAGGGUCACUGUGCUGCGAAAUGGCACUCGUGUGCCAAAACCGGCUUCGCAAUUGCGAAAUACCCUGCGGAAUGGAGCUUUUGGUGCGAAAUCAGGCUUUACCACUUCGCAAUGCGUUUCGCAGCUGCGAAAUGGAUGCUACUGUACUGCGAAGUGGCACUCGUGUGCCAAGAUUGGUUUCGCAGCUGGAAAAUACCCUGCGGAAUGGAGCUUUCCCUGCGAAAUGGAGGAUUUCAUGCUUUGGUGGUUCGCAGCCGCUUUCGCAACUGCGAAAUGGGGGCUCCUGUGCUGCGAAGUGGCACUCGUGUGCCAAAUUUGGUUUCGCAGCUGCGAAAUUCCCUCGCAGAGACUUCUACAGUGUUGCGGAAUGGUUUGGCAACAAAAUGCCGAUUUCGCAGAGGCUGCGAAAUCUCGCAGACCCCUGUUUUUCCCCUGUUUUUGCUCCGUUUGACUCCGAUUUUGCUCCAAUUUUGCUCCGAUUUUUUUCCUUCAAUUUCUUUGCAAUUCCUCUUGAUUUUGAUCAUCCAAAAACCUAUAUUACAUCAAAACAAACUAGAAUUAAAGCAUUGAAAUCAAAAUUAAAGCAUUGAAAUCAAAAUUAAAACAAGAAAUUGACAAAACAAAAAGAUAUGGACUAGCUAGUCUUUAAAAAGACUAAGUCCAUCAAAAAAUUUGAUCCUGAUUUAGCUUGCCCGGAUCCCAUAUGAAGUUUGCAUCCCUCCCUUGAGACGUGAUUUGUAUGAUUUUCCCAUACAAAGCUUGGAAAAAAGGUGGACGCAUGUAUUUCUUCAUCAAUUCUUCCUUGAUGACUAUCCUCUGUGAUUUUUCAUCUAUACCAAAAUCAUAGUCAUCUUUCUCUAUACUUUUCCCCUUUUUCUUUCCUUUGAUUUCCUCCCUCUUUUCUUUCUCUGUUUCACUCUCUACCUUAUGCUCUAGCUUGCAUGUGGGCAAAUCAACCUCUUUACCACUCCUCAGAGUGAUCACUUCUUUGACUUCCCUCACCAUUGAAGAUUCUUCCUCUUGAGCCUCCAUUACAUGGAUGCCCAUGGAAUUUUGAUAAGGUUGAGAAGGAGAGUUUUCUUUCUCUUGCACUGUGUUGAGGUUGGCUAACCUUGAGAUUGAAUCUUGGAGAAUAUCUAACUUUUGGGCCAUAUCAUUUUGUAUUUCAUCCAUCCUUUUAUUCAAAGUACUCUCCAUUCUGUCAAUUCUUUUAUUGACUCGAGCAUUGGUGGCUUCUUGCUUUUCAAUAAAAUCACUCACGACCUUGCAAAGAUUCACCAUAGCUUGUUCAAGGAUUGAGGCUUGCUGUGGUGCUUGAGCAGGUUGCUGAUACUGAGGUGGCUGUGGUUUCCAAGAGAAAUUUGGAUGGUCCCUCCAAUUGGAAUUGUAGGUGUUGCAAUCACCAAACAUUUCCCUCUCGGCUGGAAUGGUAGGACACUCAUCCACCAAGUGCUCAUAUGAUAGACAAAUGGCACAAGGCAUAGCUUGCAAUGGUGUUUGAGAGAUGGCUUGCACUGGUUGCAUAUUUGUCAUUUCUAGCUCUUCCAAUCUCCUUACCAUAGCUGCAAUUUCUGCCUUCAUGUUCAUACCAUCAUUCAAAAUAUACAUCUCACCCUUAGCUUUAGGUUGAGACGUCAUUCUUCCCAUAUCUCUAGCAUUUGGUUCACCCCAUUCUCUUGAGACUUCAGCCACAUAACUCAUGAAGUUCAUGGCUUCCUCUGCUAUCUCGUAUUCAAUAUGGCAUGCACAACUAGCAAUUUGUGAAUUAAGAACAGAGAACACAAAAGAAAACAAAAGAAAAACAAUUCAAAGAAAGAAAAUUAAGGUAAACUAAAAACUAAAGAAAAGGUAUACUAAAAUAUGAACAAUAAAGAAAUAAAAAGAGUUAGCAAAAGGAAAAGAAAAGUCACCAAACUUGUGAUGAAGAUCACAAGUACUCUAGAAAAGGUGAUAUCACUGUAAAGUGGCACCAUCCCCGGCAACGGCGCCAUUUGAUUCGUCCCUAGCAGCGGCAGUGGCAAUGGCACCAUUUGAUUCGAGGUUCGAUCCCCGGCAACGGCGCCAUUUGAUUCGUGCCCACUUGGUGUCUCAGCUGAUUCGUGUCCAGCUGGUGCUCCUUGAUUGAGGGAGUAAUCAACAAAAUUUAUAACCUAUUACACCAUAUACUAGGGUAGCAAAGACAAAGCUACUAUAGCAUAGUGGCUCUAGGAUCGUUCACUGGGAUGGGUUUUCACUUUGCAAAUGAUAUUAAUUCAAAGCUGAAUUGGUGUCUUUUCAUUUCAAGGUUAGCUUUAAAAGAAAACAUAAAGAUGUUUGAAUGAAAAAGGUUUAGAUUUAAACUAACCAAAAAGAAAGUAAUGGGAAUUACUUAUGAAGAAAAGUGUUUCUUGGAGUUUAGAUCACUAGGCUCAGAUUCCUCAUACAAAAAGGGAGUUCCGGUCACUUGUUUAUUUUCCUCGCAUUAGAGAAUUAACAUAUAGUUCCUUCUCCAACCGGUUUUGUACAGAUGCUUCCCAUUAAUGGGUUCAAACACUAAAUCCCUCUCACUGAUGCAACUUGCAAUGGUUUCAUGCCUCUCACCUAGCACUUGCCAUUCAAGUGAUCUUUACCUUGGAUUACCCGUCAAAGCUCGCAGAGAUACUAAUGGAUGUCCUCCUUGGAGUCCAAAGCUUANNNNNNNNNNNNNNNNNNNNNNNNNNNNNNNNNNNNNNNNNNNNNNNNNNNNNNNNNNNNNNNNNNNNNNNNNNNNNNNNNNNNNNNNNNNNNNNNNNNNCAUGUAUCGGGUAGCUUCAGGAGGAAUUCCAUAGCACUGUACAAAAAGGCUGCGAAAUUCUCGCAACAAAAGGCUGAUUUCGCAACACUUUGGAGUGAUCUGCUUGCAAUGGCUGUAACUCCUUCGUUUCAACUCCGAAUCAUGCACCGUUUGAAGCAUUGGAUUCUUGACUUCCUGAGCUUUGAAAUGGUAUAUAGAAUGUAGAAAAUGGACUUCGGGAAGUGCUCCAAAAGUGCGCAUGAAGACUGCAGCUGCUUGUCCUCUGUUUUCUUCACUCUGUUUUCCUCUUCUCCUUGCUUCUCUCCUUGCAUACUUUGAACGACUUUGGCAAAGGGCUAUGGAGCUCCAAAGCUUGGUUCUUCAUGAAUUUGAGCUUCCAAUAGCUUUGCCAUGAACUAUAUACAAUUCUCCCUCAUUCUUGGAUUGUUUUGGUGAUCAAAUUACUAACAAAAACACCAAAACUUACACAAUUUGAUCAAAAUUGAUUGCAAGGGUCCUUAACAUGUUAAUUGGGUUAAAAGGCAAUAACUACUACUCAAAAGUGUUUAAAAGGAUUAAUUACAAGCUAUGAAAUAGCACUUUUUGAGUAGUAAUCAACUUCCGAUGGGAAGAAAAGAAGGGUGGAGGCUAUGACUCUUUAUUUCUCUUUGGAUGGUGGAAGACAAAAGUGAUGGAAAUCCUAACCCUUAUGAGGUAUUUAUAGGGUUCCUAACAAAGCUUAAGUGACUUGAGCCCACAUAGGCUUGGGUCACUUAAUUUAGCCCAAACUGGAUUUUAAUUGAUUAAUUAACCUAAUAGGACCUAUUAAUUAAUUAAUUAGCCCAAUCCAGAGACCUUGUUCACUUACUUUUGUGUAACCUUACGUAACUACCAAAACACCCUUGUGCACAAAAGUGAAUCUAGAGCUAAUCUGACCCUUAUAACUCAUGCCAAUAAAGUAUAUGAGCUUAGAGUGGAGACCACUAGGAAACAUAAGAGUAUUGGAUCCCUCAGAAUCCAAUAUUGAAGUUGAUUUAACAUCAUAUUAUAGAGAAUCAACUGAACUCCAACAUUCUAUGUAAAUAACAAUGAGACACUAUAUACUCAAGUCUGUGACUUACUAUCCUUUACGCUUAGUCUCCCCAUGAAUUGGUGUCCGUAGUCUAACAAUGUCAAAUUUAUCAACCUUUCAAAACUACCUCUACUCUCCUUGAAUUAUAAAUCCCCCUAUUGUAUGUUCAACAAAGAUGUCUUAGUUCUCAAAGAGCCUAUGUCAAGUUCUACUUAAGGAACUGCUAUGAACAUAGUUUUCAUGAACACACCUCCUUAGGAUCACCCAAGAGGACACUCAAUCUUAAUCUCAUGAGAUAUCAUGGUACUUCUAUUGAGAAUACCUAUUGCUAUCGGUUUCCAUCAACAGUGAUCUCCAUAGGGAAUAUAUGAUCAGCUUAUGAUGUCACCUAUAGGUUAAAACCACUGGUAGCUUUAACACAAACUCAAUAUUCUCUAAAGACAACAAUCGCCUUGCGAACAAGUGAUCUAUUUACAAAGAACCCAUAACUUGGAUCUUUCGUGUAACUCUUAAUGCACCCAAAUUAGGUACAAUGCAAAAGAUGUUGGCAAGAAUGCUCAUAAAGUGUAAUGCAUGAAAUAAGGAUAAAUAAAAGUGAAACCGCAAUAUCAAUAAAUAAUGAAUUCCAAAUUUUGUUACAUCGUGUCAUACUUUUAAGAGCUUUGUCCUAACAACCUUGAAGAACAUAAAAGAAUUUUUCAAAGGUGAACUAGAUACCUUGUUUGUCGGUUGUUUACUUUACUUAUAGACAAUUAUAAUGUUGAAAAGAAUAAAAAAAAUCACAUUUUCUUUACAUAAUAAAGGGAAUACUAUACAUAAAAAGGUAAGUAAAGGAUUUCCUUCCAACCUUGAUUUUCCACAUAUUGCGAACAUGGAGAGUAGUAGCAGCUUUCCAUUCUGGUUGUAACUUUUUAUUUCUCAGGCAAAGAUUCUUCCUUAGCAGAUUGUAUGCUGCAACUUUCCAUUAUCAGAUUUUAACGCAAAGAUUCUUCCUUAGCGGAUUGUAUGUUGCAACUUUCCAUUAUGCUAUAGCUUUCCAUUAGUAUUAGAUUGCAUGUUGGAGUUUCCUUUAUUGCAUUUGGAUAAUGUUAGCCUCAUAAGAAAAUUUUAGACAAAUUAAUACACCAAUGAAAGUUCAAUUGAGAUAGUUAAGGCACAAUCAUGUUUCUCAAAAUUUGAGGACUUUUAAAUGAUAUUAGCUUUUUAUUUUUAUUAAAUAGUAGACUCUCUAAGGAAUUUAACCAUCCACAACGUUGAUACAUAACUAAUGGAAUACUUAGAGUAUCUCCAUUACUUGAUAAAAUGAUCUUGUCAGAUUCACAUUUAUUUUACUUGAUCUUCCUACAUAGCAGUUCCAAUGCUACGCCUAGACGCUUAUGAAGCCUAUGGGGUCACUUCUGUAAUUGGAUAACCAGCACUGAAAACCGUCAUCUUCUUCUGGAAAUCCUAGCUAUUCUUAGCAUGAUAUUGGGGAAUCUCAUUGCUAUUACUCAAACAAGCUCUAGCAAAUGUAGGGAAAUAUUUGAUACACCAAUCAAUCGAAUAUUGAUUAAUAUGUAAUCGAUCGAACACUACUUGAAAACGACUCUUCUGCUCAGAAACGAAAUGUUCCAAAUGUUCCUAGAAAUUCUUGCUCUGAUAAGAUCCUUCCAUUUAGCAGCACCUUAGGAUGGCAUAGCCUUAACUUCUUAUCUCAUUUGGACUAUGAUGGCCUAGUAUAAAAAUUCUAGAUAAAUUGAUGAAAAACAAAGAGAUUUAACUAAGGCAGCUUUGGACAACUUGUAUAUUUUGAAAUUCUUGAAUGUUUUAAUCAAGGAUUAUGACCUUUAGUUAAUUUUAUACGUUAGUAUUGAAAAUAAAACCAGAGAGUCUAAUUCCAUUAUGUUUUAGAUUCACUUAUCUAGGAAAAGAAUUUGGUAAAUGUCAAAAUAUUUUUAGCCUGGUGUACAUAAACAAUUUUAGAUUCCAAGAAUUGUUGUAAUAUUUGAUUUUGUUAUAGGCUUCCAUAUAACUUUUAUAAUUUACUAGAAUCAUCAUGGAAUAGAUUUGGACAGUUUCAUAAUUUUUGGAACUUAUUUGUUUAGAAUGAAAAAUCAAGAACGUGAGUAGUAUUUCAAUAUGCUAUUUUGGGUAAAUCUAGAACCAAUUCAUCUUAAGGCUUAGUUGACGGUCUUUUAGUAACCAUUUAACUUAUCAAUUUCUAAUUAUUUGAUUUUUUUCAAUGGUCUUAAUGGUUUAAGUUUCACUCAAAUUGUACUCUAUUUGCCUAGAUUAUUAUUUUUAGAAAAUUUGCAUAUUUCAAUUUUGUAAAGCCUCAAGAUCAUAGUUCUAGCUUCUAUAUUAAUUCCUAAAUCUAUAUAUUCAUUCAAACUUUCUUCUAUAAUGGAAGAACCUUAAUUUUGAGGAGGCAUAAUAAUUCGAAUUCUAUUGUAGUUUUUACUACAAAGAUUUUUGUGAGUAGUUACAAGACAUAUAAUUUUACUAAAUUUUUCUUAAAAUAAAUAUCUCUUUCCGUGCUUAAUAUUCUUUUCUUCUUACUUUCCUUUAAAAUUUUCAUGAUCCAAACAGAACCAAAGGAAAUUUAUGUCCCAUUUAAUAGUAGACAACAAUGAGGAGAAUAUGGGAAGGGAUAGUUUCAAGGUAUUGUCAUUUUAGUCUUUAGUUGCCCUUGAAGAUUACAUGCUUUUUAGCUCAACAAUGCUUGUUGUGUUGUAUGUUGUUGAGUGUAUAAGGUCAGGUAGACAUUACUGUGUUUUGGUUUGCUUCAUUUUCAAGUAGAUCUUAUUGGAAAAAUAUGUUCAAAAGAAUGGAACUAAAGCAAGACAUGACCAAGCCUAAAACAAACAACAUGAAAAAGAAAAUUUGAAUUAGGGCACAUAUCAUAUUUGGCUGAGAUGUAACAACACUAUCCUUAAAGUAGAUUUGCCUUCUUUGAGUAUCAAACUCGGUGUAAAAUGGAACUGAUGACCUACUUCUAGGAUUAUAGAACUAGGAACCUUGCUUAUGGUACAUAUCUUUGGCAAAGAAUAAUAUAGUUCAAAUUUAAGGAUAUUCCUCUAGAUGAAAGGUUGAAGAGAAUUUUUUUUUUUUUUUAAAACCGUAGUGUUUUGAUGGUUCAAUAAAGUAGGGUGUUGAAGUUACAAUGGCUAAGUAGGCAAAUGUGUUCAAAACUUAGGAGGAGCCAAUUUAUAGGCAAUCUCUUGGAGAACGAUUGAGGGCCUUAAAGGCCAAACAACUACAAGCCUUAAAGGCUAAAUAGUUAUGUCUUAAAGACCAAACGACUAUUGGAAUUAAACCAAAAUAAAAACCCAUUUAAUCCUCUUUGACUAGAUGGAAAAAUAAAUUCCUUUUAUUCUAUUGUGAUUAAUAAAAUACAAGUUAGGGAGAGCCAUGUAGAUCUGUGUGUGUAAUCUUGUGUGGGUUUGAGAAAGGUUGGCUCAUAGGGCUUCUAAGCAUCACACAUGUGCAAAAACUUGGUGCUUGAAUUUGUGUGUGACAGUUGGCAUCAAGCUAAGUUGAUGAGGGCGUCGAAGUCUCUAAGUGGGGGUUACUAUUUUCAAAUUCAAAACCAAAUUCAAAAUUUAAAAUAAAAUUUGGAUGUGUGCGAACACAUCACACAUUAAGGGUUUCCAGUGUGAGCCACUAGAAUUCAAGUGGGGGUUACUAAUUUCAAAUUCAAAACCAAAUUUGGAUGCAUGUGAGGAUACACCUAAGCCACCUGAAUUCCCUCUCAAAUGGGCUUGGGCCACCCCCUAGGCAUACGAGGCUCCCCUCACUUCUCCACAAGCCCAUAAAGCAAAGUGAGUUAGUAUAUAUACCCAUUAAAAGUGUCUAUCCCUUUCCAAUGUGGGAUUGCCAUUUUUCUUUCCUUUUCACUUUAAAACACUCUCACAUACGCACUCUCAACCAACAAAUCUCAUCCUUUGUUUUUCUCUCAUUUCUUAAUGAAUUCAUUUCAAUGAAUAUCUAUCCUCUGAACUCAUCUAUUCCUUUGAUUCCAAACACAUACCCAGUAAACAUAUCAUCUGAACAAACCAUUGUGGUUCUUUGCCAUGCCUGGAGAAGGAUAUUUGGAAUUAUUAUACACGUUAUCUUUACAAUGAUCACUACUUACAAUGAUAAUUAUCGAUUACCAUGCUUUUUAAAUUGUAAAGUUGGCAUUCAUGAGCCUGUUUUUUCUUUGUUCUUUGUUAUGGAUAUUGCAAUCAAACUAUUUAUGUUUAAAUAUUGAGAUAGACCAUAAGUCAGAGCUCUAGUGUUGGUGCACCGGGACACUAUGCACCUACAGUUCCUAGAAGGCAGCCACGGCCGACCAGCAUGGCCCCGCAGUCGAUUCCAAUUGGAGUUACUCCUGAAGGAUAUGCUGCUGAUGAUGAAGAAACGAUGAAACUUGGAGCAAGGAGAGGUGGGAGGGCAGGAGGGUGGAGUAUAGUAUUAAGCAAGAAAAUAUAUUUAUAUAAUUGCUAAACUAUACACAAACUCGCAAUUCAUGGUGUUGUCAAUAGACUUAGUAGAUUGCAGAUACAUUAUGGAGUUGAUUGAAUUGAAUCCAAGACGAAUUUGAUGGCUGGUUUGUCUUGGAGGAACCAGACCAGGUUUCCUAGGAAGGGUUUGGCAAAGACUUCUUUUCUAAAUAGACCCCCAUUGAACAAAAUUCUUUUCAACUCUAGCAUGGUUUGACAAACACAUAAAGAACAUUUCCAACUGUAUAUAUAAAAAACACUGCUAAGGAAGCUAAGCCCUAGCUUUUUGGUCUCGCCACCCGUUUGGCUUAUAACUCACAAUUCACUAUUUCUUAGAUUUUGAAGAUUUAAUAAAAGAGAAGGGGAUUCCCAUCCUUGAAUAACACUAUGAUCACUUGAAGGACACAGAGAACAUGCAUGCAUGAGUCUAUCAAACUUACAAAUUUUUUUUACUAGCUUGAAUUUGUCAUUCCAAAUGAAGAAUUGCAAUAUCGGCAGAAAAUACUUCUUAAGAAGAUUAACAGUAUUUGCUAAACCACCACACGUAAAAGGGAAGUGAGAGUUUUCUAUUUAUAAUCAUUUACAAAAUAUGAGAAAUUAUUACAAAUCAAAUAAUAUCAAACUAAUUACAAAGGAAAUGGAAAGUUAGAGUAAAUGGAUACAAAAGAAUAGCCUACAAUCAAGGGUCAAAUAUGAUACAUAUGGUAAAUCGUAAUGGAAGGCUAAGUAUCCUUAACACCCCCCUGCAAGCUGAGCGUCGGAUUGGAACAAACGUGAAGCUUGGAUCGGAAAAAUUCAAAGAGAGGUCGAGAAACACUUUUGGUGAAGAUGUCAGCAACCUGGAGGUAGGAGGGCAUAUACUGGGUGCAAAGUUUGCCAGCGACAACAAGUUCCUGAAGGAAAUGAUAAUCUAAUUCAACAUGCUUGGCCUACUUGUGGGAAACGGGAUUGGAGCUUAAAAAGAUAGCACUUUUGUUGUCACAUAAGAGUAGUGGCUGCUAUGGAAUGGGGACCUUGAGGUCAUGCAAAAGAUGCGUAAGCCAAAGAAGUUCAACAGUAGUCAUGGCAAAGGCACGAUACUCAGAUUCACAGCUAGAGCAUGAGAUAGUAGGUUGCUUCUUUGCACUCCAAGAAACUAGAUUGUUACCAAGAUAAAUAGAGUGGUCGGAUGUGGAACGACGAGUAUCGGGACAACCAGUUCAGUCAACAUCCGAAUAAGCUACUAGUGCACUAGGAAUAGUGGAUGGACGAAAAGUAAGGCCAAAGUGGAGUGUGCCCUUAACAUAGUGAAGAAUACGCUUGACAGCAAGAAAAUGAUCUAUAGUAGGGGCGUGCAAAAAUUGGCUGACAGAAUUGACAGCAUGGGCAAUAUCUGGAUGCGUAAUGGUCAAGUACUGAAGAGCACCAACAAGAGAUCAAUAGAGAGUAGGAUCAGAGAAAGGAGAACCAUCAACAAUCAGGUGUUGGGAAACAACCAUGGGGGUGUGAACAAGUUUUGACUCUCAAGAAAAGGAAGAAGUUGGCUUUUCCAGAGAAGAUAAUUGGAGGAAGAAAACUUGAUGGUGAUCGUGUGGAUUAGAGUGUUGAAAGGAAGAAGAUGAGAAGAGGAUUCGGAAGCCAUGGAGAAGAAGGGAUCGGGGUUGCUAAACCAGACGGGCUCUGAUACCAUAACAGUAUUUGCUAAACCACCACACAUAAAAGGGUGGUGAGAGUUUUCUAUUUAUAAUCAUUUACAGAAUAUGGGAAAUUAUUUCAAAUCAAAUAAUAUCAAACUGAUUACAAAGGAAAUGGAAAGUAGGAGUAAAUGGAUACAAAAGAAUAGCCUAUAAUCAAGGGUCAAAUAUGAUACAUAUGGUAAACCGUAAUGGAAGGCUAAGUAUCCUCAACAGAAGAAACCAACUUGAUUGAAAAAGGAAUAGAUCAAGGAUUACUACAGUGAGCAAAAAACUGAAUAUCCAAAAUGAGCAUAAUUACAAGUUCUAUUUUUCUGGACACUAACCAAAGAUUGAAAAAGAGCUCAACCACAAGUCUGAUUCUGCAUGAGAAUUAAUUACAUGACAAAAGGUUGGAAAAUAAAAAAGAGAAUAGUAGAUGUUCCUCGAUGUCACAGAAAUGCUACUUCAAGAGUGGCUCAUUGGCAUUCCGGAGGUUUUCAUCUUCUUCAGAUUGAACCUGUAGAAAGCUUCCGGAUGAUCACCCCUGAAACAGCUCUCUCAACAUAAUAAUGGGGAAUGGUUUUUGCAAUGGUGGCUUCUUAAUUGAUAGUACCUGAGAAACUUGCCUCAUGUUUGGCCGACAUUGGGGAUUCACAUGCUGGCACGCAAAUGCUAGCUUCACAGCAAACACAACUUUCUCACUCAUUUGAUCUAUGGGAGGUGGGAGGCGUUGGUCUAUUACAUCCUUCAACAACAAAGAAUCAGCCACUGCUCUAACUGAUGAUGAUGAUGAUGAUGAUGCUGAUGCUGAUGCUGAAGAAGAUGACAGGGAUGAGAUGAGAUCACCAGGAUGCCUUCCCAUGAUCACUUCCAAUGCCACCACCCCAAAGGUAUAAACAUCGGUCUUGUUAUUCACUUGGGUGGUGUAAGCAAGCUCUGCAACAUAAACAUCGCCAAUCCUACACUUGAUUUUUACAAGAGCAAUCACACACUUGAAGCAAUGACAACUUAAUUACCUGGAGCACUAUACCCAAAGGUGCCUGCGAAGGAGGUCCAAUUGGAUUAUGAGUCUGGCUUUAAAAGCCUUGCUGUGCCGAAGUUUGAUACAUGAGCCUCAUAUUGAGAGUCCAGUAAAACAUUUUUACUGGAUAUGUCCUUGUGAAUAAUAGGGGGUGAACAAUCAUGAUGCAUAUAAGAUAAUGUCUCCACCACACCUUUCACUAUAUUUAGCCUCCUACUCCAAUCCAACCUAAUUGCUUCUUCCUCGUUGCUUAGAAUGUUUCUUAGGCUUCCCUUCUCCAUCAGCUUAUAGACCAAAAACGAGUGCCUUGCAUGUGAGCAAUAGCCAUAAAACUUCACAAUGUUGCGAUGUCGAAUUUCUGUUAAGGCCCGAAUUUCACUUGUAAAAGCUGUCACACUAGUACUACUCAUCUCACCAUCUUGUGGAGGGUGAAGCUUUUUCACAGCAACAACCCGACCAGUUAGGAGAUCAGCCUUAUAAACUGUGCCAUGUCCUCCACUCCCAAUACAAUAUUUAGAGUUGAAGUCCUCAGUCACCUCAAUGAUAUCUUGAUACAAUAUCUCUCCAUCAUGACCCCAUAUUGCAAAUAGAUUUUCACAUGGUGUUUCACUGGACUUGCUUUUUCUGUUCCUUACUCUCUAGUACAGGGUAAAAUAAAUUCCCAUGGAAAUGCAUAGAAGAAAUAAGGAGCUGGAGAUAAUCAAAAUCAUAGACCUAUUGUUCUUCUUUCAUGUGAAUGGGAUACGGGGCUUCAUACCAGUGACAUUGCCACAUAAACCAUCAUUGUUUAUGAAUGCCUCAAAUGGAGCCUCCUGGAAAGCUUUGAUGUCGGGGAGAGGUCCCUCCAAGUGAUUAGAGGAUAAAUCAACAGAUGUCAAACUCAACAUAUCUUCAAAAGUGGAUGGGAUGGAACCAAAGAGUUCAUUGUGGGAGAGAUUCAAUGCUUCUAAGCGUUGUAAUUCUGCAAGCUGUGGUGGUAUUUUCCCAUUCAGCAUAUUUUGACUGAGAUCGAGACUUUGAAGAGAAUGUAUGUUCCCGAUCUCAUCAGGAAUGCUAUCCCCAAAUUCAUUCUUGCUCAAGUUCAAGAAGAAUACUUUAGAAAGUUUUCCCAGUUGUUUGGGAAUUGAACCACUUAAGUUGUUUGAUGCCAAGCUAAGAUGCUCAAGAUUAACAAGAUUUCUCACUUCCCAAGGAAUGUUGCCUGAAAGGUGGUUGUCGCUUAACGCCAAAUGGAACAUUGAGGUUAGCUUACCCAAUUCUCUAGGGAUUUUCCCAAGUAGAUGAUUCGAGGAGAGGUCAAGUUGAUGCAGCUGAAUUGCUUCCCCAAGUUGAGCUGGUAAGACACCAGAAAGAUUGUUGUUGGAGAUUUUUAGGCUUGUUAAGCUAUGGCACUGGCCCCAUUCCGGAGAAAGCUCACCAUACAAAUUGUUGUAACUCAAAUCCAUAUAACUCAAGUUUGGGUAUACACCAAAAGCUUCAAUUAUGUUUCCUCUAAGUUGGUUUUGUUCGAGCCUAACUUAGACUAAGCUAGUGCAAAUUCUCAAGCUUGUUGGAAUAGGACCAGUGAAAUUGUUGACCAAGGCUGUAAAAUUUUCAAGUCCUCCACCUAGGCAUAUUUGCUGAGGUAAAUGGCCAGUGAAAUUAUUCUCACCUAAUUGCAAAGAUUUCAAAUGUAUGAGAUUAUCCAUUUCUAGAGGGAUAGAGCCAGAAAGUUUGUUAUGAUGAAGGGACAAAUGGGUUAAGUUCAUCAAAUUUCCUAUGGAAGGAGGAAUGGGACCACUGAGAUUGUUGAUUGAUAACACAAGAUCAUUAAGAGAUCUUAACAAUCCAAUUUCCUGAGGAAUGGAACCAGAAAGGUUGCUCUUAUAAAGAUACAAACAGGUUAAAUUCCUUAAGUUUCCUAUGGAAGGAGGGAUUGGACCUUCGAGAUUGUUGAUUGACAAGUCAAGACAAUUAAGAGAUCUUAACAACCCAAUUUCUUGAGGUAUGGAACUAGAAAAUUUGUUAUCAUUAAGGAAUAAAGAGGUUAAGUUCCUCAAGUUUCCUAUGAAAGAAGGGAUGUGACCACUGAACUUGUUGAUUGACAAAACAAGAUCAUUAAGAGAUCUUAACAAUCCAAUUUCCUGAGGAAUGGAACCAGAAAGGUUGUUCUCAUAAAGAAACAAACUGGUUAAAUUCCUUAAGUUUCCUAUGGAAGGAGGGAUUGGACCUUCGAGAUUUUUUAUUGACAAGUCAAGACUAUUAAGAGAUCUCAAGAAUCCAAUUUCUUGAGGAAUGGGGCCAGAAAGAUUGUUAGUAUCAAAGCACAAAGUGAUUAACUUCGUCAAGUUUCCUAUGGAUUGAGGGAUGAGUCUGACAAAGACAUUAUAUGACAAAAAAAGUUCUUCAAGAGACCUCAACAUUCCAAUUCCAUAUGGAAUAUCACCGGAGAGGGCAUUGAUAGACAAGCUAAGGAAGGUGAGCUUGGAAAGGUAGGUGAUGUUAGAGGGGAUUGUUUUGUAGAAUGAGUUUUUUUGAAGAUUGAGAUAGAGUAGGUCAGGGAGAGAUGAAAAAUCGAGAUUGUAGAGUGUACCUCUUAGACCACAACUACUAAGAUUUAGGUGGGAGAUGGUUCCUGCAGGAUUGUUGCAAGUAACUCCAAACCAAUGAUAGCAAGGAUUGCUUCCGGACCAAGAAGAGAGGAAGGACUGGGAUUGAAUAUCAAGACUGCUUUUCCAUGUUAGAAAGGAGAGUGCUUCCUGUCCCUGUUUAAUGGUAGAGGCAGAAGCACAUGGAAAGGAGACAUGGAAUAAUGAUAUUGAAUAAAGGGGGAAAAGAAGAAAGAUUAAGAAGCUAGGAAUGAUGGUAAUUGUAGGGGGAGUGAGAAAUAGGAUGUAGGAUAUUCAGAGGCCAUUGUUGGAUGGAUGGAAAUGAAAGGAUAUUCAAGGACUUAUUUAUACGCUCAAACUCAAAUAUGCCUCCAACAUUUCCAUUAGUUGUGUUGAUAUCCCAUCGCCAAUUAAAGCAUUUGGAAAGAAAUCAUAUACAUGUCCAAGCUUAAUUAAAUUAAUUUACUUUAUUUUUAUUGAAAUGCUCUUAGUUUUCUGUUAAAACUUGCACACACAAAAUCAGUACAAAUUUUCCUUUCAUGCAAAAUAAUUAGAAAUAUUCCUUAUAAAAAAUUAUAAACUUAUCAAAAAGGAAAAUAGUACAAAUUUAAGAUUAAAUAUUGCUUAUUAUAGAAAAGAAUUGUUUGAUUCGUUAAGUUUCAUUUUAAAAUAUUUUGAAAUGUCUUUAAGUAUAUAUUCAAAUAAUAACUUGUCUUAAAUUAAUUAUCAAUUAAAAUAAUUUAUUUUUGUUGUUUAUUAUGAUUUCUAUGUUGUCAAUUAAAAUUGACAGAUACUAAUUUUCAUUAAAACAUCUGCAUUAUUCAAUAGAUAAGAAAAGUCACUGUAUCACUCAUUCUUAUCCACAAUUGCUCUAGAGGACUCUAGACCAAAGUGGCCCGUGCCAAUGACACUUCUGUCUUUGACUAAGAUAUUUGCUUCAUGGUAUUAAGCGAAGAGGCAUGUCUUCAAUAGUGGAUUCAAUUUUAUUUUAUUUUAUUUUUUAAACUAAAUAUUGUGAAAAAUGAUAUGUACUUCAAAAUAUAAAUUUUGUUAUUUAUCGUUUUAAAUAAUACUACGUUCCUCCUAUUCAGCUUUUAAUUUAAGAAAAAUGAAAACAGAUGCCAUCAUUUCUAUAGAAUGAUAAUGAAUUUGUUGAGAUUCAUUUAUCUAUGAGAUAGUUUUUGGUUCAGGGAAUCAUGUAAAUACGCAUUAACUAAAAGAAAUAUUUUUUUUUCUUUUUAGUUUAAUAAGUCAAAUGAGCUAAUAAUUUUCCAGAAAUCUUUUAAUAUCAUUUUUUCACUCUUUCAUAUUUUCAUAUUUAUUGGAUUUAAUUGUUUGUAGGAACUUUGUACUAAUAAUAAUAUAUAAUUAAUGAAAGAAAAUUUAAUAUAAAAAUAAAUAUGUAAUAAAUAAAUUUAAAAUCUUAGGAUAUAAGAUUUUAUAUAUUUAUGAUAAAUAAAAUAUUUAUUUAUUUAUUAAACAUCCAUAUUUGAAAUAUUAUAGAUGAUGCAUAAGAAUUAGAUCCUACAUCAAGGAUAAAAAUAUCGGUAAUUAUGAAUAUAUCGAAUCGGUACUUUGAUUUUCUGAAUAUAUCAGAGAUAUAUCGACGGAUAAUUUGAUACAAAAUAUUGAUGGGUUUAAAAUGGAUCAAAAUAUAAAAGUGAAAAAUAAACAAUAAAAAAAAUAAAAAGUAAAAAAGAAACUCUUAGAAAUGAAAUUAGAAGUAUAAUAGACAUAUAGACAUUUUAAAGUUAUAUAUAUAUAUAUAUAUAUGAUAUAAUUUAUCAUAUUUGAUAAUAAUAUUGUAUGUGUCGAUAAAAAAUAUAAUUUUUAUUAGUGUACAUUGAUUAUUAAAUUAUAUUAAAUAUUAUUCCAUUAUAAUAUUAUAAUAUUCAAUUAUAAUAUAUUUAAUAUUAAAAUUAUGGUACAUUUAAUUCAAUUUUAUUAAAUAAUAUAAAAUAAAUGAUGAUAAAUAUAUAAUUUUUUUAAUAUUUAAUUAAUAUAUUAAUGAUAUUAAAAACACUAUGAAGAAAAAUAUCAUGAUAAUUCUUAUAUUUUUGUUAAUUAAUUAAAAAAAUUAUUUAAUUAUAAAAUAAUUAUAAUUAAUUUGUUCUUUAAAGUAUUCUUUUAAUAUUUUAUUUAUAUGAUAAUGUUUACUAUAUAUAUAUAUUUGAUGCAAAUUAUUUAUCAAAUGGUAAAUUUGCCCCUAGUGGUGGGUCGAGGUGCUUGCCAAACGAUUUGUUUGGGGUUUACAAGUAAACAUAUAAAUGACCUAUUAUCAACUUAUAAUUGUAACAAAUUUUAUUAGUUGAUUAAAUAUCAACUCAUUAUAUCUUUUACUAAUAUACAUAUAUUUAAUAAGUAAAAAUAUACAAAUUCCUUCCUUUUAACAAUAAAUAUUGGAGCAUAAUAAAACAAUAUGAAUAUAAGUAAAUUGAUAGAUGUACUUAAUAUUGUGCUACAAAUUAUAAAAAUGUAUCAAAAUCCCUAAAAUAAAAUAAUAUGCACAUUAUUAAUAAAUAAUUUACAACCAUAUACAUAAUAUAAACUUUAAAUAUUUAAAAAUUUAGUUGGACUAUCGACCUUUAACUCAAGCAUAAUUUCAAGCCCAAAUAAUAAGAAAAUUAAGUAAAUGUAAUUAUUACAACAAUUGAAUUUCAUGUUUGGAUAGUAGAUUUUGAAAAUACUUUUAUCCACAUUAAAUUAAGAAAAAAGACGAACCUCCCUCCUCCUUUUAAGUUAAGUUUAGAAGUAUAAGAUAUAUGCACUUUUAAAAUUUUCAUUUCAAGUCGAAUUACUAUUUAUUAACAUUUGUGAAACUCUCACCAAAUCAAAUCAUAUAAGUUAUUCAAACUCAUAUGAAUUUUUCUAUGUUAUUAUCACAUCCCAUCAAUAUUUUUAGAAUUAGACCGAACAUUGAACUGAAAAAAUUAUUCAUUCAUGAUUUACUAAUCGAAUCGAUAAUUAAACUAUGAUUGAACCGAUGAUAAUAAUAUAAUUUUAUAUAAAUUUAAAAUAAUUAUAAAAAAUUAUAUAUAUAUAUAUAUAUAAUCAAAAUUUUCAAUAAUAUUUCAUUUUUAUAUUUUAUAUAUUAAAUUAAAUUAUAAAGAUAAUAUAAAUAUAUUAAUAUUUUUUAUUAAAUAGAACAUAUAUAAUAUUUAACUAUAAAAAUAUAUUUAAGAUGAAAAGAAAAUGAUAGUAUUUAAUUUGAUAUCCUCACGUCAAAGCAAGAGACGAAGGGCAUUUAAAAUGACAUUCAAGUUGGGCCACUAAUGUUGUUGGCAAGUGCAGCAAGGCCCCGCCAAGACGACCCUUUAAUUCUUGGUGGGCAGGUGGGUCCACUCUCAUCCCCAUCCUCCUCACCACCUCACAAGUCGUGUCACCAAUGCAAAAUCCAACAAGGAUAAAAAUAUAUCUCAUCCCCAUCCUCCUCACCGCCUCACCAGCAAUGUCAACAAUGCAAAAUCCGAUCAUAAUCACAAAUAUAUUACUACUUCGAUUUUAUAGAUAUGUUAGAUAUAUUGAUGAAUAUUUUGACAUAAAAUAUUCGCGAGUCUAAAAUUGAUCAAACCUUUAAAAAAUAUCAAUUUUAUUGGUAUACAUUAAUUAUUAAAUUACAUCAAAUAUUAUUCAAUAAUAAUAUUAUAAUAUUCAAAUAUAAUAUGUUUAAUUUUAAAAUAUAUUUAAUAUUAAAAUUAUGAUAUAUUUAAUUCAAUUGUAAUAAAUAAUAUAAAAUAAAUGAUGAUAAAUGUAUAAUUUUUUAACAUUUAAUUAAUAUAUUAAUGAUAUUAAAAACACUAUGUAGAAACUUAUUAUGAUAAUUUUUAUAUUUUUGUUAAUCAAUUAAAUGAAAAAUCUUCAUUUAAUUAUAAAAUGAUUAUAAUUAAUUUCUUCUUUAAAAUAUUCUUUUAAUAUUUUGUUUAUAUGAUAACGUUUAACAUAUAUAUAUAUUGUUAGCUCAAGGGUUCUCCUAAUCGGGUUUUGAUGAUAACAAACCAUAGUUAAGUGACUAAUUGGUUUAAUGUUUAAGAAUCUCAGGUAUAAACUCGAAAAUUCAUCAAAUGACCAAAUGGAUACAAGAUUGAGACGUUUGGAAGACUUGUGAUCAUAGGAAACUAAUGUAAGAUGAAUGCAUGAGUGCACUUAGGAUUUUCACACGUUUCAUGCAUCUUAGAAAACUCGGUUUAUUAUUUAAAACUUCGAUUUCAUUAAAACCCGAGUUUUUAACUAAUGUACCUUAAACAAAAUGUUUUAUAAUUAGCUUAAUAAUUCACCUAAAGACCUUGCCUAAGUGUUAGAAAAGAAAGGAAUUAAAAAAAAUAGGUUUUCGGGGCCAAAAAGGCUCAACCAAUCGAGGUUAUGGCCAAUUGGCUCAACCGAUUGAGGAACCGAUCGACCGGUUGUGCUCGUUCGGUUGAGGAUUGGUCGAGGGAUGCCAAAGACUUUCUCUCUUUCCCAGUGGCCUUCUCUUCCCGGUCUAGGACCGGUCGAGGCAACGAUAACCUGUCAAGCAUUAAAUGCUCCAACGGCUAAUGAACCGGUCGACCCCUAGCUCGACCGGAAGAGGUUACCUUUUGCUGUUUUUGACUCCCGAGCUUAGAAACCUAUAAAUUGAGAGCUCCACUUCAUUUAUUGAUAAGAGAACACUUGCAUUCAAUAGUCUACCUACUUGUUCUUGAUCAAAAAGCUCUCAUUUCUUUCAUAGUGCAUUAAAUCACCACUUGCAUAUCCUUUAGUGCACUCUUGUGUGUCAUCCUAGCUUUGUCUUGUAUUUGAGAUAUCCUUAAGCUAGGUUGAUGGAUUAUUUCUUGUACAAAUCUGAGUGUUAAAGCCUUCAAGAGGUUUGAAUCUUGAAAAGAUUAUGUAAGAGCCCAUUGGAGUCGGAAUCCAAGUGUAAGAAAAUUGAAAGCUUGGUUAAAGCUUCAAGUUAGUGAAACCUUCACUCGGUUAGGAGAUUGAGGAGAGUGGACGUAGGCAAGGAAGUGUUGAACCACUAUAAACCCGAGUUUGAAUUCUCUAAUUCUAUUUCUUUAUUUUGCUUAUAUUGUGUUUGAAUUUGUUGUGAUUGAAAAAAAUUUUAAAAACCCAAUUCACCCCCCUCCCCCCCCUUUUGGGUGUUUUUCUUAAUUAAGCAUAACCUUUGUUUUCUCAUAUGUUUGAUGCAAAUUAUUUAUCAAGUGCUAAACUUGCCAUUAAUGGUGGGUUGAGGUGCUUGCUAAACAUUUUGUUUGGGUUUGAGUCCCCUCAGCAAUAUAUGAAUACAAUCCAAUCUAGAAUAAAAAUCUAUAUAUAUGAAUACACAAUAUUUCAAUCAAAUAAAAAUCUUAUAGGGUAUACAACCCAAUCUAGAGAAUCAAAAUGCAUGAAUCAUAUCUAAUAAUAUUAAUUCAUUUAAUUGAAUUAAAUACAAUCAAUUACAUUCAAUAUUUGAAUAAUUAAUCAAAUUCAUUCAUCCCCUAGGGCCAUGGGAUGAGAACAAAUUACCCUACAAAUAGAGUUAACAACCUAGAACAUAUUUACCACACCUUAGAACAGAUCUAACAUGCUAGAACUAUCCUAGGCUUUGAUACUAGUUGUUGGGAACCUAGGAUUACUCUAUUCCCAUGUCUUGGAUCUUGUAGGGUGCAUGCAUUUAUCCUUAGGGUUCUCUAGAUUUAACGCAAUAGAAAAUAAUGACUUCAAAAAUCAUUGUAGAAUAAAGAUUUAGAGAUUUGAAACUCAUACUUGUGAUCUAGAUAUUCCCAGAUCAAAAUCCAUAUGUUGAAUAACAUGUCUAGAAAAACUAGAGAGUUUAUCUUUUCAUGUUGCUACCCACGUGCUUGUCCCAUGUGAUUCUUAUGUACGUGACCUAUGUGCAUCCCAUGUGGUGCUCGUGCACAAAACCUGUGCAUGUCCCAUGUGCUAUAGCCCUACAUCCAAAGAGGUCUCGUACACCCAAAAUCUUCUGCCCGAUGACUCAAACCAUAAUCUUAUCACUCCAAAGUGUGGGCUUUGGAAAGAAGGAGGCUAUGACGCUCUCUCUCUAGGUGGAAGGCAACGGUCACCAAAAGUCAUUAGGAAAUCCUAACCUAUAAAGGGAUAUUUAUAGGGUUACCCGUUGGGCUUAAGUGACUUAAUCUCAUUAAGACUUGGGCCAUUUAAUUUAGCUCAAAAUGGGUUCUAAUUGAUUAAUUAAUCACAUAGCGCUAUCUAAUUAAACAAUUAGCCCAAAAUAGAGACCUUUAUUAUCCCUCAUGUAGCUAUGCGAAAUUACCAAAACGCUCUUAUGCACAAAAAUGAACCUAAAGUCAAUCCAACCCUCAUAAAUUGUGUCAUCAUGGUAUAUGAGCUUAGAGGGGGAUCACUAGGACUCAUAGAGUUUUAGCUCCCUCGAAAUCUAAUUCCGGAGUCGAUUCAACAUUCCACUAAAAAUAAUCAAUUGCACUCUAAUUUUCUAUGUAAAUAACAAUGAGACGAAACUCGAAGUUCGUAACCUACUAUCCACUACAUGUAGACUCCUCAUAAACUGGUGUUUGUAAUUUAACAAGGUAGUGUUAUCACUUAUCAAAAUUACAUCUCCAAUCAUUGAGUUACAGAUCCCACUUACUAUGUGAUCAAUUGACAUAUUCUAGCUCUAAGGAGCACAUGUUAAAUUCCACUAAAUAAACUACUGUGACCACAUAUUUCAUUAUUACGUGUCAUUUAAAUCACCUAAGGGGACGCAUUGUCUCAAUCCUAUUAAAUAUCAUGGUGCCUCUAUUGAGAAUACUUGUUAUCGCUUACCUCCAUCAACAGUGACCCAAUCCAUAAGGAUAUAUGACCACUUUAAGAUCUCACCCAUAAGUCAAAGUCUCCUGCUGAUUUUGGAACAGACUCAAUAUCCUCUCAAUGUUGAGAGUUCAUAUAGUAUAGUAACUUGGUGAAUCAUGACAAUUAAUAGUCUUACGUCAUGAUUCACUAUAGGUCCUAUCUAUCAUGCAUCACAUAUACUAUUGCACUCACUAUGGGAAACCCAUCUCGAUGGCUAAGUAGAUCCAUCACUCCAACUAGAAGAUAGUGCAUUACAGUCUCCAUUGGAUUGCCCAAAUCCAUGAAUUGAUUGUGGACAACUUAUCUACUUACAAGAAACCCAUGACUUGUAUCUUAUGUGUAACUCUUAAUGCACUCAAGUCAUAUACAAUAUAAGAGACAUGGAUCGAAUGCUCAAAUUAAUGCCAAUACAUCAAAGGGAUAGUUAAGUCUAACUUUGUUACAUUAUGUCUUGUCUUUAGUGGUUCAAUCCCAACAACUAAUGCUCUUCAUCUCAAUCAAAACAAAUAUAUAUACAUGAUCUUCUUGUUCGCACCAACCUAAUGGACUCUAAGCUUGCUUCAACACUUGGUGCAUCAGGCAAAACCUUAUCUCUCCACGAUGGUGUACCAUUUGAAGACCCCGCUUUGUAUCUAAGUAUUGUCGAUGCACGUCAAUAUGUAACUUAUCAGGCCAGACAUCUCCUUUGUUGUCAACAAGGCUUCUGGCACAAACAAGCGAUGUCCAUUGGAUGGUUGUGAAACGAAUCCUACGCUACCUGAAAGGCACCUCUUCAUUUGGCCUUCACAUCGAUCUCAUGAAACCUUAUCCUUCGCUGAAUCUUUCCUUUGUCCUUCCCUGGAGACGGAACUUUCUUAAACUACGGAGUUUCACCGCUGUAACCAUCCGACUGUACGUGUGACUAUGUAUCCCCCAACCUCUUUGGCACUCCAAACAUAUACUGAUGAAGAUUGGGCUUCCUACCUUGAGACAGGAAGAGCACUAAUGGAUAUUGCAUCUUCCUCAAACCAAACCUCAUUUCCUAGAUCGACUUCAAAUAAAUGAAGCACUAUCUCCCGGAGUAGCGCCGAAUCUGAAUACUGGGGCAUCGCCAGAGUCACCUUUGAGCUUAUCUAGAUUCAGUCCAUCUUGAAGGAACUUUUCAUAUCAACUUUUGCACUCACUCAUUUGGUGUGACAAUCAAAGUGCGACACAUCUAGCAAAUAAUCCUGUUUUUCAUGCCUGUUCCAAACACAUAGAUCUUGAUCUCCAUUUUGUAAGAGAAAGAGUGCUCUCGAAGGAUCUUAGCAUUCACUAUAUUAUGUCUUCUAAUCAAAUAGUCGAUAUAUUCACCAAAUACCUUCCAAGCUCUCAGUUUAUCAACUUCAGGACCAAACUCUCCAUAAUUUCCAAACCUAUGAGCUUGCGGGGAUCAUCGUCUACCAGAAACUGCAGCUGAAGAACAUUCAAGAACCCACGUCUGAAGCUGCAAGAAAGUUACAAAACGGCUUCUCUUCUGUUAGUUAAAGAUCGUUUAACAGUUAUAGAAUUAGGUGAUCAGUUAAAGCACAGUUGAAGUUAGUAAGUACAACUGUAAGGUAUUUAGUUCAAAGCAUAUAAGACCUAAUCGUGUUCAGUUAAAGAAGUGUAAAGAAUAUAUGAAAAACAAAGAAAUAAAAAGGCUCCAAUAUUUUCUUCCAAUAUCUAUCUUCAAACUUUUCAUUUCUAAAUAAUUUAAUCUCUUCUUUCUCGAUAUUAUGUGCACCCAACCAAAUUCUUUGGUGGAAACGUUGAAAUAUCCUCUGUGUUUAUCAAAUAGUCGAUGUUUCGAAAAUAUAUUAUUAUAUUUAUAAAUAAUUUUCUUUUGAAAAAUAAAUUUAUUUUUAAUUUUCUUCUAAAAAAUAAGGUUAUUUUCAGAAAAGUAAUUCAUCCACAAAUAUACCCCUCCAAAUGAUAAUACCUUGGGUUAGAUUGAUUGAUAUCACAGAAAUUUUUGUUGCUUUGUCAGAAACUCCAAAAAUGAAAAAUCAAAUUAAAAGAGAAUUUAUAAAUUUAAACAAGGUGGUAUUAUUUAAUUUUAUAGGGUUUUAUUUCAACAUAGGCAUCCAAAAAUACAAAUACAUAAUUAGAAAAUAGGAGAAGACAAAAUAUAAAAGACAAUAUGAAAAGGAAGAGCCAUUAUAAAAGAACAUAUAUAAGCCUGGAAACUCACAUGCAAUGUGGCAGAAAUGAUGGGGAUGUUUGAAGAAAUAAUGAGGACCACCACAAUGCAAUAUUUCCCUACUCUAAAGCGAGUAAAGAGGAUCUGGACAAGCUACGAUCUUCGAUAUAAUUCACCUUGUCCUAUUUAUCAUUAUUAAUAUGGUCCCCUUUCAUACACUAUCAUAUUUCCAGAAAGAAAAAAGAAAAAUUUUAUUUUGGAAGAAAAACUGAUACUGCUCUCAAAUAAUUACAUUCUACAUUCAUCAAUGGUAUCUCUGUCAAUCCAUUUAUUUUCAUAAAAAACAUGACUAUGAUCUUUUGUGCAGGCUCAAUUUGUACCUUUCUUUUCCAACAUAAAUAAAAUCAAAAUUGAUGAGGUGGUAAUUGGGAAAAGGAGGACAACUUUUGUUUUUUUUCUUUUUCUUUUUUAUAACUCUUAUUUAUGUUUUAUUUUGGGAAACUAUUAAGAAAAAAAUCACCAAAAAUUAUUUUUUUCAUAUUUAGUUUUACUAAAAAAUAUAAAAAUAUAUACUUAAAAUUAACUAAAAACUUGUGAAUUCUUACAUCAUUUCAUAUUUGUAAAGAAGAGUUGAAACAUAUGAAAUAAGAUUUAAGUUGUACAUAAAAAAAUUAUUGAUUUUAAUUUUAUUUUUUUCUUCUUUUUUUAUUUUUUUAAGGGAAAAAGUGUGUUUUACACUCAUAUAAAAAUAUCAUAAAAUAGCAACCCAACUUUAUGAAAUACAAAUUUCAACCUAUUAUAUAAAAAUAAUUAGUAUUUUAUACUUUUUUUGUGAAAUAUAUUAUCUUUAAUCAUUCCGGUAUUAUUUUUUAAUGAUAUAGGUACUACCUUUAAUUAUCUUAGGUAUUAUCUUUAAUUGAUGAAUGCAUAAAACUCGAAUUAUUAUUAAAGAAUUUUUUUUUGUUAUUAUUUUUAUAUGAGUGAGUGAAAAGACAAUUUUUCAAUGAACACAGGUGUAGAACUAACUAUUCAUAACCAUGCAUCUUGUAAAUCCAUUGGUGCAAAAAAAACUAGUGCAACCACCAUUUGAUAGGCCACUUCUCUAGAUAUCUGUGUCACUUCUUUACUUCUCAGAAAUAUAGCUAUAAUCACAGCUCAAAUAUGACUUGGACUAUGAGCUAGGAAUUAAUUAGUUUUCAAUAUCUCAUGUAAAUUUAGUAAUUAUUACACCUUAACUUCCACAAGAACCUAACCAUUAAUUAUCAACAAUUUCCCUUCUAAUUUUCACAAUUAGUUUUAUAUUUCUUUCCAGCUCCUCUUUUAAUUCUUUUUUGUUUCCUUGCAUUAGUCCCAUAUAUGCCUCAGCAAAAAAAAAUAUUCAUACCUAGAAAUCAUGAUUUAAUUUUUAUUUCAAUAAAAAUUUUAUAUUGAAUUUAAUUUCUUGGGAUUGAAUGUCAUUUUCUUGAAAUUUACUUUACAUUCGCAAGGAAAAUGAUAAAAAGAAAAAAAAAAAUUUCCCACCAUACCCUUCUUUUUUUCUAUAAACAAUAUCUUUUUCUUCUUGAACAACAUCAGCUAUUUUGUCUUUUAAAUUUCAAAUAAUUUUAUUAUUAAUUUGCCUUAUAGUUGAAUGUAAUUAAAAUAUUAUUGAGAUUAGACUUGAAAUUUGGCCUCAAAUCUAUUAACCAAACCAUGCACAGACAGAGACAGAAAAAAAGAAAAGAAAAAGGGACAAGAUUAUUAAUGUGGUUCGAUCAUCAAUGUGAUCCUUAUAUUCACGAAGUGCACCAAUACUCAAUAAUCUACUAAUCAAAAUGAAUGAGAAGAAUUACAAUAGUAAAAUUAUCAAAAACAAAAAAACAAAAAAACUUCUCAAUUACGAUUGCAUUAUUUGAAAAAAGCAAAACCCUAACAUAAUAGGGUUAAAUAUAUAUUAGGGACCCCCACGAGCUAACCGGGUAACUCGACCCUCAAUUCGAGCGAAGCGCAAUAAUACUAAAUCAAGCUUCACAAUCCAACAAAAUCAUGGAUGAUACUUUUAGGAUUAAUACUCCGCACUCAAUUAUGUUAGUGAAUACUUUGAGAAUGUUCAAUAUAUAGCACCAAUACUUAUAAUAACUUUGAGAUAUUAUCAUAUUAAUAGAGAGGCUAGAGCAGUUGACACAAUUGGAGAGAAAACAAAAGGAAAAGAAAAGAAAGUUUUGAUAAUAAUAUUAUUAAAAAAAAGAAAAAAAAAAAAAAAACCUAAGGUCCUUGUUUAGCCAAGGAAAAAGGAAGUCAAUGAAGACUGAAGAGCAAUUCCAAGAUGAUGUUACGACUGAGGAAAAAACCAAACAGUAAGUUACAAAUGCAGCACAGCCAACAAGGCAUAAGAUGGAUUCUUCAGCAGCCAAUAGCCAUGCACAUGUCCAUAGCAAACCCCUCCUCUAUCCACAUAUAUUCCCCACCCUCAUUAAUUUCCUCAUCCUCCUCCACCUCCAAAACACCACAAAAAUGGCGCUGUCCGAAAUGGGCUUUUGUUGUUCAAAUCUUGUUGACUCUGAUCAAUCUGAAUAGAGCCACUUCUUCUUCUUCUUCAGACCCUCUUGUUCAGCAAGAGUUGGACAAGGUCCUUCAGCUCCCAGGCCAAACCUUUAAUAUCUCCUUUGCACACUAUGCUGGGUACGUCACAGUGAAUGAGUACACUGGGAGGGCUCUAUUCUACUGGCUCAUUGAGGCUGCUGAAGACCCUUCUUCUAAGCCUCUGGUUCUUUGGCUCAAUGGAGGUAGGCUUUUGCCAAACACCCUUGUCAUUAUUUUUGUCACUAUUAUUUUAUGUGUUGACUUCUAGCAAUUGGAUUAUUGUAUGGAAGUAUUUUGAUUAAAUGGUACUGUCAGUCUUUUGUCGGUACCCUACGUCUAUGAAAUAAUUGGGAGGGACUUGUUUGGGCUUUGUUUAGUUACGGAGAAAAAUGAAGAAAAGGAAGGUAUUACUAAGAAAGUUUUUGCUGGUAAUUAGGUGUAAUUUACAAUCAUAUUUCCUUUCCAUUAGUUCUUCCAUAAUGUUUUUUAAUUGCAUGCAAUUGUAGAUAAGGAUGCAUGGUAUUUGGGUGGUGUUUUUAAAUCUUUUUAUGUGAUUAAAUAGCAAACAUGAUUAAUGGCCGUACUUAGAGUUCAAUUUGUAAUUAUCUUUCUAGAUUACUAUUUCUUACCAACUAGCAUAAGUGAUUAUAAUGUAAAAUUUAUUCUCAAUCUCGUAGAUUAUAUUUGGUUUUAGAAAAGUACUAAAGAAAAGAUAUGAAAAAUGAUUUUCUUAUAAUGAAAAAUAUAUGUAAAAAAAUUAAAUAUAAUUAAAAUUAGUUAAAAUCUUAUGUAUUUUUAAAUUAUUUAAUUUUUAUAUAAAAUAGUUAAAAUAAGUUAAAUAAGUUUAAAAUACCACAUAAAAGUAAUUUAUUUACUUUAAAUCUAUUUUUUAUUUUUUUCCUUUUAUUUUUAUUCUUUGUUUUUUUUUCCUCAUAUUUUUCUAAAUAUCGAUAAUUACGGAUAUAUUGGGAAAAUAUUGAUAUAUAUUUUGACACAAAAUAUCAGUAUAUGAAAAAUUCAUAAAAAUAUUAUAAAAAACUCCAAAAAUGAUAUAAUAAUAAUAAUAAUAUAUUAAAGUUAUUUUAACAAAAAAAAAUGAUAUAUAUACCAAAGGAUAUAAUGCAUUUAAUUUGGAUGUAUUAAAAAAUAUAAAAGAAAUGUUUAUAUAUAUAUUUAAAAGUAUUUUUUAUUUAAAAAUAUUAAUACUUUUAUUUAUAAAUUUAUAUUUUUCUUGUAUUUAAUUACUAUAAUUAAAUUUAACUUAUUUUCAAUAAUUUUAUAUAUAAUAAUAAUAAUAAAUUUUAUUUCGUUUAUAAAUUUUAUUUUAUAAAUUAGUAUAUAUAAGUAAUAUGCAUUUCAUAAAACUAAGAGCAACGUAGCUUUUUUGGCAAGUGAUUUAAAUUUCAUGCAAAAUACUAGGAUUCAAGUCGCGGUGGUGUGUUUUUGGGUUUAUGAUUUUUCUAAUCUUUGUGGAAGUGAAUCCCACAUAGGACAUGGGGAGCAAAAUAAAGUUGUAUUUAAUAAGAGAUGCUCCCUUCCUAUGCAUGCUUGAGGCUUGGAUUGUGCUUCUUGUGCACGCUUAAGGUUUGGAUUGGGUUUUAGACCAAAUGAUGCAUGCUUCUGAGACUUAUAUAACGAUAUUUUCAUCUUGGUAAACCUUUUUGCUCUAAAUUUAUUUCAAUAAAUAGAUUUUGAGAAACUCAAGUCUAUUUUGUAUCCAAAUCCAUUGUUUAAGAAAACCUUUUAAAAUGUGAAUUUGGAUUUAAAAUUGAUGGAGUUUACAAUAUAAUGUCAAGAAUUUUUUGGCAAUAAAUAAAAGCCCAAAGGCAACCACUCAAAUUACAUAUUUUGCACAAUAAUUGCUUGCCUCAAUUAGCCAUCCAGGCAUCUUGCCUCCAAAGUUAUUCAUGUACAUGCCUCUCUUCUCUUUAGUUAUAGGUAAAUGUAGCUCUAACCUCUUGCUAUCUCGUAGUCAAUUCUUAUAUAUAGAAAGACUAAGAUGCCCCGUGUGUGUGUUUUUUUUUGUCCUUGUUUCUUUUGCUCAAAAUAUUAAUAAAUAUUAAUUUAAUUUAAAUCUUAAUAGAUUGGAAUGUCAUUAAGUUUUUAUUCUAUUUUUAUUAAUGUUAUUAAGUAUUAAAUUGCUUGUUUUUUAUUGAUAUCUCAAUGUUAAUUCUCAUAUAAAUUAUUUGAGACUAUGGUAGUUUGGUUUAUUUUAAUUAAGUCCAUAAUUAUAAGAAGUUUUUAAGAGUGGAUUUGGAUUUAUUUUGAAUAAUAAAUUAAUUUUGGAUGUUGCAGAACAUAAAAGUUGGAAAAGAGAAAGGAAAAAUGAUUUAUGCCUUUGACGAAGUUAAAAUUUCUUAACUUUUUCUAAGAAAACAAAAUUAUCUUAAGAAAAAGUGAUAAAAUUGAAAAGUAAAUUGGUCAAAAAUAUUGUCAGUACAAACAAGCCUAACUAUAGUAAGUUUGUAUAUGAGAUUAAUAGGUUCUCUUUGUCAAGCAAUAGAACUCCUAAUUAAAAUUAACUUUUUCAUUUAAGAUUUGUAAGAUACUUUUCCUAUUAUAUUCUUAUACUUUUCUAAAUUAAAUUAGAAUAUGAUUAACUUCUACAUUUAAUCGUCAUCAGUAGUUAAAAAUAAUAAAUAAAUAAACAAAAAAAACUAAGAUCCAAUGAUUAUUAGUACUAUCAUGUCCAAUUAAUAAAUCACAUUUCCCAUUAGAUCGAGUGCAUGUACUUGUUAUAAUACAUUCACUUGUUUGCUUAAGAUCACCAACUCAAUGAUGUAUAAUCCUAUCAAUAGUAGCACAAGUGUAGACUUAUUUGUUGGUAUUAUUGUACCACCAAUGCUAAGAAUAUUUUCAAUUAACAAGGAGUUAAAAAUAAAUCAUCAUUCCUUGCUUUGGGUUCAUUAAACAAUAGUAUGGUUUUUGUACAAUGUUAUCAUGUUAAUUUUCAUUAUGAGAUCAUACAUAACAUAUAAAUACAAAUAAUAAAAUAAUAAUAUGAAAUCUCUUUUAAAUAACAAUACAAAACAAAUUUAAUAAAAUAAAAAUUCUAAAAUAGGUUGAGCAUAAUCUAAUAAUCUCCAACUUGCAUUCGAAACCAAUUGUACACUUUUUUUAUCUUCAUUGUCUCGACAUUUUUUGUUAAGGCAAUCCUUGCUAUUGUUGUAUCAUCUCUUUUUAUUAUGUCAUCAAGUGAAAUCUAUGUUCGAUGUGUUUCUUUCUUAAGAGUUCUGGGCUCAAGAUAUGUCUUAUUCACGUUAUCACAAUCAUGAUGAAUUUUCAUUGGAAGUUGAAUGGAUAGAAUGACUUCAAGUUCUAGAAUGAGCUUACAAAUCCACACCACUUUUGUAGCUAUAUACUCCACUACCAUGAUGGUCUACUAUAAUAUCUCGCUUUCAAUUUCUCCAACUUAUUAUUUCUUUACGAAGUGGAAAAUACGACACCAAAAGUAGGUAUUCUAUCAACACUUUAUUGUAAAUUAGUGUGCAACAUCAAAUAAUUAAAGAAAAAAAGAAGAUGGUCGAUAAUCCAUCUAUACAUUUCAUGCUCUAAAUAUGUGAUUUACAUUGACAUAUACACAAAGGUAUAAUACUACUAUGGAGAUGAUAAAGAAUUGAAAAUUGACACUUGAUUAUAGGAGUGAAUAAGCUAUCAAGCCAUAUGUAGCAAACCUUUCAAUAUAUACAAGUGAGCAAUUCCAUUCCUCACUCAUUGGGAAGCCAUGUGCAACAUGCCUUGAGAUAUAUACAACAAUUGUCAUUCCUCGAUCAUUAGGUUGAGCAACAACCAUGAGAUAUUCAUGGAGAAAAUAUGAUAAUAGGAAAUCCUUGUGACAACAAUUUACAUUCCACUAGGUUUGCAUGCAAUAGUUGUUUAUCAUUCCCCCUUAAGAGUGAACAAAAUUUAAUGAAAUCUGAACUUGUAAAAAAAACUAAGAAAAUUGAAUCUUAGGCAAGACCUUUGUAAAAUGUCAACUAUUUGAAGAUUUAAAAGUAGAAAUUGAGUGACUAAAACACCAAAUAUAGCAUUUUCUUGAAAAAAAAAAUGGUAGCGAAGCUCAAUAUGCUUAGAGCAAGCAUAAAAAAUGAGGUUUAUGGUUGUAUAAAGGGAACUUCUUAUAUAUAUAUAUAUAAACAUUGGAUAACUAGACAUAUAUUUUCAAGUAAAAGAUACUUUUUUAAGGGAUAUUUGGUUAAAAGGGGCAAAAUAAGUUGGUAUUCGGAAAAAUAACCUCUGCCUUUUUAAAACCUUAAAAAAAAAAAUUAAAAGAGAAACCUUUGAAAUUCAAAAGAGUAGAAAAGAAGAGAAAGAGAGCAAAACGAAGGGUUCUUCUAUUUUGAAUGGUAAAUUAGAAUGUAUGCUUUAGUCUUCUGAUUUUUAUUUUUAUUUAUUUUUUUUGUAGAUUUUCGUACUAUUGUUGAUUCUCUGUCUAAAAGGAUUCUAAAAUGUUCAUUUGAUUGAAGUGUGAUUUUUUUUUUUUAUCCAGUUUUUGAAAAAACACGGGAGAUGAAAAGAACGAAACAAAGUGGAGAAGGAUCUUGAAAGGUACGUUUAUUACUUUCAAAUAGUUUGUUUUUCAUAUUUUUUUUAUCUCUUUAUUGAUUUCAUACAUGUGCUUGAGGUGUGUGUGUGUGUGUGUGUGUGUGUGUUUUCAUAUGGUUUUAGAAAAAACGCGGAAAGAAGUAAUGGGUUUAUAUGUUCAUUUUUUGUUAAGCGUAAAUAUAAGAGAUUUUCUUAAAUUUGUUAGUCUAUUCCUCUUUGAAUUCAAAAAGAAAAUUUUUGUAUUUAAUUAGAUUUCAUGGCUAUUUUAUUUUGAAGUUUUGCUCUACUUGUUAAGAUUUUGAAGUGUGAUAUUAUGGCAAUUGCUCUGAUUUUAUAGUGUAGAAAACUGUUCAUAUGGUUCUUGUUGCAUGUGUACUUUUAAGCAUAAAUCUAGUGGAAAAGUAACAAAUGUGUUGAUCAAUUGUGUUCAAAAGAGCUGAAACAUAAUUAGAGAAACAAAAUAUGCCCCCAUUUUUAUUUCUCCUCCCUAGUGAUUAGAAGAAACCUUGCAUUUGUCCUACGAAGGAAGAUGAAUUUGUUUCCUUAAAAUUCCCAAGUGGAGAUAUUGGAGGUGUUGCUGAAGUCUUUUUCCAUGAGCAUUCGUGUCAAAUAUUCUCUUUUUGUGCUGUUUAACCUCCAAUUAAUGGAACCAAUUUGAUAGACAUGAAUAGUCAUUCUUUUCUAUUAAUGAAAAAAUUGGAGAUCAUUGCAGUCUUUGCCAAUUGGGUAUCUAGUUUUCAGCAGUUUAGGAAAAAGAUCUUUUCCUAUUUACAGUUCUCUUCCCAAGGGAUAAGAAGUUGGUUUAACCAAAAAUCUCAAUUUUAAUAAAACAAUUUGCAUUCCUUGCCUACUACAGUUUCCAUUUCACUUGUAUAGAUUAAGAAGAAAACACCUGCCCUCCCUUGGAGGUAAACAAACAUUAACAUGCACCCUAUCAAGUUCUGAACCCAGUUUGCUUUUACUAUAUCAUAGGUGACAUUUGCUAAAUCUAAAACCCAAUUGGUCUUGCAAUGCAAACUAUAACAUUCAAAUAGUAAUCUCCAACAAAAGUCAUGGCAAAGAAUGAUACUAACUGAUGGUUGAAAUAUUACUCACAACUAAAAUAUUGAGUGAGAUAAAGCAUAUGCAUAGCCAAAAUACUCAAAAUACUUCUACCAUAUCCUUUUUGUAAGUAAUAUGAUUUAUACCUAGAUAUGGAUGUGAGGAAAAGUAAUAUGACAUGGAUUCACAAUUAGUUCUUGAAAUUUAAGCAAAAAUAACCAAAGUGUUUGAACUCAUGGAAAGAUAAUGUUAGAUUUGAUAAAUUUUCUGCAUACAAUUUUUUAGCAUAAAGAUACUUGAAGACUCUAAAGAUAAUAUUCAUGAACAAAAUGAGAUGUUGAAACACUCCAAAACUCUUAAACAACCUAGAUAUAUGUAAACUUCACUUGAAUCUCCCACGUUAUUGACAAAAAGUAAUACAUAUAUAACAUAUGAUUUACCAAACAAGUAAGAGGAAAGAAAAGAAAGAAACUUUAACAUAUUUAUUCACCCAUAGAAGUAUAGGGAAACAAAAAUGGUUAACACUAUCUAUGAAGCAGCUUCAAAGAAGAAUAGACUUUCGAUGGCUAGUAGAUUAACUUCUAAUAGUGAAUAAGGUAGACAUCUUUAAGAGUUAUUCUUUUUACAAUUCUUUCAAUCAUCACCACAAAUCAUCAUAUUUCUUAGGAUUAAUUCAAUGUUUCUAAUAAAAUUCGUGAGUAAUUUUCUCAAGAAAAAAAUGAAUAAAUAUAAAAGGAAAAAUAUUGCUUCCAUCCAUAGCCACAGCCACAAGAAUUGGAAAAUCAUGUGCAUUAUGCAAUCUCGUUCAUCAAUGAUCCAUUUAAAAUAAGUAAAUGAAAAAUGUAGUGCAAGUUUUAUCAAAAUGUAAAUUUCCAAGAAUUGUUUCUAAGGUGAUGUAAAAGAAUGUUGUACAAUGGUCUUUCUCUCUUUCUCUCUUUCUUCUUUAUAUAUAUAUAUAUAUAUCUUGACAUCUAUAUUGUUUACUUUCUUAGUACAAAUUUAUGGAUUUUAAUAAGUAAAUUUGUGAUUGUUAUUUGAAUCUUUUUUUAUAUUUAUUUUUCAGGGAAAAAGACUUAGAUUUGCAAUAUUGUAUAACUUCAAAAGUGGUCAUCCUAGAAAGUGAACAACUCAUCUUUAAUGGCAAAUACUGAAGAAUCUAAUGAGAUGGUUUGUAUUUUUUAUACUAUUUGGGAUGUUAAUGUGUUGCUGAUUCUUGUAUAUGAGAUUACUCCUUCAAUAGAAAAAUAUAUUUCUAUUGCUUUUCAUAUGCUAAAAAGAAGAUCCCAAAUAAGUUAAACCUAGAUAAUAAGUUUACAGAUGAUAUUGUAUCUCGGGUUUGCCAUAAAUAAUGAACUAAUCAGGUUAAGUUUUUAUAUGUUAAUCAAAAUAUUCACUUAGACUACACUUGGUUAAGUUUUAUUUACAAAGAACUUAAUCGAGGUUAAGUUUCAUUAACAAAUAACAUAAUUGUAGUUAAGUUUUUAGUUAAAAUGUUUCAAACCUAUUUAUAAUAUAAUUAAUUGAAUCAGUAUUUUGAUUUUAGUAUAAAUGGUUAAAUUUUUUGUAAUUUAUUUUAGUUCAUGUAGAAUGUUUAUAACUUUUAAUAUAUUUUCUUAAUGUGAAGCACAAUAUGUGUGACUUUGCAGGCUACCACAUCUUCAACAAUAUUCAUACAGAAAAUAUGUAAUGAAGAUCACUUCCCAUCUAAGGUGGCUUGCUUAUCCCACAUUAUUGUCAUUGACAACAUAAAGAAGAACUUGAAUGAAACCCAACUAGAGAUGUUUAAAAAAUCUUGUUUUGGCCACUUCUUAGGUAUGGCUAAUUUGAAAUUUUCUGCUCAAAUUGUUCAUAAUAUGUUGUUACGCCAAUGUGACAUUAGAAGAGAAGAUGAGAUGUGGAUACUUGUUCACUCAAAAGGAUUGAGAUUUAGUGCGUCGGAGUUUGCAUUGAUAACUGGGUUGAAAUUUGGUAAUAUUUCACAAUUUGACUUAACAUCUUCAAGAAUAAGAGAUCAAUAUUUCAAUGGAGAGAAUAAGAUUCAUAAUAAUCGAUUGGAGGAGGUUUUCAUCUCAUUAUGUAAGAAAGGAAAGAGAACAAGCACAAAGAGGGCAAAAAAAAAGGCAAAGUUAAGUGGGAAAUCAAAUCUUGAUGAAGAUAUUGUGAAGUUAGCAUUGUUGUACUUUGUUGAGCAUGUCCUACUAGGAAAAGAAGGGAAGAAUUUGAUAGAUUUACAAUGGGUUCAACUUGUUGAUAGUCUAGAGGAGUUCAACAAGUAUCCUUGGGGAAGAAUUUGCUAUGAAAGAACAUUGUUUGGGUUGCAAAGGGCUUUGGAUAAAAGACAGUCAAAAUAUGUAGAGAAAAAAAAAAGGAGGAAUGCAACCUAUGAAGCAUAUGCACUUGUGGGAUUUCCAUAUGCCUUUCAAAUUUGGGCAUAUGAAGUCAUUCCAUUGCUUGGAAUGAAAUAUGCAAGUCGCAUUGGUAGAAGUUUCCCCAGAAUUUUAAAUUGGACAAGUAUUGCAACUCCAAAAUACACUGAGAUUCAAUCCUUAUUUGUAGAGUCAAAUGUGAGUAAUAUCUUAAUAUUUGUUUAUACUUUCUUUUUUAUUUACAUAAGCAUAUUAUUAUUAUUAACUACUUUCUUUCUACUUUGAAUUAUUAGUUAUCUUUGCAUUCCAUACUCAUUCCCACAUUGGAAGAGCGUGAACAAGAGUAUGUGAAAUGUUUUGAAUUCGAGGUUGAAUCAAAUGAUGUCUUCCAAGAUGAUGUGAAUGAUUGGGAGAAAGAUGAAGAUCAUGAAGAAGCCGAGGCCUAUACCACUGCUACAACAACAACAAUGAAAUGUGGAAAAAAAGGUGAUAGUUCUAAUUAAAUUACCUUCAUUCAAGGUAACUAAACUGAAAGUUAUUAACAUUAUUUCACUAUACAUGUUUAAGAAUGUUUGACUAAUGUUAUGAUGUUUUUUGUGAUGUAAAGGAAUUGUUUAUGAUGUUCAUCAACUUUCAAGAAAAGACAGAAGCAAAUUUUAAUGAAGUUAGAGCAGAAUUGAAAGAAGUAGGAAGCAAGAUUGAUGGUUUGAGGAAGCUAUUAUUGGAUGUUAGUAACAUGUGCUAGAUUCCUCUUUUUUUUUUUUUUUUUGGUAAUACCAACAAUGCAUUUUAAAAUAUAUUCAUAUAUUUCUAUGCAAUUUCAUAGUAGAAACCUAAGAAGUGAGCCAUAUAAUGUUACAAUGGGGAAUGAUGUGACAAUGGACUUUAAAUCAAAGUCAAGAAAAUUUGAAACAUUGGGAAAAGACAAUAAAAUGGAGGCUUCAAUGGAUGAUGCACUAAAUGAAACACCAGUUAAUGUUUUUCCAUGGCUUUAUAUUCUUUAUAUUUUUUGAAUUACUGACAAUGCAUUUUCAAAUAUACUUCUAUGUAAUUUCAGGUUGGAAACUCGAGUAAUGAGCCAUAUACUGCAACAAUGGGAAAUGAAACAAUGUUCGACUUCAAAAAAAUUGAGACAUCCAAGAAAGACAAUGAUAAGGAGGCUUUGAUAGAUGACCCACCUAAUGCAACAGUAGUUAAUGUUUUCUCACAUCAAGUAUCACCGAAUAUUUUUAAGCGAAGAAGGGAAGUAAAAAAAUCUUACCUAUUGCAACACCCAUUUAUAGAUCCCACUAAGAGAAGGAAGUUGGUAAUGACUAAGACUGACAUAGCAUCAUCAAUCUUUGAUCCAUUGCAACCACCAUCAAUGGAGGCAAAGAUGGCCUAUACACAAUUAUUAAUGAUGGGUGUAGACCCUCUAUUUUGUCUUCCUCGCACAUGUCGUUUACAGCAAUUCCCUGGUGGCCCAUUAAUACUCGUGUAGCCUAUCUACUCUAAGCCACCUUGGGGACUAUGGUUGAGGGAUUUAUCGAACUCUAUUGCAACUUCUGGUAGCCCAUUUAGACUUAGAUAUACUUAAGCACCACCCUAGGCCCACUUAGGCCCUUUAAGCCCAUUAGGCACCAUCCUAGGCCCGUUUAGACACUUUAGGAUCAUUUAGGUACACUUGGCCCAUUAGGCAUCGCCCUAGGUCCAUUUAGACACCUUAGGUUCACUUAGUGCACCUUAGGCCCAUUAGGCAUCACCCUAGGCCCAUUUAGACACCGUAGGUUCACUUAGUGCACCUUAGGCCCAUUAGACGCACUUGGCCCAUUAGGCACGGCCUUAGGCCCACUUAAACACUUUUCAAGGUUUAGUUUCACUUAGAUUUGUUUUCUUGUUUUUAUUUAUUUAUUUAUUUUAUUGAUUGCUUUUAAGAUUAAGUGAGUUUUGAUAUAUUUAUAUUAUUUCAUCAUUAUUAUUAUUUGUAUUUUCGUUUAUUUAUUUUAUUUUAUAAUUGCAUGAAAUGAGUUAUUUGUUUAUUUAUUAUUUUUGGUGGUUUGAGUUUGACACUUCGACUAUUAUUAUAUGUUGCAUUAGUUUAAUUUUAUUAUUAUUAUUAUUAAAUAUAUCUAAUAUUUAUUAAUUAAUUUAUUUAUUUUUAGGUAUAUAUCAUUUUAUCUAUGUAUUGAUAUUUUCUUAUUUGGGAUUUAAGGACUUCUUGAAAUUUUAAUGAAAGGAAUAUUGACUUUGAUUUAUGGGAAUGGUUCUGACUUUAUGGAUUAUUGCUUUCUUUUUUGGAAUUUUUUUUUAUUGUUAUUUUUCCAUGUAGGUGGAGUCAAUGGGAAGGUGUGCAGAGGAUGCUCAUGGAAAAGACCACACUGUUUUUUUGAAAGGUAGAUUCGGGGCGGGAAAACGGACUAUAAAUCAGGGAUGAAUGCGGAUGAUUUUUAGAGGAAGAUACAGAAAGGUUUUUUAAAAGGUAUUGCGCUGAUUUUGGGAGGAGACAGAGCGCUCUAUAGAGAAAGGAAGGUGGCUAGUUUUUUUUAGGAGAGAAUAAGAGAGAGGAUGAGGAGGACGGAAAAGGAAGAGGGGACCAUUGAGAAAGAAAGUGAUUUUCUGGAAGAAAGUGGCAGCCGCGCCGGGAAAGGGAGGAAUUUUGGCAUUAAGAAAGAAGGAACAAGGGGUGCCAUCUAGAGGGGAGAGAGGUGAUUCACAUCUCCAUGUUUGACUGGGAAAGAGAGGUGACGACUAGAGAUUAUCUCUGGUCUCAGCCUUGAGAAAGAUCAGCAUCGUGCUUUCUCUCAAACCAACCAGACGUCUCACCACGGGAACACCAGCUUCACCACUACCAGUCCGCUCAUCUUGAUGAUUCGCCUAUCACCAUAACGAGAAACACUUGCGAUGUCGUAUUAAUCAUCAUCGGACCAAUAUCUUCUCAUCUCGCCGCAUGCCUUUUCCCCCUCCCCUCACGAUCUGCAUCCGUCAUCAGUCCACGCAUCAAGCCUUCAUCCACACGACUGCCACUUUGAGAGGAAAGCAAUCCACGCACCAAUAGAGCCUCCACGGGUGGCACUUUUGAGCACCAUCUCCAUGCUGCAACCUAUUGCUACCUGUCCCUAAACACCACAGCAAACCAAACGCCAUUCGGAUUGCUUUGGAGCAGGCAUAGCCAACCAGAUUUGACUCAUCAUACCAUCCACUUACACAGCUGCCACUUUUGAGAAGAACAGUCCACGCACCUAGCCGUUGGUAAGUUGAUUUGUUUUCUACAUUGGGUUGCUUUGAAAAUAUAUAUAUAUAUAAAAAUUUGGUUUCAUUUCAGUUUAGAUUAUUAUAUCAGGUUGAAUGCUUUACAGGGUCCAGUACGUUUUCAUUUGAAUAAAUAAAAAAUGUUACUUGUGGUUUAAUUGUUUAAGUUAUUACAUUUGGUGGAGCUUUGAUGUCUCGUGAUGUACCAUUUUCGGAUUAUUAUAUUGGGUUGAGUGGGUUGAUUUGUUUAUUAGCUCCGAUACGUGUUUGCUUUAAUAUGGCAAUACAAUCUCACAUUUGUUUAUUUAUUUUUUCUUUAUUCAUCACGUUAAAGGUUAGUUUUAAUGUAUUAUAUUAAAUUCAUAAAAUAUGAUUUUAGAUAGCUUCAUAUGAAAAAUAAAUAUAUAUACUUUAAUCUUCAUUUGAUAUGGUUUUGAUUCAUUUAAUUAUUGAUUGUUUAUUUAUUUACUUGUUACCAAUUUAAUGCUUUGUAAUUUAUUUAAUUAUAAAUAAAAUUGAUUCUAUAGGAUAGAGAUUUAGUUUUAAAAAUCAUUUUUGUUAGUUUUUUUAAUUUUACCUUAGAUUUAAGCACUCUUGUAAAAUUUUAGUUCAUUAAAAUAAUUGAUCAUAUAUAUAUUUAUCCAAUUAUAAAUUAAUUAAUUAAUUAUUAUUGAUUUAUUAUUCCAUCUUGAAAAUUAUGAUCUUUGUCUAAUGUGGUUACAAUUCAUUUUCUUAGUUUGACAAAUUAGUUUUUUUUUAGUAUUGGUUUGGGCAAUUUUUGUUAAUAAUGGAAAAGUUAGGAUUUCUUUAGAGUUUAGAUAAUUUGUGAUGAUAGUUAAAAAUUUAGAAUUUUGAUUGGCAUUAUUUUUGUUCUCAAUUAGGAAAUUCAUAAUUUCUUUUUAGUUUAGUUUUAAUUUAUCUUUUAGUUUAAAUGUUAUUAAAAUUCAGUUUAUUAGUUCAAUUGCUUCCAUGUCACUCUUUUCAUAUCUAAAGGUUGUUAAAUUUAAUUCAUGAUUCAUCCUUUUAGUUUAUUAGUUUUAGAAUUUAAGUUGGUUAAUUUAUUUCAUUCCGCGUUGAUAUAUUCAUGUUUUAAAAUAAAAUAAAAAAUAAAUAAAAUAUAAAUAAAUAAAUAAAUGGUUAUUUUAGUUUUGAUUGAUCCUGUUUUAGUUGAUAUUUUUUAGAGUUUUAAUUAAUUUGGUUGGUUUCAUAUUGUUUAGUUUAUGUUAAGAUUUUUUAUUCCAUUUUUCCAUUAAUUCUAUGCUUUCGAAUUGUAGGCUAUUAGUUUAAUGUAUUCCCAUGUUGUCAUUUUGUGUUUAAAAAUAGUUCAUUUUAGUUUUUGACUAAUUUUAUUUAUUCUAUGUGUUUGUUUUCUUUUAUUCAAUUGUUAGUUAGCCGAUUAGAUUUAUGACUCAAAAUUGUCAAUAUUAGUUAAUACGUAUCGCUUGUACUGUUUUAAAGGUCACAUAAUAUUUAGUGCUUGAUUAAGUUUAUCUUAAGAUUAAAUGUUUUUAAAGUUUCAGUGCUUAUAAGAUCUAAGGUUUUGGUUUAUCACUUUGGUCAUCCUUUGUCAAAAUCAAUUUUUAGAGGCUAUCAGAAAAUAGUGAAGAUUGGCCUCCAUUCCCACCACUUCAAUUUUAUCGGUUGUCAAAAACUCUACUUUGUGAUUUUGUUCUUUUUUUUUUUUUUUUUUUUCUUUUGCUUGAUAUUUUGAUUCAUACAUUUUAUUGUUUUCAAAUUAACUUUUUUAUCUUUAAAACAUAACAAUAUUCUCAAAAUCUCAUUUCCUUAAAAACAAACCAUUUCAAAAAUUCAUUUAGAGUUCUCAGAAUCAAAAUCCCCUUCCCUUUAAAAAUUCAUUUCAAGGAUUCCUUUAGGAUUCUUAAAAUCAAAACCUCACUUUCUUAAAAUAAUAUGCAACCAUUUUUUUUAUCGGUUUGCAUCUUUCUCGGUUUUUAACGAAAAUUUUGGUUUGAAAUCAGACACGAAUCAAAGCUUGUGGUCCCACAUAAAUGGGAUAAUUUUGAGCUAAAUUCGUGUAUAUCAAUUGGGGAAUUGGUGAAACCCCUACAUAAAAAAAAAUCUUUUCAAAAAAUUAUUUUUGUUGCCACUUUUGUCACUUGUUGAAAUUAUGUCUAUUUUUUCAGGAAUUGUAUAUAAGAUGAGUGUGAUAACUAGUGUUUUCAUAUACUUUGAUAAUUUCUGCUAUGCUAAUUAGAUAACGAGCAUGCUAGGAUUCCUAUAUUUUAUUAUUUAUUAUCUAACCCCUCAUGUCUUAUGGAAGCGCAUUGUAAGUCAUCUAUGUUAUCCAGGUACGUAUCACCUACUUUCUAAAUUUUGUAAACAAUCAUGUCAUUGUGAAAUAUGCAUAUGUUUGAUAAUCCUUAGGUGCUUAGAUGUAUGCUAGAUUCACUAUGAUUAAAAACAAAUGUUGUGUGAUGUAUCUCCAAACUAAUCUCUUAUGUUUUAUGAUAGCGCUUGGGAAGCCGUCCAGGUACGCAUUUUUAACUCUCCUUAAUUGUGAUUCGAUUUUGUUUGAUAUGUUAUGUUUUUUUUUGGAAUCACCUAGCCUACUUAGGUAUCCGAGAUCAACCAUUUAAUUGCCACGCUUCCCUUAACUUAGUCAGUAGAGACCUCUUUAGGGCUUAGAGGGGUGCUACCUCCUAGAGGUACCUUCCCAAUAAGUAACCUGAUCCCCGAACCAAGACUUGGGUUUUCAAAGACACGCUUUUCCAAAAAUUAUGGAGUCAUUUUUUUAGGGUUUUAUUUCUUGUUUUAUUUUCCCUUCAAAAAUAAAAAUAAAAUAAGUGGCGACUCCAACUUUUUUUUAAAAUUAAUUUUUCACAAUAAAAAGCGAGUCUUGCCGAUCGAGUGGGGACGCACGUGUAAAAUGCGGGUCCACAAAUUGGCGACUCCACUGGGGAUUUUGAGGAUCAAGCUUGAACACUAGUUAAGGAAAAUGUGGCGUUUAAUUGGUCGAUUAGAGGGUACCCCCUUUUCCUAGGCAAGGUGAUUCGAUUUGCUUGUUUGUUUGGUUUGAUAUCUUAACAUGUUUGAUUGCCUUGGAUGAUCACUUGAUUGUUUUGCUCACUUAGCAUGAUUCACUCUCACAUAUGUUAGAUAGGACUUUGUUUGUUUGAUAUUUAUUUGCUUCGUAUGACUGUUUGGAUGAUCACUUGAUUGCUUGCUCACUUCAGCAUGAUUCACUUUCACGUAUGCUAGAUAAGACUUUGAUUGUAUGAUACUUAUUUGCUUGGUAUGACUGCUUGUUGCAUGACAACCCUUUCUCUUGCAUGAUUGUAUGAUUGCUUGUCUUUGUUCACUAUCUCACUUUAGAUCUUAGGUUUUUCGGAUGCACCCACAUUCUUCACCGUGCACUUUAGAUUAUCCUUGAGUGUUGAGAGAUGGGAGAGCCUUCACCCUUAAGAAACCCCCUGGGAACGCGAGGAAGUGCAUGUGUGGAGGUGAUGACCACCUUGCAUGGAAGCACCCCGUCUCCUUGGAGGCGUGCAGAGGGUUGCGUACCGCCGGAGGGUACGAUCGCUUCUGCUAGGGAUCCUUUAAUCCACCCAUUUUUUUUUAUCUUAUAGAACCACCACAACCUUAUAGGCUAGCCUAGACCCAAUUAGGAUUUCACUCUUACACGUGGAUGCAUUUGUGGACCUUCAGAGCUGCCUUGGUUACAAUUGGGUUCGAUUACCCUCUCCAUAGUCCCAUUUUGGUAUGAUCAGAUACGAGUAUCAGUUUGAGUAUACAUGGGCUAUAUGCUUGAUUACCUUUUAGUCGGUUUCUAUAGAGUUACCCUUGUACAGCGUCUCAUCUAGUGUUUCCGUGUUUAUAGGAGUAUUUUUUGGUGCCCAGUCUGGAUUCGCCUUCGUGGACUAGAGUUAGAGGCAGAUUGACCAGAGUAUCAGAUCAGCCAGACCAGGGAGUAGAUCAGAGAGAUAUGGACUCCCAGGUAGUCACAGUUGACCAGUUUGCUACGGCCAUGGCUUCGAUUCAGGAGGCUAUAGCCGGCCUUGGCCAGAGGAUAGACGGGCAGCAGGCCCCACCUUAGGAUGGUGCACAGUAUGACUCUACGGCACCACCACCCCCUCCACUCAGUCAGCCAGUUCCACACCCGACACCGUAUGUUUUGCAUAGUCAGACUGAUGCUACCCCACUUCCUGUUGUAGCACCCAUUCAGGCAUCAGAGGAUGCACAUGCUCGUAUGGAUAGACUCGAGCAGAGGAUGAGACAGAUGAGGGUUUCGGAUGGAGACAUCAGUUGGGAUGAUUUUGAUGGAGCACCGGUAGUCAGUUUACCGACUCAGUUCAGGAUGCCAGAGAUUGAGAGGUAUACGGGCAUAGGUUGCCCUAAGAUUCAUUUGAGGUUAUACAGUAGUGUGAUGAGGGCCCACGGGUUGGAUGAGGCCCAUUUGAUUAUGCUUUUUCCCAUGUCCUUGAGUGGUGCAGCACAGCGUUGGUUUGCUUCUUUAGACGCUUCACGCCGUAGGACUUGGGAUGACUUGGCCCAAGAGUUUUUGAGACAGUUCGCGUUUAACACUGUCAUUGAUGUCUCGAGGAGAGAGUUGGAGGCCUUGAGACAGGGGCCAGAUGAGUCAGUUACUUCAUUUAUCUCCCGAUGGAGGGAGAAGAUCGCCCAGAUUGUUGAUCGUCCUUCCGAGAAGGACCAGAUUAGUAUGAUUUUGAGGAGUUUACAGCCUAGAUUUGCUAGACAUUUGAUGGGAUUUCCUCAUACGGAUUUUGGAUCCUUGGUACAGGCCCUGUAUGGCAUAGAGGAGGGCAUCGCUAGAGGGUUGUGGCCCGAGUCUUCUCCUUACGAUUCAAAGGGGAAGAAACCCUUAGGAGGACAGAGACCAGGAGAUGUGAGUGCUAUCAGUUCAGUAGGAUCGAGAUCUCCCAGGCGCUAUCAGACAUUCGGGCAGACUUCACGAGCCUAUUACCCGCAGCGUUAUGCUCAGUAUAGACCACCCAGGCCCAUGAUUCCUACAUACCUACACCAGACCCCAGAGCCUGUUUUUGCUGCACAGGUCUCGGAGAGGCCUCCUACCUUAUAUCCUCGGCCUCGAGCUCCACAGACUACUAUUCCUCUUGUACAGAGGCCGACACGACAGUUCUCCCAGCUAGGUAUGCCUUUGAGUCGAGCUUUCCAAAAGCUCAUGGAGGGUGGUUUGUUGACUCAGUUGGCACCUAGGCCUGUACCCCAGCCUGUGCCACCACGCUUCAGGAUGGAUCUACAUUGUUCCUACCAUCAGGGCCCAGGGCAUGACACAGAUCAUUGCGCCGCCUUGAGACAUGCUAUACAGGACUUGAUAGAUCAGGGUCUGGUUAACUUAGGGCAGCCGAGUGUAACCACGAACCCUCUACCGGCUCACUCUACACAUACAGUGCCACCACCCCCGGGUGGUAUACAUCAUAUAGAUUUUGUAGAGGAUGACAGCAUACACAUGAUGAGUUGGGAUGAUGGAGUGCCAGAGCCGAUUGUUUUGGAUGAUGGUUAUGAGGUUGACACAGUGGGUUCUCAGACUUUUACUCCAUUCAGUUUGAUUUCAGAUUGGAUACCAUUUGAGUUGACUCCUAUUGCACCAUCGGCCAUAGCACGUCAGGGCCCGCCCGCUCCAUUUAUCCUACGGCUAGAUGAUGAUGAUUUAGAGGGGAGAGAUGUACAGAUUGUGACCCGUAGUGGGAGAGUAGCUCAGCCCCCACCUCUAGUAGCUAGGCCAUUUGAUGGCGCGGUUUCUCGUGAGGAGAAUAGGAGAGAGGAUGAUGAGAUAUUGAGGCAGUUACAGAGUACACAGGCACGCAUAUCUAUCUGGAGUUUGUUAGCAUCUUCUAGUACUCAUAGAGAUGCAUUGAUUCGAGCUUUGAGCCAGAUCCGCGUAGAGACCACCACUACCCCGGAGGGGUUGAUUCACAUGAUGACGGCCGACAGGGCCACAUGUAUUGUGUUUUCAGAUGAUGACUUACCACCAGAGGGUUCGGACCACACACACCCUUUAUAUAUUAUAGUUGGUUGUUCAGGUCGUAGAGUCCCAUCCGUCCUAUUGGACAAUGGCUCAGCCUUGAACGUUUGCCCAUUGGCUACUGCUAUUGCUCUUGGUUAUGCACCUUCAGACUUCGGUACCUCUACACAGACGGUCAGAGCAUAUGAUAGUACUAAGAGGGAGGUCAUGGGUACUCUGAUGAUAGAGUUGAUGAUUGGUCCGACUACAUUUCCCAUCCUAUUUCAGGUUUUGAGGAUUCCCGCAUCCUUCAACCUGCUUCUGGGCCGACCAUGGAUUCACGGGGCCGGGGCUAUUCCAUCUUCCCUUCAUCAGAAGGUGAAGUUUAUUCAUGAUGGGCAGGUCAUCACAGUUCACUCUACCAGGGAUAUAUUCGCCACUUCUGAGCCAGUACUUCAGAUUAGUCAUAGUGAGGACGACCUACUUCUGACUGGGUUUACUUUUGAUGAGAUACAGACUCUCGAGAUUGAGGAUUUUUGUAGAGACUUUGUGGCUAUGUCAUUUGAUCAGCACAGUAGCAUAGUGGUCCUUGAUAUGAUGAGGGGUAUGACCUUUCUACCUGGCAUGGGGUUAGGACGACGUCAGCAGGGACCGAGCGAGUUCAUAGCUGCCAUUGACCAUGAUACGACAUUUGGACUUGGAUUCAUCCCUACUGAGGCCGAUUACCGUCACAUGGCGCGGUUGCGCAAGGAGAGGGUGAGAGCUCGCUUAUCCCACACACCAUUUGAUUAUCCUAUUCGACCAUAUAGGAUGAGUUUGACUGACUACUUUGUCAGAGGAUCAGAGACUCGACCUCGUCUAGAGGAGAUUCAUAGUGUGGCUCAUACAGAUGGAGAGACCGAUCUUCAGCAUCUAUUUCACCAGCUACAGUUGAGUGAUGGGGGUCCUGACACUUCUUUCCCUUUGACGAUUACCCCCACGUCUCCAGAUCGAGCUAGCAUGUUGUCUUUAUGCUUUCCAGAGGAGAUCACUGGCGAUGGGGUGAUUGUUGAUCCUACUGAGGUGAUUGAUGGAGUUGUUCCCCAUGAUGAGUACCGUGAUGAGAUGGACAUGAUGACCGUGAGCCAGAUUGCCGGCAUUGUUCAGCUUCAGCCUGUUUCAGCAUUUGAUAUGUUUGGGGUGUCUACCAUUGAGGUUUUUGAGGGGACUCAGACUCUUCCUGUUCCAGAGCUUCCAGAUGAUGAUAGUAGUUUGUUUGAGGGCAUUGUUAGCCCAGUUGAGGGAGCGUCCGACGUUGUGGACCCACCUCUUUCUUUUGAUGUUUUAUCGGGAUUUGUCUCCCGCUCUGACGAUGUUUCUGUUGCUUCAUUUAUGGAUUUGAGCAUUUUUGAGUAUUCGCCUGUCUCUUGUGAUAGUAUCUCUACAUCUGCACCUCACUCACCCAUUACACCGAUAUUUGAUAUAGAUGAUGAGAUUGCACAUCCCAGUUCGGAUAGGGACUCUUUUGAUCAUGACUCUGGUCCCAUAGAUGAGAGAGUUUCACCUGCUGCAGGGGACGUUGAGACUGUUGAUUUUGGCACGGAGGAUCAGCCUAGAGAGCUGAAGAUUGGUUCACCCCUAUCUACAGAUGAGAGAGAUAGACUCAUCCAUUUACUCAGGUCAUACUUGGAUGUCUUUGCGUGGUCUUAUGAGGACAUGCCAGGUCUUGAUCCCUCUAUAGUCCAGCACCAUUUACCUACCCUACCACAUGUUAGACCAGUUAAGCAGAAACUGAGACGGUUGCAUCCACAUUGGAGUCUACAGGUAAAAGAGGAGAUUCAGAAACAACUCAGUGUUGGGUUCAUAUCAGUAGUUGAGUAUCCAGAGUGGUUGGCUAAUGUCGUCCCUGUUCCCAAAAAGGAUGGCAAGGUUAGAGUUUGUGUCGAUUUCAGAGACCUUAAUAAAGCUAGCCCUAAGGAUGAUUUUCCCCUCCCACACAUUGAUUUGUUGGUUGAUGGCACCGCAGGCCAUUCGAUGUUGUCUUUCAUGGAUGGAUUCUCCGGGUAUAAUCAGAUUUUGAUGGCUCCAGAGGAUAUGGAGAAGACGGCCUUCAUUACCGAGUGGGGUACCUACUGUUACAGAGUUAUGCCAUUUGGGUUGAAAAACGCAGGAGCCACUUAUCAGAGAGCCGCUACCACUUUGUUUCAUGACAUGAUGCAUAGGGAUGUCGAGGUUUACGUGGAUGAUAUGAUUGUGAAAUCCCGAGGUAGAGCAGAUCACCUAGAUGCUUUAGAGAGAUUCUUUGAGAGGAUCCGGAAGUUUAGAUUGAGGUUGAAUCCCAAGAAGUGCACCUUUGGAGUGACUUCUGGGAAACUGUUGGGGCAUAUGGUCAGUGAUCGGGGCAUAGAGGUCGACCCAGAUAAAAUCAAAGCCAUACUUGACAUGCCUGUGCCGAGGACUGAGAAAGAGAUCAGGGGUUUUCUAGGCAGGUUACAGUAUAUUAGUCGUUUCAUAGCCAGAUUGACAGACGUAUGUGAGCCCAUCUUUCGUCUUUUGAGGAAGAAUCAGCCAACGGUUUGGAAUGACGGCUGCCAGAUUGCAUUUGAGAAGAUCAAGGAGUAUUUGCUUUCUCCUCCUAUUUUAGUGCCUCCUAUGCCAGGACGUCCACUUCUUCUAUAUUUGUCAGUUUCAGACAUGGCCUUGGGAUGCAUGUUAGCUCAGCUCGAUGACUCCGGGAAAGAGCGAGCAAUUUACUAUUUGAGUAAGAGGAUGCUGGAGUAUGAGAUGAGAUAUGUUAUGAUUGAGCGCAUGUGUUUAGCGUUAGUUUGGGCUACCAGGAGAUUGAGGCACUACAUGACUGAGUAUUCGGUGUGCUUGAUUUCUCGGUUAGAUCCUUUGAGGUAUCUGUUUGAUAGACCUGCAUUGACUGGUAGAUUGAUGAGAUGGCUCGUACUCCUGACAGAGUUUGAUAUUCAGUACGUUUCUCAGAAGUCUAUUAAGGGAAGUAUUGUUGCCGAUCAUUUGGCUUCAUUGCCGAUAUCUGAGGGUAGACCAGUUGAUGAUGAUUUUCCAGAUGAGGAGUUCAUUGCCAUGACUAGCUUAUCAGGUUGGCGCAUGUACUUCGAUGGUGCAGCCAAUCAGUCAGGGUAUGGGAUAGGUGUUCUAUUGGUAUCCCCUCAGGGUGAUCAUAUUUCGAGGUCCGUUCGUUUGGCAUUCUCUGAUCGACAUCCUGCCACGAAUAACAUAGUUGAGUAUGAGGCUUGUAUCCUUGGUUUAGAGACUGCACUGGAGCUUGACAUUAGACAGAUGGAGGUAUUUGGUGACUCCAAUCUAGUACUCAGGCAGAUUCAGGGGGAUUGGAAGACCAGGGAUGUGAAGCUUAGGCCAUAUCAUGCUUAUUUAGAGUUGUUGGUUACGAGAUUUGAUGACUUGAGAUAUGUUCAUCUGCCUAGAGCGCAAAACCGAUUUGCUGACGCCUUAGCUACCUUAGCUUCCUCCGUAGACAUUCCGAUUGAUGUAGUCAUACGUCCAUUGCUGAUUGAGUUGAGGUCUGCACCCGCCUAUUGUUGUUUGAUUGGAGAGACAGAGGUACAGGAUGACCUACCUUGGUAUCAUGACAUUUAUCAGUUCCUUAGAUAUGGCACAUACCCUGAGGUAGCCACUACCAAGGAUCGGAGAGCACUGAGGAAUUUGGCCACUAGAUUUGUGAUUUGUGGAGAUACCUUAUACAGGCGAUCAGCUGAUGAUAUGCUUCUAUUAUGUUUAGAUCGAGCCUCUGCAGAUCGAGUGAUGAGAGAGGUUCAUACAGGAGUUUGUGGUCCGCAUAUGGGAGGACACAUGCUAGCCCGUAAGAUCAUGAGGACGGGCUAUUUCUGGUUGACUAUGGAGACAGAUUGUUGUCAGUUUGUCCAGAAAUGCCCAGAGUGUCAGAUUCAUGGUGAUCUCAUACAUGCACCACCAUCAGAGUUACACGCCUUGACUUCGCCAUGGCCAUUUUCAGUAUGGGGUAUUGAUAUUAUUGGGAAGGUUUCACCAAAAUCUUCCAGUGGUCAUGAGUUCAUCCUAGUUGCCAUAGAUUAUUUCACCAAGUGGGUGGAAGCCGCAUCAUAUGCGAGGUUGACAUCUGCUAGGGUUGCCAGUUUUAUCAGAUCACACAUCAUUUGCCGCUAUGGGGUUCCUCAUGAGUUGAUUUCCGACAGAGGGGUGCACUUCCGAGCUGAGGUAGAUACUUUGUUGCAGAAGUAUGCUAUCUGACAUCAUAGAUCUUCAGCAUAUAGGCCACAGACCAACGGGGCAGUAGAGGCUGCAAACAAGAAUAUUAAGAGGAUUUUGAGGAAAAUGGUUGAGACUUCUCGAGACUGGUCAGAGAAGCUUCCCUUUGCGUUGUGGGCAUAUCGUACAUCUUUUCGUACUUCUACAGGAGCUACGCCUUACUCUCUAGUGUAUGGUAUGGAGGCUGUUUUGCCAGUCGAGACAGAAAUGGGCUCAUUGAGAGUAGCCCUUGAGCAGCAGAUUUCUGAGACAGAGUGGGCUCAGGCUCGAUUUGAUCAGCUUAACCUUUUAGAUGAGAGGAGAUUGAGAGCGGCAGAUCAUGUUCAGGCCUAUCAGAGAAAGAUGGCUCGUGCCUUCAAGAAACGGGUUAAGCCUAGACCAUUGCAAAAAGGGGACUUAGUUUUGAGGAUUCUCAGAGGUUUGAUUGGAGACCCUAGAGGAAAGUUUAGACCUAAUUGGAGUGGGCCUUAUGUUAUCCGAGAGUUGACUCCAGAAGGGGCUGCAUGGUUGACAGACUUAGAUGGAAACCAAUUUUCGGAGCCUACCAAUGUGGAUCAGCUGAAGAAGUAUUAUGUUUGAGACCGUGGUCGCAGGAUGGGUGGCCAUCAUUUCGGUUAGCCUCAUACUUUAUCACCUCUAUAUAUUAGACCGUUGCUAGCCCAUUGAGCUUCGCGUGGUAUGUUAUAGCCUUAUUUCUUUCUUAUAGCUUUGAUUACCAUUUCUAUACCCGGGUUGGGGCCUUUGAUGUAUACGCAUGCUUUGCUAGGAAAGUCUCAUGAGCUUUAGACUUAUAGGUCAUCUUCUCAUUUUGUUACCAUCCUCUUAUCACCCUAUUUGUUCUAUUUUUAUUAUCACCACAUAUUCAUUCUCUUUCUUGUCUCUAUCAUUAUUUGCUUUAUCUGAUCUAUUCUCUUCCUUGGGUUGAUGAUUCUUCACGUCUUAGUGCAAAGAGGGCAAGUUAUAUCACUCUAUUCAUUCCAUCAUUUGACAUUGAUUCGGAGAUCUUAGUUUGAGAGGUUGUCUCAAGGGUUGGGGUUCAUGUAUUCAUCAGUGGUUAGAGAGAGUUUGUUCAUUCCUUAUAUUUUUUCCAUUGGAGUUUGAUUUAUUGAUGAUCAGAGCAUGCGCAAAAAAAAAAAAAAAAAAAAAAAAAAAAAGAGAAAGAAAGAAAAAAAAAAAAGAAAAAAACAAAAACAAAAAAAAAAAAAGGAAAAGAAAAGCGCAAUGAUAUGCUCAUGUAUGGUAUCUCGUUCCAUUGGGUAUUUAUGCCACCUUUUGAGGUUCAUUUAUUGGGUAUAUUUGUCAUUGUGGGUUUUUGUGAGUUUUUAUGAGUUUUUAUGAGUUUUUCAGUCCUUGAGCCACUCUUGUUAUGCAUUUGGAGUGUCGAGGGUUCAUAUGAGAGUUCUAUGAGAUCCUAUGCUUUUUGGAUCAUGUUUGAUAUAUACUAGGUAUGAGAGAUGAGUAAUCUUUUUACUAAGGUCUCCGGAUCAUUGCCUUACCCACCAUUCCAUCAUUGGUGAUAUGACUUUCCUUUAUUGUACUAACAUGGGUUGAUCAUCACUCAUUCCACUUUCUCAUUGCUUUCUUUUGUAUCCCAUUACCGCAUUCCAGAUCUUUGUUCCACCUUUUAUUCAUUCCCUACAUAUUGAUACUCAUUACUGAUUUGAUACCUUCUUCACAUCAUUCACAUAUUUCAUUGAUGGUUUGACCAUUCAUCCUUCCUCUCAUUUCGUUAUCGGCAUUCCCUUUGGUUACUUCUAAGUCCAUGACUCAUGAGAUUUUUCUAUGCAUUACAUCUUGUACACGAGGGUACGGGUUUGAUCAUUGGGUAUUUGAGCCUAGUUUCCCUUCAUUUCUUUCACCCUAUCACCUUGGCCUACGUUACGUCCCGUGUCUUAAGACCACCCUGAGGCCACGAGAUCAGACGUUAUCUUUGACAGUCUUCACUUGGACAGGUUUUUGGUAGAUUGGUUGAAGUAUGGUCGUUACUAUGUUAUCUUUUAUGGAAGAUACUUUUGGAAGCAUUUGGUCUCUCUCUUGCUUGACAUAUUGAUUUUGAUGGAUUUUUGGGUUUGGAGACAGUUCAUUGAGGAUAUCGGAUUCAUCAUUUUCUCGUGCACCAGACAUCCACACUGGGGCAUAUUUCCCCAUCUCGAGAUUGUCACAUCCCUCAUCAUUUUGGCUAUUCAUUUGAGGUUGGAUUUAGAGUGUCUCCCUUGAGACAUUGGUCGAUACUUUAUUCUGACUUCUUAGCAGAUUAUUGUUGAGCUGAGGAUAGUUGAUUGAUGAUAUUGGAUUCAUCCUUUGGUUGUGCAUUAUAUAUUCACACUGGGGCAUAUUCCCCCUUCCUCUGAGAUUCUUAUCUGUUAUUGUAUACGGUUCGAGGAUGGAUGAUCAUUGUUAGGUUGUUUACCUGACGACUUCGACAUUAGGUUAUCCACACUGGGGCAUAUUCCCCUCUCCUUGACGAGAUUUCUUUGGGCAGUGAUAUGAGGAUGGAUGAUUGGUGUCGGUUGUUUAGCUUAUGACUUUGACAUCAGGUCUCAUACUGGGGCAUAUUUCCCCAUUUUCUUUGAGUAUCCUUAAGUUUGGGACAGUAGCCAGUUUGGUUUCAGAUUGAGUACUAGCCCUGAGCGUUCGAUGAUUGACUGUAUCAGGACCCCCCUAUAUGGAUUUGUUGAGAUAGAGAUGGAUCACAUCAGGUUUCACCCGAGGAGCAUGGAUGGAUCCUUUAGCUAGAUGCUCAUGAGAUAGAUUAUUUUCUUCAUUGAUUAUCUUGUGGAUCGGGUUAUCUAGCUUGUGAGACAUAGAGGGCUCUUUUAGUUCAGAAUUUUCAGAGGUUUGUCACGAUGCAUCGGUUACAGAAACCUUGAUUUUAGCGAAUGAUUGAUUUAUUGGUUGUUUCAGCACUGCGAGCACCUUGGAUACCGGGGCAUAUUUUCUUUCCUAAGCUUACAAGUCUAACCCUUUAGCAUUUCGAUCACACGACUUUGAUCCAUUUGGUUCCUACCCCCUUUUGAGUUAGUCUCCAUUUCUUUUCCAUUUAGAGCCCAGAGCUCUCGACCUAGAGUCAUUUUCUUCGUUUAUGACCCAGAGUCAUUUCUUUUCCAUUUAGAGCCCAGAGCUCUCAACCUAAAGUCGAUUUUCCAUUUAGAGCCCAGAGCUCUCGACCCAGAGUCGUUUUUUUCGUUUAUGACCUAGAGUCAUUUCUUUUCCAUUUAGAGCCCAGAGCUCUCGACCCAAAGUCGUUUUUUUUUUUUUUUUUUUUUUUUUUUUUUUUUUUUUUCAUUUAUGACCCAGAGUCAUUUAUUUUCCAUUUAGAGCCCAGAGCUCUCGACCCAGAGUCGAUUUUCCAUUUAGAGCCUAGAGCUCUCGGCCCAGAGUUGAUUUUCCAUUUAGAGCCCAGAGCUCUCGACCCAGAGUCGAUUUCCCAGUUAGAGCCUAGAGCGCUCGACCCAGAGUCGAUUUUCCAUUUAGAGCCCAGAGCUCUCGACCCAGAGUCGAUUUCCCAUUUAGAGCCCAGAGCUCUCGACCCAGAGUCGUUUUUCAUUUAUGACCCAGAGUCAUUUCUUUUCCAUUUAGAGCCCAGAGCUCUCGACCCGGAGUCGAUUUCCCAUUUAGAGCCCAGAGCUCUCGACCUAGAGUCGAAUUUUCCAUUUAGAGCCUAGAGCUCUCGACCUAGAGUCGAUUUUCCAUUUAGAGCCCAGAGCUCUCGACCCAGAGUCGAUUUCCCAUUUAGAGCCCAGAGCUCUCGACCCAGAGUCGAUUUUCCAUUUAGAGCCCAGAGCUCUCGACCCAGAGUCGAUUUUCCAUUUAGAGCCUAGAGCUCUCGACCCAGAGUCGUUUUUCAUUUAUGACCCAGAGUCAUUUCUUUUCCAUUUAGAGCCCAGAGCUCUCGACCCAGAGUCGAUUUUCCAUUUAGAGCCCAGAGCUCUCGACCCAGAGUCGUUUUUCAUUUAUGACCUAGAGUCAUUUCUUUUCCAUUUAGAGCCCAGAGCUCUCGACCCAGAGUCGAUUUUCCAUUUAGAGCCCAGAGCUCUCGACCCAGAGUCGAUUUUCCAUUUAGAGCCCAGAGCUCUCGACCCAGAGUCAUUUCUUUUCCAUUUAGAGCCCAGAGCUCUCGACCCAGAGUCGAUUUUCCAUUUAGAGCCCAGAGCUCUCGACCCAGAGUCGAUCUUUCAUUUAUGACCCAGAGUCAUUUCUGUUCCAUUUAGAGCCUAGAGCUCUUGACCCAGAGUCGAUUUUUCACUUAUGACCCAGAGUCAUUUCUUUCACUUAUGACCCAGAGUCAUUCUUUCUGUGUAAAGCUUUGAGCUCACGACCUGAAGUUAUUCCUUUUUUGUGAUUGCGUCCCCGUGUUUAGAGCUUAUUCUCGUCAUGUGCUAGGACAAAAUCUCAGGUCCUUUUCUUUUAGUUCUUCGGUAUAGUUCACUUCGUUCCGCUCAUUAUUCGUACUUUUACUCACAUUCCCUACACUCGUGAUCUCUACCAAAGAGGGGCAUAUUUGUAGACCCUCUAUUUUGUCUUCCUCGCACAUGUCGUUUACAGCAAUUCCCUGGUGGCCCAUUAAUACUCGUGUAGCCUAUCUACUCUAAGCCACCUUGGGGACUAUGGUUGAGGGAUUUAUCGAACUCUAUUGCAACUUCUGGUAGCCCAUUUAGACUUAGAUAUACUUAAGCACCACCCUAGGCCCACUUAGGCCCUUUAAGCCCAUUAGGCACCAUCCUAGGCCCGUUUAGACACUUUAGGAUCAUUUAGGUACACUUGGCCCAUUAGGCAUCGCCCUAGGUCCAUUUAGACACCUUAGGUUCACUUAGUGCACCUUAGGCCCAUUAGGCAUCACCCUAAGCCCAUUUAGACACCGUAGGUUCACUUAGUGCACCUUAGGCCCAUUAGACGCACUUGGCCCAUUAGGCACGGCCUUAGGCCCACUUAAACACUUUUCAAGGUUUAGUUUCACUUAGAUUUGUUUUCUUGUUUUUAUUUAUUUAUUUAUUUUAUUGAUUGCUUUUAAGAUUAAGUGAGUUUUGAUAUAUUUAUAUUAUUUCAUCAUUAUUAUUAUUUGUAUUUUCGUUUAUUUAUUUUAUUUUAUAAUUGCAUGAAAUGAGUUAUUUGUUUAUUUAUUAUUUUUGGUGGUUUGAGUUUGACACUUCGACUAUUAUUAUAUGUUGCAUUAGUUUAAUUUUAUUAUUAUUAUUAUUAAAUAUAUCUAAUAUUUAUUAAUUAAUUUAUUUAUUUUUAGGUAUAUAUCAUUUUAUCUAUGUAUUGAUAUUUUCUUAUUUGGGAUUUAAGGACUUCUUGAAAUUUUAAUGAAAGGAAUAUUGACUUUGAUUUAUGGGAAUGGUUCUGACUUUAUGGAUUAUUGCUUUCUUUUUUGGAAUUUUUUUUUAUUGUUAUUUUUCCAUGUAGGUGGAGUCAAUGGGGAAGGUGUGCAGAGGAUGCUCAUGGAAAAGACCACACUGUUUUUUUGAAAGGUAGAUUCGGGGCGGGAAAACGGACUAUAAAUCAGGAUGAAUGCGGAUGAUUUUUAGAGGAAGAUACAGAAAGGUUUUUUAAAAGGUAUUGCGCUGAUUUUGGGAGGAGACAGAGCGCUCUAUAGANAAAGGAAGGUGGCUAGUUUUUUUNNNNNNNNNNNNNNNNNNNNNNNNNNNNNNNNNNNNNNNNNNNNNNNNNNNNNNNNNNNNNNNNNNNNNNNNNNNNNNNNNNNNNNNNNNNNNNNNNNNNNNNNNNNNNNNNNNNNNNNNNNNNNNNNNNNNNNNNNNNNNNNNNNNNNNNNNNNNNNNNNNNNNNNNNNNNNNNNNNNNNNNNNNNNNNNNNNNNNNNNNNNNNNNNNNNNNNNNNNNNNNNNNNNNNNNNNNNNNNNNNNNNNNNNNNNNNNNNNNNNNNNNNNNNNNNNNNNNNNNNNNNNNNNNNNNNNNNNNNNNNNNNNNNNNNNNNNNNNNNNNNNNNNNNNNNNNNNNNNNNNNNNNNNNNNNNNNNNNNNNNNNNNNNNNNNNNNNNNNNNNNNNNNNNNNNNNNNNNNNNNNNNNNNNNNNNNNNNNNNNNNNNNNNNNNNNNNNNNNNNNNNNNNNNNNNNNNNNNNNNNNNNNNNNNNNNNNNNNNNNNNNNNNNNNNNNNNNNNNNNNNNNNNNNNNNNNNNNNNNNNNNNNNNNNNNNNNNNNNNNNNNNNNNNNNNNNNNNNNNNNNNNNNNNNNNNNNNNNNNNNNNNNNNNNNNNNNNNNNNNNNNNNNNNNNNNNNNNNNNNNNNNNNNNNNNNNNNNNNNNNNNNNNNNNNNNNNNNNNNNNNNNNNNNNNNNNNNNNNNNNNNNNNNNNNNNNNNNNNNNNNNNNNNNNNNNNNNNNNNNNNNNNNNNNNNNNNNNNNNNNNNNNNNNNNNNNNNNNNNNNNNNNNNNNNNNNNNNNNNNNNNNNNNNNNNNNNNNNNNNNNNNNNNNNNNNNNNNNNNNNNNNNNNNNNNNNNNNNNNNNNNNNNNNNNNNNNNNNNNNNNNNNNNNNNNNNNNNNNNNNNNNNNNNNNNNNNNNNNNNNNNNNNNNNNNNNNNNNNNNNNNNNNNNNNNNNNNNNNNNNNNNNNNNNNNNNNNNNNNNNNNNNNNNNNNNNNNNNNNNNNNNNNNNNNNNNNNNNNNNNNNNNNNNNNNNNNNNNNNNNNNNNNNNNNNNNNNNNNNNNNNNNNNNNNNNNNNNNNNNNNNNNNNNNNNNNNNNNNNNNNNNNNNNNNNNNNNNNNNNNNNNNNNNNNNNNNNNNNNNNNNNNNNNNNNNNNNNNNNNNNNNNNNNNNNNNNNNNNNNNNNNNNNNNNNNNNNNNNNNNNNNNNNNNNNNNNNNNNNNNNNNNNNNNNNNNNNNNNNNNNNNNNNNNNNNNNNNNNNNNNNNNNNNNNNNNNNNNNNNNNNNNNNNNNNNNNNNNNNNNNNNNNNNNNNNNNNNNNNNNNNNNNNNNNNNNNNNNNNNNNNNNNNNNNNNNNNNNNNNNNNNNNNNNNNNNNNNNNNNNNNNNNNNNNNNNNNNNNNNNNNNNNNNNNNNNNNNNNNNNNNNNNNNNNNNNNNNNNNNNNNNNNNNNNNNNNNNNNNNNNNNNNNNNNNNNNNNNNNNNNNNNNNNNNNNNNNNNNNNNNNNNNNNNNNNNNNNNNNNNNNNNNNNNNNNNNNNNNNNNNNNNNNNNNNNNNNNNNNNNNNNNNNNNNNNNNNNNNNNNNNNNNNNNNNNNNNNNNNNNNNNNNNNNNNNNNNNNNNNNNNNNNNNNNNNNNNNNNNNNNNAAACCCCUACAUAAAAAAAAAUCUUUUCAAAAAAUUAUUUUUGUUGCCACUUUUGUCACUUGUUGAAAUUAUGUCUAUUUUUUCAGGAAUUGUAUAUAAGAUGAGUGUGAUAACUAGUGUUUUCAUAUACUUUGAUAAUUUCUGCUAUGCUAAUUAGAUAACGAGCAUGCUAGGAUUCCUAUAUUUUAUUAUUUAUUAUCUAACCCCUCAUGUCUUAUGGAAGCGCAUUGUAAGUCAUCUAUGUUAUCCAGGUACGUAUCACCUACUUUCUAAAUUUUGUAAACAAUCAUGUCAUUGUGAAAUAUGCAUAUGUUUGAUAAUCCUUAGGUGCUUAGAUGUAUGCUAGAUUCACUAUGAUUAAAAACAAAUGUUGUGUGAUGUAUCUCCAAACUAAUCUCUUAUGUUUUAUGAUAGCGCUUGGGAAGCCGUCCAGGUACGCAUUUUUAACUCUCCUUAAUUGUGAUUCGAUUUUGUUUGAUAUGUUAUGUUUUUUUUUGGAAUCACCUAGCCUACUUAGGUAUCCGAGAUCAACCAUUUAAUUGCCACGCUUCCCUUAACUUAGUCAGUAGAGACCUCUUUAGGGCUUAGAGGGGUGCUACCUCCUAGAGGUACCUUCCCAAUAAGUAACCUGAUCCCCGAACCAAGACUUGGGUUUUCAAAGACACGCUUUUCCAAAAAUUAUGGAGUCAUUUUUUUAGGGUUUUAUUUCUUGUUUUAUUUUCCCUUCAAAAAUAAAAAUAAAAUAAGUGGCGACUCCAACUUUUUUUUAAAAUUAAUUUUUCACAAUAAAAAGCGAGUCUUGCCGAUCGAGUGGGGACGCACGUGUAAAAUGCGGGUCCACAAUGGGAUUGAGGAAGAGUAAGUUAUCUACAACAUUGACUCAAUUAAUUUUUUGUUAGGUAAUUUAUGAAGUUGACAAAUGGUUUAUUUCCUUAUAUGGCAUAAAGGUUUGAAGUCAACAUCGAGUAUAUGGAGGUGGACCAAAAAUGGUUUCAGAAAAUAAUGCUUCCUGGAGAAUGGCUUAGUGACUCGGUUUGUGACUGUUGCCUACAUUAUUCAUUGAUAUACAAAAUUUUCUUGAUUACUAAUUAUCAUUCCUCACAAUUUUCAGCAUAUUGAUGUCAUUUUAUACUUUUUUCGGAAAAGGAGGAUAGCAAACCCCGAUGUAUUUACACAAAAAUUCACCACUACUGACACAUUAUUUUGGGUAUGCAUAUUAGUGCAUUUUAACUUUGUUUCACAUUUUUUCUUUAAUUAUAUUCACCACUUCUGAUAAUUUGUUCCUUAUGUAGCAAAAAGUGAAUGGUUGUUGGAGGAUGAAUCAAAAGGCAUGGAACAAAUACAUUUUACCGAAAGAUGACAUCCUCAUCGAUUAUGCCAUGGGUCUUUAUCCUAGGCCUUCUUUGAAAUGGUCUGAGGUUGAUGUUAUAUAUGUUCCUAUUAAUCUAAGGAACACACAUUGGGUAUUGGGAGUUGUCCACCUUCGUAGUAGGAAAAUUUACAUUUAUGACUCCUUAAAGUCAAUUAACAAACCCAAUGGAUUGAAAACACUCAUCACACCAUUAGCAAUGUUGUUACCACGUAUCUUAAGUGCUAUAAAAUACUAUGAGGAGAAUGGUGACCCCAAGGGUGAUAAAGGGUGGGACAUUGAGAUAUUGAACAACAUUCCACAACAAACAAAGGAGUAUGUACAAUAUUUUCCAUGGCAGCAUGCAUGUUUUGUUAUAUAUACAAUAAUAUUGAAAAUUGUUAACAUCACAUUUUUUUAUGUUCAUGUAGUGGUUAUUGUGGAAUGUUUUUGAUCAAAUUUGUGGAAUACCUAUUGCACAACCAUCCAAUGGAUACACUAACAGGCGAGCGGAUGGAUUGGUUUCGUGAGAAAAUGGCAGUGGAGUUAUUUUUCCAUAAAGGACUUCCUAUGUGAUCCCACCACUAUAAAUGGAUUGUAAAUGGAUAGUGGAAGAUGUUUCUAUGUAAUGAAAUUGAAGUUUUUUGUUUGGAAUAUUUCUUUAUUGUGACACUUAUUUAAAUUGUAAAGACAUUUAAGUUUUUUGUUUAGCAUAUUCCUAUGUUAUAGCCCUUAUUUAAAUAGUCACAUGUUUUUCAUACAUCUAGAUAAAAUGAAUGGUUGCAAUUUUUUUUUAUAUUUAUAAAUGUCACUAUGUUAUGAUUGUUAAUAGGUUUGAAUUUGUUGUAGUAAGCAUAAUAAGAGAAACUUAUACUUCAAUGUAGUUCAGACCAUUUUUUUUAAACUCAAAUUUAACGAGUGUUAAGUUACUUGUAAAAGAAACUUAACCCUAGUACAAUUCAGGUUAAUAUCCUGAAUUAAAAUUGAACUCCUACUAAGUUAUUUAUUAAAAAAAACUUAACUUCAGUGUAGUUUAGGACAUUUGUUUUUAAUUCAAACUUAACGAGUGUUAAGUUACUUGUAAAUGAAACUUAACCCUAAUGCAAUUCAGGUGAAUAUCGUCAAUUAAAACUUAACUCCUACUAAGUUUUUUAUUAAAAAAUUUAACUUCAGUUUUGUUCAAGUAAUUUUUUUUUUCAACUAAAACUUAAUCCUAGUACAGUUCAGGUGAAUAUCCUCAAUUAAAACUUAUUUCCUACUAAGUUUUUUAUUAAAAAAACUUAACUUAAGUUUCGCUCAGGUAAUUUUUUAACUGAAACUUAACCAUUGUUAAGUUCAUUAUAAAAGAAACUUAACCCUAGUGCAAUUCAUGUGAAUAUUCUCAAUUAAAACUUAACUCCUACUAAGUUCUUUAUUAAAAAACUUAACUUCAAUUUUGUUUAGGUAAUUUUUUUUAACUAAAAAUUAACCACUGUUAAGUUCAUUGUAAAAAAAAAAAAACUUAACCUUAGUAUAGUUCAAGUGAAUAUCCUCAAUUAAAACUUAACUCCUAUUAAGUUCUUUAUUAAAAAAACUUAACUUCAGUUUUGUUAAGUAAUUUUUUUUUAACUAAAACUUAACUACUGUUAAGUUCAUUGUAAAAAAAAAACGUAACCCUAGUGCAAUUCAGGUGAAUAUCCUCAAUUAAAGUUGUAUAUAUGGACAAUCUCAACAUACAGAAUUUGUUUGAUAUUAACAUCAAUAAAAUAUUAAAACAUCUCCAAAUAUGUAUGAUCAAAUAUUAAUGAGACAAGUAUUCCAAAAAAAAUAAUAAAGAGUUCACUUGUCAUUUCAAAUGAGUUGGUAUCGAGGGAUGAACUUAAACUUCAUUUUUAAGCUUUAAGUUCAUCGCUCAAUUAAAAAGGAUUGCAACAAAGUAUGAUUACAUGGCUUUUGCCUCUAUUCACAAUGUACAAAAAAUUACAACAUCAAAUCUUUUAUAUGCCCAAUCACCAUCUACAAAAAACAACAAAAAUUCACCAUAAAAUUAGCUUAGUGACAAUUUCAUUCAUUCUCUAGUUGUAAGGAGAAAUCUUGCAUUCUUAUCUCAAUGUGUCCACUAUUAUCAUUCUAAUAAUGCAGGGGGAUUGAUCGUUUGCAAGACUUUCGAUUAUAACCAUAAUCACCUCAUCGACCACAACGUCGUCUGCGUUUACCCUCGCCACCUAAAGGGAUUCUUUCCUUCCUUGGUCUUUCUGUUGGUCGCCUUGUUUUUUGUGGUAAUACAACUCUAUUGCUUGUAUCAUCAGGUAUCACCCAAUUUCUUUGAUGUCUAGGAUGAUAGAUGGACUCAACAUAUGAAGAUAAUAAUGAGUUCACUAUAUGAUAUUUGGAGCAUAGAGGAUAACAUGACAUAUGUGCAUAUCUACAAGUAGCAAUAGCAUGUGAACACAAUAUGUGAUCAAGAUCAAUACGUCGACAUGUGCAUGAUUGAUUAUGUAAAUUAACAUGAUCACUAACACCAUUAUAUUUAACAUUAUACUUAAUCGAGUUGAUUACUUCAACUUCAUAUGUCGAUGAUGUAUUGUACCUUACACGAAGCUCUCUAUCAGCCAUGUUGUUAGCUUAGUUUUCAUUGAUAGUGCUUGUUUUUUACGGUUUGCAAACCAUUUUUGAAGUAAAUUUCUUAACUCUUCAACUAGUUGCAAAAUAGGAAGAUCCCUUGCAUUCUUUAACACAACAUUGAGACUUUCAACAAUCCCUAUGGUCAUAACAUUAUAUCUUUUUUUUGGUGGUGUGUGAACGCGCCCAUCAAUCAACACCUGCAUCCAUUACAUAUAUUGCUGCUCUUGGAGAAAUCAUUUGUAGUUGCCCAAAUAUAAUAUUGAAUUUUGAUGAGCAAUAUAUAUAAGCAGUGUCAUGAAAAAACUUAUGGACUUCGAAAUUUUUAAACUUUGUUUUAAGGUUUUGCUUAAUGUGAUAAGUGCACACACCAUGGCUUGCAUGAGGAAAAAAAUUCCGUAUAGCUUUUUCAAUGUUGUUGUGACGAUUUGAAACCAUCACAAGAUCAUCAACAUGGCCAAUUGCUCUAUGCAAUUUUUUUAGGAACCAUUCCCAAGAAGCAUCAUUUUCAAAAUCACUAAUUCCGAAACAUAAGGGGUAUAUUUGAUUGUUGUCAUCCUUGCAUGCAACAACAAACAAAGUUCCUAAGUACUUUGCCUUAAAAAAUGUUUCAUCGAUUGUAAUGACAAGCCUUAUUGAUGUAAGAAACCCAAAAAUACAUGCACCAAGAGCCAUGAAAAAAAAUACUUAGAUUGAUUGUCAUGGUCAAUAACUAUAUCGAUAAUGUUGUUAGGAUUUUUUUUGCUCCAACACAUAACAAGAAGAUGGUAAAGCACUAUAGGACUCUUCUGGUGAUCCUCUAAUUGAACUUAGAGCAAAUUCUCUAGUUUUCCAUGCCUUAUCAUAGCUUAUUCCCACACCAUACUUGUUUUGAAUAUCAGCUACAAUGUCUUUUGGUCGAUACUAAUGACUAACCCCUUGAUAUAUUUCUCAUAUGUUUUCACCAAUCAACCAACUACUUACUUGCAUGACGAUGAUCAUGAGAUAUCAUGUUCAGCUACAAGUGUGUGUUGAAUGAUAUUCCCUUAUUUGAAAUAGAUCAAAAUUUCCCAACUUGAUAUGAGAAUCAAGCAUAUUAAACAAUUUGAAGAUACCAUUAGAGCUUGUCUCUCUAAAUAACUCCUAGUUACAAGAUGUUCCCAACUCCUUAACAUGUCAACCUUAUAGUCCAAAAAUUGAAGAACUUCAUUUGAACUUUUGCUCAUGAAGUCACCUCCACACUUCGUCUUUUAAUAAUUGUUUCAUUUGGAGAGACAUUCUUUCAUAAAAAUAUGAGACCAACCUCUAGUUGUCAAAACCAUAAUGUUGUAAGCUCCUACUAUAACUUUAAACCGUUCCCAACAUCAGAAAAAUCUUGUUAUUCACCUGUGCCAUGAAGUUUGAGAUCUCCUUCUUGAAUUGACUGGUUUUCAGUGGUAGGAAAAUUUUCUAAAGGAAGACUAACUAAAGUUCAUUCCAGUUCUUAAUCAUGUCUGUAUUUACUUUAUUCAAUGUCUGAGGGAAUAAUUUCAUUCUCAGCACAUUCAAACGCAUGUUAUCUUCCUAGAAUGUAAAACAUAUCUCUUCACGUCCUUGAUGAGUGUGUAUGGAUUCUUAUUCUCAUUUCCUUUUAAAAAUGGAAGCAAGAAAACUAGUUAUGGUAUGAUUGUUACAUGCUCCUACAGAGUGACAAAACAUGAUGAAGUGCUUACCCUUGGAGGAUUUAAAUGAUCCCUCAUAGAUUAAUUUGUAGGCAAGGAAAGGCAUGGGAGGCCCACUAUUGUUACCGUCCUAAUCCUUAUCAUUGUUGCCAUGAAAAUCUGUGUCCCAGGGCACUAUGUUCCUCAGCUAAGCCAAACGAUUGUAAGGUACAAUUUCACAACCAAGGCAAAGUCAAUUAGUCUAAAGGAUUACAUGAUAAGAUUCUCUUUCCAUUGUAAUAUAAAAAUUAGAUAGCCAUUUUGAAUUACCAACAGAAAGAGUUGACAAACCAAGGUAUCUGUGAUGAAGGUGGGAAAUGCUCUGACCGAUGAUUUCCCUGACCACUUGGGGUUAUUCCAGUUUAUAUGGUCAGUUGGUAUGAUUUCUGAUCAAACAUACAAGCUACUGAACAUGUUUUGAGACUCUCAAUCAUUUAUACUGUCCUCUGAGUUGUGUGAUAAGAUUAUGGACAUUGCUAGAGAGGAAAUUGGAAACAUUGACCUAUACAACAUUUUUACCCCUCCCUGCAGUGUCAUAAUUGGAUUUUCAAAUCAGCUGAUGAAAACAUUGAUUGAGCCACAAAUCUUGAACUAUCUAGCUACUUUCAUAGUGUAUUGAAGCUCUCAUUUUAUUUUGACUAAAGUAAUUUUCAUGUUUAGGCAUGUUUUUCAUAUAAUAUAGGGACAUUUAGAAAAGCCCCACCCUAAAUUUGGCCAGUUGACUCACUAAAUUUCUCUAAUGAUUUAAGCAUGUUUAUUUAUCUCUGUCAUUACUUUACGUAAAACUUCAUGGUUUAAUUUGAGUUUUAUUCGUAAACAAUUAGCCUUGAAUGGAAGUUCAGAACUUGCUUCAGACGAAAUCUUCUAAAAAAAAAAUAGUUGACUUUUGAAAUGAUUUUAUCAUAUUAUUAAUUAAAUGUAAUGUCAUCUGAUAGAUGGCCGGUGGCAUCAGUCGGAAGUAUGAUCCAUGCACACAGCAGCACUCAGUUGUGUACUACAAUCUACCUGAGGUUCAACAAGCACUUCAUGUUU
RNAcentral lists this long non-coding RNA (157738 nucleotides) under Vitis vinifera (wine grape). RNAcentral describes it as "long non-coding RNA (VVIN_LNC003480)". Lineage: Eukaryota; Viridiplantae; Streptophyta; Magnoliopsida; Vitales; Vitaceae. The record is from RNAcentral.